AUUCUCUUCAAGGUACUCGGCAGAAUGCUAAUAGGUAAGGAGGUAAGAGACUUACAAUCUGUAAUUACUAAUUUAACAAUCUGCUUCAUUCCCUGAAGUUGAGAUGUCAACACUUCAGCAUUAGAACCAACAACUGUAAACCUUGUUAAUUCAAAAAAAGGAGUUUCAGGAAACUUCCGAUCAACUUGGGGCAAUCUUUAAUUGAAAGGCCCUGAAGUGCAGGGAACUCUCCCUUCCCCAGUACACACCACUUCUCCAACUCUGGCAUAUCUGCAAAUUUAAGCUUCUCAAGAGAAUUAAAUGGCUUUCUGGAAGACGAACUGCCAUAGAAUUCUUUGGUCACUUCUGUUAUUCGAUGCAUCCCUCUAAUGGCAAGGAAUUUCAAAGAAGGAAGCUGUCCCAGUGCUGGCAAGGAAUCACAGUCCUUGCAGUUGCUAAGAGAUAAUUCCUCAAGCUUAAGAAAUGAAUGGUCAGAGAGCCAGUUUGGAAGUUUUGUCCCUCUAUAGCCAGUGAUGCGGAGUUCUUUUAUGUUUGAAUUUGGACGUAGCUCAUCAAGUAUGUCUCUUUCAGUUUGUGAAUUGUUGGCAAUACUUCCCCUCCACUCCAACGAUAACUUUUCAACAUGUUCCUUUUCCUUUAUAUUUGCCUUCAGAGCUUCCGUUCUAUCAACCACAUUUUGCAACUCUAGAAUUGAUAGAGAUCCAUACAAGUUAUGUACUUCACCCAAAUCCCCAAUUCUCAAACUACCGCAACCAGUGAGAAGAAACUUGGCUCCAACUAGCAUAUGAAGCCUUUUCAACAUGCUCAGAUGUAGCGGCAUUUUCAAGAGAGAAGUGCCACUAAUAUCAAGGUGACACAAAUGGAUUAGCUUUUCCAUCUGUAGUGGUAACUCCUGAAGAUAAUAACAAUGUGACAGGAAAAGUGUCUCUAAAUUAUACAAUACACAAAUUGUAUCUGGCAACUUAUUUAUAGUUGUCCAAGAGAGGUCCAAAAAUUUAAGAAGUUUUAACUUGAUAAACAAGUCAUUUGGCAACUCCUCUAUCUGAUAACGAGACAAUGAUAGAGCCCUCAAAGAUGUUAGUCUUGGUAAUAUGUUAUGCAGCACCCUCUUGCUUAGCUGUAAGAAGUAAUAGCCCUGGAUAUUGAUUGGAAGAAAUGUUCUCAGUUGCUCCGAGUUGCCGAGUUGUUUCAACUUUUCAAAGUCACCAACUCCCAUUGAACAUGACAAGUGUAAACUUUUUUCCAAUAUGCGAGAUCUUUUGUUGUCUUCCAACCUGAUACAAAGUUCUGAAGAUGCAAUUUGGACCAAAUCAUUAACAAGGUCAUGCAUUAAAAAUUUCUUUGUGUUCCCUUGAGAUGGCUUUGAAACCCUUUCGAAUAAUAAUCUUGAUCUCAACUCGAGAAAGUACUGGUUGCCUAAAUCUUCAAUUGUUUCAUCUUUUUGCAACCCCUGUACUAGACCAUUAGCAUUCCACAAUUGAAUGACUUGUUCUUUCUGAAACGGAUAAUCUUUGGGAAAUAUUGCACAAUAAGAAAAACAUCGCUUUAAAUGUGCGGGAAGAUCAUUGUAGCUCAACUUCAACGCUGCUAAGAUGUCAUUGUUUGGAAGCUCCCAUAUUUCACUUCUCAAAAUACGUUUCCACCCUUCAACUUCUGAUUUGGAGUGUAACAUGCUUUAGAACUAAGGGCAAUCCAUUGCACUUAGUUGCAAUUUCUUUCCCAACCACUUCAAGUUCUGGAUGCUUCUUAGGAUCUAUGGUUUCAAAUGCAUGUCUUCUGAAUAAAGACCAAGAGACUUCACUAGACAAAAUGUCCAUGCUAAUUUUCUCAUCAUCCAUCAUCGAGGCAACACUUUCCUUGCGUGUCGUCACAAUGAUCAUACUCCCUACAUCUCCUUGUACGAAAAGAUUUCUCAAGUCAUCCCACUCUUUAUAGUUGUCAUUCCAUACAUCAUCUAGGACAAUAAGAAACUUUUUCUUCUUUAAGCUUUCCGUCAAUUUGACUUGAAGUUAAUUCAGAUUGUUAUCAACCAUUAAGCCAAAUUCUUGAAGUAACUCCUUUGUUAUUCUGAGAGCAUCAUAUGGUUCGGACACACGAAUCCAAGCUUUGAAAUCAAAAUGUGUUUUCACACUCUCAUCAUUGUAAAUAGCUUUAGCAAAUGUUGUCUUGCCAAUGCCAGCCAUUCCAACAAUAGGAAUUACUGUCAAUUUUCUACUUUUCGCAUCAUCAGAUGUUAAACGGCCCACCAAUUCCUCUAUUUCAUUCUGCCUGCCAAAGAUUUCAGACUCAACAACCACAGAAGUUGAAGAUUCUCUUUUUUCUUGUUUACCCGAAUCAAGAUAUUUUGUUAGAUCAAGCAACUAAUCUGCGUUUCCAACUCUUUCAAUGUUUCAAUGAUGUCUUCCAACUUCUGCUUUAUGUUGAGAAUAAAAUCAUCAGUCUUGCACAAGUUGAGGUCAAUUACCUCCUUGUUGCUUGUUUCUGCAAAAUUUUGAUGCUGACCUUCCACCUUUAGUCUCAAAACCUCGUAAUUGACUUCUUCUAUUAGGUUUUCAGCACUAUGCACAGCAUCUUGAAGCUCGUUAAGCCACUGGCUCACGUAUGGAUUUGAUGCCUGCUUAUUCUCUGCAUCACUUAGUACAGCUUGAAGACCAAGCAAAGUCAUCCUCAACUUCUUUAACAGUCGGGUAACAUUCAAAGCUGAAGAGAGAAAUGCACCACCAACUGCUAAUCCAAUCUCCAUUUCUCAAACCUGCAAAACAAAACAAAACAAAGAAUCACACUAAAUGAUUAAGAAUUUGGAGAUGAUUAAUGUUUCUAUAUUAAGAUUUUCUCAACUUAGAGCUUUCUCUUACCUAUUGAAUGCUAGAGCAAUAUGCAUACAAGUACGUUUUGUUGACUGCCUGUUUUGCAGAACUUCUGGCUUUUGCUUGAGCUGAGGCUUCCAAUUUGGCACUAAAAUUUCACAAAGUAUAAACUAUUCAAAGCCAAUGCCACUAUUGAUGUGUUAACUAACUGAUUAUUUUAAUUAGAUGCUUUACAUUUACUAAUAGUUAACACAUCAAGUAGCAUCAACUUUGAAGGAGUCAAUCACUGUCAAUGUUCAUACGUCCUCAAGUAGAAUAUAUCAGCUGACUUUGAUCAGUUUAUUUAUACAAUUUGGAUCAUGGCCCCCUUGUCCAUGUUUUGGAGUUUGGGGUAACCCCAUAAUGGUGGACUUUAUUAGAAGAAAACAAAAAAAAAAAGUAGCAUGGACUUUGUAUUUUAAUUUAACCAAGUUGGAAGAAAAUUCCGUGUUCUGACCUGUUCGCCUUGUCAUAAUUGAAUCCGACUCCUUUCCAUUUUCCCCAAGUUCUUGCUUGGAUUGAGAACAUAUGGCAUAUGUUAUAUUUAAUGGUUAACAUUUAAUUGACCAAAGUAAGUUCCUAACUAUGCAGUUUAGUAUGCCAGAAAGCAUUUCAGAAGCACUUCAUGGCUGGGAACAGGUUGGAUUGAUGGAAGAUUGUACGGGGUGGAGUGUUGACCAGUCAGAAACUCUUGCGUUCAGAAGAUGAAGGUUGCGAAAACAAGGUUGUUGCAAUGGAUGUGUGGACAAACUAUGAGAGAUGGAUUAGAAACGAGGAUGUUUGGUACAAGGUGAGAGUGGCUUCGGUGGAAGUAAGAUGCGGAAAGCAAGAGUGAGAUGGUUUGAGCAUAUGAAAAGAAGAUGCACAGAUGCCCAGGGAAGAGAUGUAAAAUAUUGGCUAUGGACGAUUUCAAGAGAGAUAGAAGUAGACCUCCUCACAUCUCCACUUGUGAGAUUAAACGGGAUAUAUUAUUGUUUUAGAAAUGAGACGUAGCCAUACAAAUGAUCAAAGUCGUCGCAAGUCUAGUGUGGGGCUCAUGACCACCAAAAGUAUGAAGGCCAUGCUCAACUCGCGGACAACAUCAAUGUCAAAUUAAAUAACAACAACAUAUGUAAUGAAAUUUCACUAAUCAGUAGGAUAUAGAAAAGGUAAAGUGUAUAUAGGCAUUACCAUUACCUCAUGAAUAAUUUUCAAAUUCAAUAAAACAAAUACUAGUGAAAGUUUCAACAACUUUUCCCUUGUCAAUUUGAGCAAAGAGACCGUAGAUACACUGCUUAAAAAAUUGUACACAAACACAGAGAACAAUAAUUUGAAGGAAAGAAGUAUUAUUACCUCAGAAAUCAUUUUGUCUUGUGGAUAUUUAUGUCCUUUCAAUUUUGAAUGCAUAAUACACGUAGGACGUUAAGACACAAUUUCGUUAUUGAUAUAAAAAGUUAAAAUUAUGAUGAUAUUAAUACAUGAAGCACAUUGUAAACAAUAAGAUAAAACAAAAAAAAACUACAUUAUAUAUGAGCAUAAUAAUAUAAUACUAACUAUUUAUAAAAAGAAUUAACUAAUAAACAAUAUUUAUUUGGUUUCAAACUCCUAAAUAUUAAGAAAAUAAUUAAAUUACUAUUUUCAAAUAUUAAAAAAUAAUAAAUGUCUAUUUUAUCUUUUAAUAUAGUAUACAUGAAUAGAGUAUAUUCUGUUGAUACCCUCAUUAAUUGGAUUUCUGUCUACUUAUUUUUCCACUAUUUUCUGUAAACACAUUAAUAAUUACCAUGGCGCACAAUAGCAGUAGCAGGAGAAGACCUAACAUACUGAUAACCGGAACGCCGGGCACCGGAAAAACGACUACGUCGUCUGCACUGGCGGAGGCGACGCAGCUCCGGCAUAUCAACAUCGGCGAACUGGUGAAAGAGAAGAAGUUGCACGACGGAUGGGACGAUACCUUGGACUGUUACAUCAUCAAUGAAGACCUCGUAAGUCUUUUAAUGAAAAAUACUAAACCCUAGUUCUUAAUCUAAGGAUGGAAAGUUCCGAUUUUUAUUUUGAUUUGGUUUCAAUUCAAUAGAAGAAUUAAUAAAUGUUAGAGAAUCUGCUGUUCCUAUUUUUUUCUUUUCAAUUUCUGUAUUGGUGUUGCCAUUCCUAUAGAGCGGCAAUUGAGAGAAUUGUUGCUGUUUAAUUUAUUUAUUUUUUGUACCUGCAUUUCUGUUUACACGGCUUGAACCCGUGCCUCCUCAUCACAUGACAACAAUAUUACCAGUUACUUCAAGGCUGCCCUUUGGUAGAGUACAUGUAGCUCAUCCAUUAAGAUAAAAUGGGAAAGGUCGUGUGAGAUAGUUUGGCCAUGGCCUAUUUUGACCUUUAAGUUUAGAGGGUUUAAAGGUUAAGAGUUAUUUAGAGGAUGAGGUUUACUUGAGUCACUUUUCGGGAGAAGGUAUACUUAAAAUCACAUCGAGUGAGUUAUCUCAAGAGAAGACUGUAACUUUAUUUUUGAAGAUUAGUGAUAGAACAUAACAAAAUGGAAUGACAGAUAUUAGGUCUGAUGUUUGUUAAGAAUUUUUUUAAUUUAUUUAGAGAAUUAUAUUUAAGUUAAACGUACAGAAAACCUCUAGUAUAGUCAUUAUUGUUGUCAAAUUUUGAGUAACUUGUGGUUCCAAACCAUAAAGGUGCUCUUGUAAAUGACCUCAAAAAAUGGUCAUUAUAUAUUUUCGUUGUGGUGAAUAGGAUUGAAUGCGAAGAUGACUAUUAAGGUCUUGGAACAUCUAAUGAGGUUCUUAAACUGCUCUUGAUUGUUUAUAAUGUUAAAAGUUGAAUAUCUGUAUAAACUCUCUUGAUUUAUGAGCAGUUUUAGAGAACUUGAUUCAGUGUGUCCAAUUGGUUUUAAGAAAUGAAAUGGUGGUGUUAACUGGACCUUCAUCUAAGCUAUAAUUGGUUUCAAAGUAAUAAAAUUUCAUUAUUGGAGUACAAGUCAUUAUCCCUUUGGAUCAGGUGGUCCAAUUUAAGUUAUGGUAGCCGUUUCUUCUUCAUUGCCUCCCUGCUGGUGCUUUAAUACUGUUAAGGUAUUUGGGAAUGCCCCCAAACAUCAGGUGGUCCAAUUUAAGUUAUGGUAGCCGUUUCUUCUUCAUUGCCUCCCUGCUGGUGCUUUAAUACGGUUAAGGUAUUUGGGAAUACCCCCAAACAUCAUAACAUAUACCUAGUUGGAGGGAAGUGCCAGAGAAAAAGGGAAGUUAAAAAACCCUCUGACAAGGAAGAAUAUGAGAUGACUGAAUGUGGGGUAAACUAUGGUAAUUGAAGAUUAGCAGUAAAAAUGAGAACUUUUGUUGGGACAGUAGUGAUUGGUAUAAAGUUCGUGGCUUCUUUGGGAAUACAUGUGUUAUUUUGCAUACAACUUUCCUACAUGGUUUGCAACCCAUAUGCCUGCUUUCUGUAUUAACAUGUUUACUAGUCAAAAACAAAAUAAAGUAGAAAGGAUAAGAUGCAUCAGAUUUCCUGUCACAGAAAACAGAGUUUUUUUGUGUGUUACUGGUGCAGUUUAAGCUUUUGCAGCAUCUAGUCAUCUACCCUCUGGAUGUUCUUUCCUAUUUGCCUCACUCUCGUUAGCAGUUUCGGAAUAUAGUAUACCAAUUACUCCAGCUUUGAUCUUCCAGCUAAUCACCCCACCAUAUCCUAUUCAAUUGAUAGGAAAUCAAAUGAAUGAUCUUUGCCAAUUACAAUACAGCUGCUUGAUGGAACUUUUACAUAGUUGGUGUUGUGCAAAUAAUCUAUGUUCCUAUUGCUCCAAUGUGGUUAACUGGUAUCGUCACUGUUGCAGAGAUACUAAAAUUGCACUUGCUAUCUGUGCUUUUAUUGCUUUGAGUUUUAAAUUUUGUUCUGUAAUAAUGCAAUCAAAAGCUAUUUGCCAGUUCUAAAAAAAGACGACCUUGUAUUUCCUACAAAUUAACGAUGAAGAAAUUUAGUUACAAGUUUCAUGAUGUGUCUGCUGUAGGUGUGUGAUGAGCUUGAGGACAUGAUGGAAGCAGGUGGAAACAUUGUUGAUCAUCAUGGUUGUGAUUUCUUUCCUGAACGUUGGUUCGACAGGGUGGUGGUUCUUCAAACCGACAAUACUGUCUUGUAUGAUAGAUUAAGUAGAAGGUACACUAUCAAUUGACAUCUUUUUUUGUCUCUCAUAUAUUCCUCUCUACUGUUGCUCACACAGAUCCGUUUUGACUUGCUCGACUGUCCCAGGGGUUACACAGGUCAAAAGCUCACCAAUAAUAUCGAAUGCGAAAUAUUUCAAAUUUUGCUAGAAGAGGCAAAAGACAGUUAUCCAGAGGAUAUAGUAGUGGCACUAAGAAGUGAUUCUGUUGAUGAUAUUAGCAAAAAUGUGGAGAUGAUGUCCAAUUGGAUCGGUAGCUGGAACCCAGUCGUGUGAUUGAAAUAUCACAAGUGAAUUUCCCAUUGCUUUGUUAUUAUUUUGUUGUACUCAAAUGAUUAGUUUUAUUUUAUAGUGGUUUUGGUUGUUUGAUGAAGGUAACCUUCUUUAUAUAACAGAAAUUCUGCAGAAAUGCAUUAUUGUGCUUUUCAUCAAUCAUUCAUUUCUGAACUACCAAGUUUCUCCAAAAAGUUAAAUGUUUGAACAGUGCUUAGUACAACCACAAUCAAUCUUCAAAUGAUAGUUUUUUGCAGAUUCACACAGAAUUUUGUUCAGAUGAGUACUGUCUUUUAACGCCACAAUUGCAAAUAAGCAGGAUUGAGCAUGUCCCAAUAGAUAAUGAAUCUGGAACGAUGAAGAUUCCGAUUUCAACUUCAUUCAGAUUCAUGCAUGGCUUUUGCUGAACAAAUGCAAACGCACCAUCAGGAAUGACACACAAGUCACAACUCACAACUCACAACCAGUACAUCAAACAAGGGUAGAAAAUGGUGUGCUUUUUAUUCAAGAAAUGCUAUCGGGGAUUUCAAAACGCCCACGACUUGAAAACCUUUAUUGCCUCAACAUCUUUACAUUUUCUCUAGAUCUAAUUCUAUCCUGCAACUGCAAGACCGCUAUCCAGCCAAAGCGCAUGAUCCUACAAAAUUGUUCCUACAACUCAGGAGAAUCAUUACAUAAUAUUCACUUAGAACCCAUGUAGGGUUCACAUUAUGUAAAUCCACACAAGACGAGGAAUUACAAGUAGAGUUCAAAAGAAUUCGAGAGUGCCAGUUAUAGUGACAGGUGGAUUUAUAUCAAUGCGGGUAGCCUUCCCUUGGGAAAGUAAAUGUGGUAGUGUAUUGGCAUCUUUGGCUGUAGCUCCUGCCCCAGUCCAUAUUGUGACAUGGGGCCAUGGGUUUUUAGAAUUGACCUUUUCACCUUCAACAGAGCCAGGCUCAGCUUCUAGGGCAGCCAAUUUUUCGGAGAACAACAAAGCAGCCACGUCUACUGGCACCUUUUGGUGAAGAAAGGAACCGUAAUUGGCAACUGCAGUGACACCGUGACUCCUCUUGUGAGCCAGGGUUAUAUGGGCCUUCUGAAUGCAGCUCUCCAUGCUUUUGUCCUUCAAGAAAUCACCAACCUUUGGAUCUUUCUUCGCUAGCUGUCCACAAAAUAAUGAGAAGAAUGAGAUAACAUAGUUGAGUGCCUUUAUGCAACACUAUAAUUCCUCUCCUUGGUCCCUUCACUGUUCACCCAAAGAAUUUUUAAACAAAAUGCAGAAAUUUCAGAUGAUUGGAAAUCAUUAAAGAUUGGAAGGCCAAAAGCGCGAAGACAGUCUAUCUUUUUUUUUUCUCGGAUAAAGAAAUUGUCAAUAGAAAGAAAAAGAAGGCAGCAAACAAAUAAACAAGAAUUACUAUCAGUCUCUUAAACCAGCCAAGAAAUUAAUCCAGCCACAAGGAAUUUUAUGUAUUGUGCAUGAACUAACAAGUACGAUAAGAAGAAAGACCACUAACUACAACCAUCAAGACAUAAAAUCUCCAGCCAUCAAGACUCCAUAAUUAUAAAUUUGCAUCAUUCACUUACAUCAUUCAGAAGACCUAGAAUUUCUGGAACUGGCAGGCUGAUAGCGGCAAACACAAUGGAUCCUAGCUUCCUCUUCUCAGAAGAAGGCGCUGCAUAUUCACCCCUCGCAAUAGCUUUCAGUUGUUCAAGGACUUCUUUAACAGCAAAUUCAAAUGGAACCUGAAAUAGAACUUCGCAGAAUCACUCCAAAGCUCUCCUACCACAUUGUGAUAACUUUCUUUAGAGCUGUCACUACUCUCUCUGUUCACACUGAGCCAGGGAGUUUCGAAGGGUUGCUGAUCAUGGAAUACUGAGCCAUCCAACAAACCCCUCCGACUAGAAAGGCAUUGCUAAUGCAGCACUUAUGAUAUUCUUUGGCAUACUAGCUCAUUUAAAAAAAAAAAAUUCAUUCUUUUUCUAUAAACAUGACUUCCUACUUGAAACCACUCUUCCCCCCCAAAUCCCUGCAUCCUUCCCAUGUCAGAGAUACAUAGAGAAAAAAACACAUUUAUGCAAACAGCGCAGGUAAAAUAGCUUGGAAAUGUUACAUGGACUCAUAAUGUGUAUACAUAUAUCCUAUAGGGGUGUGCAUAAGUAUCUACUAUAGGCACAUCAAAAUUUGUUACAGAUAUUUAGUGUAUUUGAAGUACCCGUGUGAACUACUCCAGUAACAUACAAUUCCUACACAGGUAUGACGAUUCAAAUAAGUAUGCAUGUGCUGCCGCUACAUGUCAUGGCUAACAUUUGAAGUAAGGACUAGUUUAACAUUAUAGCAAUUUAAAUUGUAUUUCCAGUGGAAAGUAAGAUCAGAUAUUACAUGCCUUAGGAGAUCUAAAAGGACUGCGCUAAGCUGCACAAGCUUACCUGUAUUGAAUUGAGAUAGUCCGCAUUUCCAAGUAGAAUAUCCCUCAAUUGCUUCUCCCAUUUAACCCACUCUUUUACAUAUGUCCCUUUUGUAGACUCCAAUCUACCAGAGACAAAAUCACACACAAGGAAAAACAAUUAGCAGUCACAAUCAAUUGAAAACACGCCUACCUCAAAACAUUUUUCAUGGAGUGAAAACUUAUAUAUAUAAGAUGGUGACCUAAGCUUCUUUUUUUUUUCAUGAACAUAUCACUCAAAUACACAAAAAUAGAACCUUCUCAACGUGUAACUAAACAUCAGACUUUCUUGUCCUCCAAUUACCAAAUAUAACUAGAAAAAUGACAUGAUUUUGCUAGAAAAAAGCCAGUCAUACCGAUAUAUAUACCCCCAACCCCAACCCAAACUUUUGGUAAGUGGAUAUCUAUUCUUUUAUUGUACAUGGUUGAGAAAAGACAUCUUAACCCCCAAAAGAAAAGGCAUAUAAGUUGUUUGGAACCCUAUUUUAACAUGCAGAGAAAAUGCAAUUCAUACUCAUAUUGCAGUUAAUUUGGUACAGCACAUAUAUGUGGAUACAAAGUUAUUACUAGGCAACGUAACACAACAAGAGCAGAAUUAUAUAUCCAAAGAGUAAAAAGGAGUUUCAUAGCUCUAGAUCAUGCUCAAAUUUAUGCAGUAGAGUCAAGACACUGGAAAUCAAUGAAUAUAUCAGAGUUUCAUUAAUGCUUUCACAGCCUAUAAGAGCCCCCUCAUAUCAAUCUUUUCCCAACUAUAUAAUGCUGGAAAGUUCCAUGCCACUACAAAUCAUAGAACCUUCAGCCCUAAAUUUCUUUACACUGAUCAAUCACAAAUCUUAGCUACUUUGAACUAUUCAAUCCAUCCUAAAGGUUGACACCAAAACAGUAAUUAAAAGAUAAACAACAAAAUAGAAGGGGUUGACAAUUUCAACCAAAGAAAGGGAGUAGAAAAUUCUUGAACUAAAGAAUCAAAACUGACCUUCCAUGUUUGUUUGUAUGAAGCCUGUACAGAUUGAUUCCCUCCUCAACAAUAGACCUCAUAGAAUCCGGAAGAGGAGACCUUCAUAUGAUCAUAAACAAUAUCAGCAGCAAGUUAAGCAAAUAGAACUAGGGAAGACCUACAUGUCGUAGAAUCGAGACACUUCCAAACAAUACAGGUCAAAUACCAAAUACUGCCCCCACAGCAAUGGCAACAGAGAAAAGACAUUAAUAACAUUAAGGAUAAAAACCAUCUGACGUGAUAGAUAUCUGUGCAACUACUGCCUGUGGCAUGCUGUUGGUUGCAUUACUAUCAAUCAGUUAUAUCACUGAAACCUCUAGUUGUCUAACUUCCUCUAGGUUGAAUAUUUUGGACCAAGUAGCUUUGCUGUAAUUAGCAUACAUGUAUUCAGAACUCCAGCUUUAUAAAAAACAAUUGGAUUUAUAGACAACACCCACUUUCUUCUUUUCUUUUCCUUAUUUUUCUUCCCCCUUUUUCCUUUUUUGGUCACGAAGAAAACAAGGUUACAAGUAUUGGAGUUUGUUUUCAAAAUUGGCAAUCUCCUUCAAAAUUGUGGAAGGCUGUUUUAUUUAAUGAAUGCAUUAGAAUUUAAGCUUAACUAAAUUAGAUCUAUCUUCACUCUAGUUAAUGAAAAUUAGCGACCAGGUGAAAGCACAUACAAUUGGCUACACUGAAAUCAUACUUGCUAAUUGGAUGCCAGUUAGACACGUGUCAAACAAGAAUAUGUGAUGACACUAUACAGGACCUUUGCAUCAUGUCUUAGUUAGACAACAACAAUUGUUGUCCUCCUUACCAUCUUGCUUGAAAAUAGAAUUUUAGAAAACAAAUUUCAUUUUCUUCUAAGUAAAUGACUUAUGAUCAAACAAAUACGUCAAUAUCGAACAACCUAGCCCUAAAUUGGAAAAGACUUCACUAAUGGAUGAAGACAUUCAAUGUUUGGGGUUACUAGUUUAGCUCUUAAACCACUUUAGAUACUUCACAAAUGUUCAUCACUAUGUUGAACGACUUUAGUUUGUUGUUAAUCAAGAAAUACGAGGAAUAAACCUUUCAAGUCUUCUAUUUGAAAUUCAAAGAAAAUUACGAGUACUUUCUCAAGUUCAGGUAUUAUUUCUUAUGCUAGUGGAAGUGUACAUAACGUUGCUGAACUUGAAUUACAAAUACCAAAGGAGUAACAAAGAUUAUGGAGAAGAUUCAGCUAAUCAAACCCAAUGUCAUAAUAUAGCCUACUAAUUAUUUACACUUCCCUAUUCCUCCAAUUUUGCCUUUGCCACCUUUUUCUUUUUACAAAUUCUCACAAAAUCUAUCUUUAACGUUAUCUUUCAAGAUGCUCUCAUGGAAGACAAAACUUAAACGCGACUUUGGUGAAAAAUGAAGUAGUCGACUCCCAAAACCAAAAAGGGAGAGCUAGUAAAGUAUGUAAGUGGACCUUAAUAGGACAUACAACCAUGUGACCUAAAGUUUCUGAACUUUUUAAUGCUAAAGAUGGAUUCAAGAUGGGUGGUGGAAGUGGAUCGUGUUUUUCAUAUCCAUCAUUAGAAUUCCAAUCACAAAGAAUUAUAAUCCAUGUGAUCCUUUGGCAUCUCAAGUGAUUGAGUCACGGGUAUCAUCUCUUAGACUUCUCAUCUUAGCGAAAAUGUUGACUACAUUGAUGGACUGAGCUGUGGUAGACGGUUACUUGGGACCUAUGUUGCUCGGACUCCUCAAAAAUGUCAAUGGGUGCGUGUCAGAUCCUCUAAAAAUAGUGUAUUUUUGAAGGAUCAGACACGGGUGUGGCAACAUUUUUGGAGAGUCCGAGCAACUUAGCUUGGGACUGAGCUGUGGUAGAUGGUUACUUGAGGGGCUUUUCUGAAACUACAAGGGACAAUGUACAGUGAAGGUUUCACAUCUCGGGUUCGCAGACAAUACUUAAGUUCUCUGUGAUGCACACAUUAAUCAGUUGAUUAUUUUCUACACAAUUUCAUUUGGUUCCAGCAUCGUCGGAGCCUCAAAACAACCUCAGAAAAUGUCAGAUCAUUGUUAGUGAAGUGGACAAUAUUGAGAAUUGAUACAAAUGCUCAAUUCCAGGAUUAAUGCUCUCCCUACUGUUUUUCUCGGUUUUACUGUUACACACUUAAACAAUAAAGAAUCAACAUGAAACACAAUAAUUAAAAGAGAUAUGAAGAGGUAAGCAGAUAGUAGAAGAACUACUUUGUCUUAAGGAGAAGGAAGCAUUAACAAGAAACUAUAGAAUCCUUAGUGAUUAAUGGAGAAGAGUCUUCAGAUCCUGUUGCAAUCAGACAUGAAAUUGUGGAUUUUAUCAGAUUUUGUACAAGGAGACAGAAAGUUGGAGACCAUCUUUGAACAUCUUGGAUGUUCAAACAAUCACAGAAGAAGAACAAAUCUUGUUGUCUAGAGACUUUGAGGAGGAAGAAGUUUUGGAAGGAACCUGGACCAGAUGGCUAUACAAUGGCUUUCUUCAGUGUUUUUUGGGAAACUAUCAAGUAUCAAAGAUGAUGUGAUGCAGACCUUCCACAAAUUUCAUGCUCAUCAAAAGUUUGAAAAGAGUUUUAAUGCCACAUUUGUAGCUUUAAUUCCAAAGAAGGUGGGGGGCAAAUGAGCUAAAGGAUUUUAGACCUAUCAGCUUGAUCACAGGGGAAUACAAGAUCAUAGCUAAGGUGUUGGCACAAAGGUUGAAAAAGGUGAUCAGUAAGCUAAUAAACAAGCACCAAAUGGCCUUUAUCAAAGGAAGGCAAAUCAUAGAUGCUGCACUUCUAGCUAGUGAGUGUAUUGAUUUUAGAAUUAGGGGUGGAACCCCUGGACUGAUGUGCAAGCUAGACAUUGAGAAGGCAUAUGACCAUUUGAACUGGGAGUUUCUAAUCAAUGUCCUAAGGCAGAUGGGGUUUGGGUGGAGAUGGUUAAGCUGGAUAAAUUUCUGCAUUAAAACCACUGGUUCUCCAUACUUGUAAAUGGAGAACCAGUUGGUUUUUUUCCAGCAGAAAGAGGCCUGAGACAAGGGGACCCACUAUCCCCCUUUCUAUUUAUCUUAGCCAUGGAAGGUUUGGACAGAUUGAUGAGAGUUGCUUCUCAGAAUAACUGGAUAAGGGGCUUUUCCAUAAAAAAAAAAUGAUACAAUUGAACUAACACAUCUUUUGUAUGCAGAUGACACAUUGGUAUUCUGUGAAGCUGAGCAGGAACAAAUUUGCUACUUAAGAGUGAUCCUGGUGGUCUUUGAGGCUUGCUCAGGAUUAAAAGUAAACUGGAGAAAGAGUAGCUAUUUUCCAAUUAAGGAAGUGCAACAGAUUGAGGAUCUUGCAAGCAUUUUGAAGUGCAAGAUAGAGAAGCUCCCAACAGUUUAUCUUGGUAUGCCUUUGGGAUCCGAGCACAAAGCAAAAAAAAUUUGGAAUGGCAUUAUUGAGAAAACAGAAAAGAAAUUGGCUAUAUGGAAAUCUCAAUACCUAUCUCUGGGAGGUAGAGUUACACUAAUUAACUCAGUUCUGGAUUCUUUACCCACUUAUGUGAUGUCCCUCUUUCCUAUUCCUAGUAGGAUAGUGAAGGUUUUAGAUGCACUCAGAAGGAACUUCUUAUGGCAAGGGAACAAGAUAGAAAAGGGAUUCAACCUGGUGAAAUGGUAUGUAGUACAACAAAGCAAGAAAGAUGGGGGGCUGGGAGUGAGAAAUUUAAAAGUUCAUAACAUGAGCCUCCUCUCAAAAUGGUUGUGGAGAUAUAAUCAGGAGGUAGGCUCUAUGGAAAGAGAUAAUAAACCACAAAUAUGGGCAAGAGGACUUCUGGUGCACUAGUGAAGUUAAUGAAACUUAUGGGGUUGGGGUGUGGAGGACCAUCAGAAACCUUUGGGAGAGUCUAAAGAACAACUCAAAAAUUGUGGUGGGCAGAGGAGACAAAACAAAGUUUUGGCUAGAUGAUUGGUGUGGAAAUGGGAUUUUGAGGGACUUGUUCCCUAUUCUUUUCUCAAUAUGCACAAAUACCAACAGCAAGAUAGAGGAGAUAUGGUCACCACAAGGUUGGAAUAUAAUAUUUAGAAGACCGCUAAAUGACUGGGAGAUUGAUGGAAUGGUGGAGUGUUUGGGCUUGAUUGGUGGAUUCCCAGGUACUACUCUAGAGCCUGAUAGAUUAGCAUGGGGACAUCACAAAGAUGGGGUAUUUUCAGUGAAUAGAUUAUACAACUGGGGACUUAAAAGAUGUGCACGAAGAUCCAUUGGACCUUGGAACACAAUAUGGAAAAGUGUGGCUCCGCCAAGGUGAAGUGCUUCACUUGGUUGGUUGCUAGGAAAAAAUGUUCGACUCAUGAGGCAAUGCAGAAGAGGCGCAUCAACUUAGUAUCCAGAUGUCUCCUUUGUAAAGAAGCUCUGGAAACUAACAAACACUUAUUCACUUAUUCAUGCACUGUAAGGUAACUGCUCAGGUGUGGGCUCUGUUUACAAGCAUAGCCAAUGAAUAUUGGACUAUGCCUGAACACACCUCUGACCUUCUUAGUUGCUGGAUCAAAAGGGGAGGCAGCAUAAGUCAGAAAAGAUGGUGGAGAACAGUUCCAGCAUGUAUCUAGUGGAUUAUAUGGAAAGAAAGGAAUCAGAGAAUUUUUUAAGGAAAGGAGUGUACAAUACAGAAGAUCAAAUGGAAAGUAAUUACUACUUUAGGUUUUUGGUGUAAAAACAGGAUAUAGAAGAGGAGUUCCAAUUAGUGGACUUCAUAGGUUCUCUGUAAGUAUUUCUUUUUAGUCUUUUCCCUUUCUUGUAACAGUUUUUGGAGGUGGCCAGCAUAGCCCUUAAUGCUGAGGAAUACAAAAGUUACCAGUUUCAAAAAAAAAAGUACAUUGUAGAGUAUCCAAUUCCUCACACACUUCAUGUCAUAUACUACUGUCAGAAGAGACCCUCGUCUUGAGGGAAAGGAAGAAUUGACAAGAGUACAUGAUUGAGUAUCCCCACACAUUUCAUGUGUUACUUCAUGCACAUACCACUGUCAUGGGUAAAUUGAGAACCCUCCAAAGGAUUUUCUUAUGAGACGUAGCAGACAAGAACCUUAAAGUUUUCAUCAAGGCCUGUUAGUAAGGAGCAUACUCUACAAAGCGAGGUGAUAGUAGAAGUGCAGAAUUGUGAAAGAGGGAUGGAGAAGUAAACAUGUCAUACUUCACUUGGGUGCAGUCUUAGGAGGAAUAUAUUAAAGGAUCAGUAGAUUUCAGUAGCAAAGGCAACAUCACUUUCAGGGCAAGACAUAUAAGCUGAAUCUUGAUUUGGAAUCACAAGUGGUGGAGAGCACAGUAGAAACUACAAUUCCCAGAUUACAAUAUCUCAAGCUUGAGCCAAAAGGAGAUGACAUCACAACCGAUCCAUGGGACAUAAGGAGGAGUUCUCUGGGACAAAAUUCAGGAUUGAGGAGUGAUUCCAAGGCCAAAUUAAAAAAAAAAACACCUAAGUUUACGCGUGUAUUUUUCCUUGGACAUGAUCUAAUCGUUGUCUAUAGCCAAAACCUAAUGAGGAGCCUCGUCGAUCUAAUUUUCAUUUGCUGCAUGGUAAACAAGAGAAGAAGAGUUGCACAUGAUGUAUUCGUUCUUGGAUACAAUGUAGUCAUUGCCAAUGGAUAUAAUCUUAGUAAGGACCUCACAAAUCAUUUUCAUAAACUAAGCAUGGUGCUAAACAAGAGAAAAUUAACCAUAAAUUACCAAAAGUCCUAAACUACUGUUUUCCACUAGUCUAUUAGCAGAGUAUAGCAAUCAAACGAGGAAACAGCCCAAUAUUCCCUGUCAUUUAACUCAGAUAUAUACCAAAAGCAAAGAUGAAGUUAAGAGGAGACAGAAACAUAAGGAGACAAAUAGCAUAUAAAAAUACAAUACUGUAAAAUAAGAGGAAAGGAGAGAUCUAUUUAUGACUUGAUGACUUGUAGAAAAUGUACUUAUAGGUGUCAAAUAUGACACUUAUGAUACUUGUCCUAUGAGGGACACUAAUACAUAUUUUCACGUGUCUGUUGUGACUAACUCCAAGCUAACUGUUGAAGUGUGUAACCAUACCAUCUAAGAACUUAAUCUGCAUAAUUAUGUCUUCAACAAGCACCCCAUCACAAAGCACGUCGAAAUUCUUCCACGACAACGGGCGAUGAUGAGACUAGAACUCGAGAUCCUCUAUCUGCUCUAUAUUGAAUUUGUGUGACCAUCUCAUUUAAAAGUUUAAGCUAUUGGAGGAAACACACGUUUAUUUGCUUUGUAAUGUCUUCAACAAAUAUGAUAUGGGGAUCCAACACUAACACUAUCUUUAUAUCAGAGAAAUUCCAAAGGACCAACUGGUACACGAUUCAAAAUUUGGUGGAUUAUGACAAGUUCGAACUCCAAUCUAACAUAACCAACUAAAAGAGGAAAAGUAAAAGGCCACUUAAACCCAUAAUGAAGCGGUGUGUGUGUGUGUGUGUGUGUGGGCGGGGCGGGGGGGUCGAGAAGAAAGAUAUCUCACUAACCUUUCAGGUUUCAGUAGAGGAAUUCUGACAAGCGAUCCAAAACGUUCAAUAAGCUCACUCUCGAACUCCUGACGGUUCUGAGUGGAAGUGUACCAACAGAGUCAGAUACAAAUGGCUUAUAUAUUUACUUUUUAAGACUAACAAAAUACGGGAUAAGAACUCAGAUAAUCUUGUUAGCUGAAUGAAUCAGAUGCAAAUAACUUAUAUAUUUACUUUUAAAGACUAAGAAAAUACGGGAUAAGAACUCAGAUAAUCUUGUUAGCUGAAUAAGACUUUGUACCUUUCCAUCAUAAAGGUGAUAAAACAUUAACAUCACAUAUCCAGCAUUUGCAGAUGACUUGUCAAGAUUUCCCUGCAGGAUCAAGCAGAAAAGAGAGGACUAAGGCAUCAAUAUCCAAGUUGAAUGGAGUAAAUGGGUGAAGAGCAUUUAACAAGGACGGAGUAACGUGAAGAAUUAAGUACCGGAUGAUUAACACGCUGAAGUACUCGGAAUAUAAAAACCGCCAGUGCGUCAAUAGAGAAUGGAUUGAUUUCAGUUCCUGAAUGAUUAAUUACACAAUUAUUAAGACCCCAUUUAGUGCACACAUAGAUGAGUAUGAUACAAGGAAAAAACCAAAUGAACUUUCUAACAAGCAAUUCUUACUAACAGGACCAACAUCACCAACCAUACAGAAAGGUAAUGUCAAACAUCAUUUGUGCAAGCACCAUUAAGCAUAUUAGCCUACGAUUGUUCUCCAAGAAACAAAAGCAUAUAACAAGAUGAUACAGAGUUUCACCACUCUAAGUGAAAGAUAACCAAACUGCAAUGCCAGGAGUGUAGGUGGGAAUUAUCUGUCUAAUCUCAACAUACAAAAAGAUGAUGAGGGUUCACCACUAUAAGUUAAACAGACAAGACAACUGCAAAGUCAGAGUUCCACAUGAAUCGGACAUAAUUUUUCACUUGGCAAGAAACAAGAAUUGUCAAUAACACAAAUCGCAUUGUAAGAAAUGCAAAAUAAAGCCAUUGGGUGAACAACCAAAUCAAUUGCCCCAGCUUUUUCACAAAUUAAAGCAAACUUGCAUGAGAAACAGCGUAACAGAUUAUUAAAACCUUUGUUGCUCUGACUCUCUAAAACUGUUGCCGCACCCGUGUCGGAUCCUCCAAAAUGCACUGCUUUUGGAGGAUCUAACAAGCACCCAGCUACAUUUUUAAAAAGUCUGAGUAUCAUAGAUCAAAACAGAAACUAAAAAGGAACUAUCUAUAUACCUUCUGAAUCAGGUAUGACUGGAAUAGCAGAUGCUUUGGUGCUUAGGCACAUGUUCUCAAUCUGCAAAGAUGAGAAUAAACCCGGUGAGGCAAUGAAGCACUACUACUACAUCUUAAGUUAUUUCUGAAACAAAAUAGUCCUAAAACUCAAGUUCUUUAUAUAUACAUUCCACGUCACUCUAAAACUAGAAGAUGCAUUCUGUGGCAUUAUAAGUAGAACGCUAAGUAGAGAGAACUGAUGCUACAAAUAGACUGUUUAAUAUCAAGAUCUGAAACACUACCACUGCUCUUAUGUUAAUUUAGAACUGAAAAUAACCUUAAAAAGGGUCGUAUAUGAAAAAUUGUAUCAGAGGCUUUGUACUACUCAGGGAACAGUUAAACUUACCUGUUUCCAUACUUCCUCAUUUGGUGCAUUCUUGUCAGCAAGCAUGAUCGAGUAAGGUUUUCUUCGACGUUCAUCAGCAACUUUUUGCCAAUAUCUACCUAUUAAUAUGAUGGACAUACAGAGAUCAAACUUUAUUAUCUGAGAGAAUGUUAAGUUCUUCAAGCAAGGAAAAGAGGCAGAGUAUUACUCUCUCCAUUUCAAUUUAGAUAUCUUACUUUGACUAGGCACAGAAUUUAGGAAAAUAACGGAGACUUUUGAAUCUUGUCGUCUUAAACUAAAGAUGUGGUGCAUUCUUGUCAGCAAGCAUGAUCGAGUAAGGUUUUCUUCGACGUUCAUCAGCAACUUUUUGCCAAUAUCUACCUAUUAAUAUGAUGGACAUACAGAGAUCAAACUUUAUUAUCUGAGAGAAUGUUAAGUUCUUCAAGCAAGGAAAAGAGGCAGAGUAUUACUCUCUCCAUUUCAAUUUAGAUAUCUUACUUUGACUAGGCACAGAAUUUAGGAAAAUAACAGACUUUUGAAUCUUGUCAUCUUAAACUAAAGAUGUGUGCAUUGUACCAAAAUCCAUUUGAAUCUUGUGAACAAACCAUGUAGAAUGUUGGAAUCAGAGAUUUACGAAAUAUACAAAGAGGCAUUCUUUUUUAAACAAAUUAGAAAUGAAACUUAGACACCUAGAAUGAAACAGAGGAAGUAAUAUAAGUUUCGGGUGUCAUAUGUUUGUGGCAAGAAAGAACAUGAUGACAAUGCAUUUAGUUCCAAGUACAACUUUUGUCAAUUGGUUCCAACCUAAAUUAAAGAGCAAAUGCUUGUCAGAACAACUAAUCGGUACUCCCUGUCCCAAUAAUAUACAAAACUCCUUUCCGUUAUGGGAUGUCGCAAAAUCUUUAAUGCCCUUCUAUUUCUAUACAACUUGCACAACUUCUAAGAAUUCAAUUUCAUUAAACUAUUUCAAAAAAAAUUUAAAAUUUUGAUGUCGUUGUUUUCAAUUAACUAACCUCCAACCAUUACUUUAAAGAUAUUCUUCCACUAUCACUGCUCUGAUAUACAAGGAAAAUCCUAAACCUUGUGCUUGUGAGGUUGUCAAACACCAUAAUACAGGACGAGAUGAAGUGAGUAAAUGAUAUGCCGACAACAACCUAAAGGCACAAGAUACAUGGACAUGCAAAAAUAAAAUUCCUUUGUAAAUAAGGAACAUACAAAAUGAUGUUGAAAAGCACCUCAUACCUUUGAUAAGAUCACCCAUUAAACUAUGAAUUGGUCGAUCAUCUCCAAGCCCUCCUGGAGCAUUCAGUAUUUCCUUACAAAGUGCAGAUUUAGCACAACCUGGUAUUCCUGCAAUUCAGCAUUGCAUGUCAAAAAGAAUGCUUACUUCAAUAGUUGCAGGAGGUUCUAGAAGAGGUUCAUUACAUAUAGAAUACAUACAAGACUUCAGAUAUAGUAUACAAUCUGAAUAUCCAAAACCAGUUCAAUCUUACCUGGAAAGAAAACAAUGAGACCCUCAUUCUUUGCGACCAUGUCUUUGGUGGAAAUACUAGGGCUUGAAGGAGCAAUAUCUUUCGUCGGCUCAAGAUCACCCUCUACAUCUUCUCCUUCAACAAUAGCCAUGAAAUCUUCAACUUUGACAAAAUUUCCAGCAGAGCCUAUCAAUGCCUGAUUUUGUGGACUACGCUUUGCAUAUUGUUCAAGGAAGGGCUCAGCUUCACUUAGGUAUGUGGAUGAUGACAAUGAUUUGUUCCCAUAUUUUCGGCGUAUAUAUACUGCCCUGAAAAUUAGUUCAUGUAAGAUGCUGCACUGGGAAAUUAAAAGUGACUCAUCGUAAAAAAUCAUAAGCCCAUUUAGUGUUACCAUUCAUCAAGCAUCUUGCUGAGUUCUCGUUGCUUGGCUGCUGAAGUAUUCCAAAUUUUCAUUUGCCUAGAUCAAUCAUAUUGUUAUAGAAAUCAAUAUACUAUAGAAUCUAUCCUUCAGAAUUGAUAAGACAGUGCGGCCAAAAUAUCAUUCUCUCAUUUUGAGAGGAAAUGUACUAGAAACAUGUCCUUGUAUCACUGAAUUAGGCAGGCCAUAAAAAUACAAGCUUGAGAAUGUAAGAAUACAAACAUUUGUUAGAUAACCUCAAACUUGUGUAAGAAGAACAACUACUAAAAAAUAUUUAGGUCUAGAUUCAAAGUAGUUACACUUAACAGACAGUACCUAUAAGAACUGAAAACUAGUAAUUCGAUAAUAGUUUAAUAGGUUAAUAGAUUCAAUGAAUAUAUCACUUUUUUUUAUCAAGUGUCUUUUCAAAACCAUAAUUUGAAAGCUGAUAAUGAUAAAUCAUUAUGAGCAUCUCAGACAACUUAGAUAAUUCAUAAGAACUGUAGCACAUCAUUAUAUGACAACAAACACCUCCUUAGAGAAUUAUUAAGAUGUGGCUGGAACAACAUAUAAUUAAAUUAUGUCGACUACAAUGUAGCAGCAGCUCCUUAUUGAAAAAAUUGGAAACACAAACACAAUGCAUAUGAAGACAUCAAGGAGUUCAACGAGAACUUGUCCAUUGAAGAACAAAGAACCAACCAGAUAAACCUUACCUCAGGUAAUAAGCCUUAUAUGCAGAAGGUCCUUCUUUGAAAAGAGUCGACAAGCCAUUACGGAUCAAAAAAGUUCUCAACUGCACAGUAAACAAAUAUUAAGAUGCAAUUUCUCAGAUCAACACGUGAUAAAUUUCAAAGCAACAUUCUAACUAAUUAUGUUCCAAAUUUAGAUCUUAUUAAGUGGAAAAAUAACUGCGUAUCAUAUACUUCACCAAAAAAAAAAAGAGGGUUUUCCACUGCAGUCACUUUCACUAUUUUAAUUCAAUUUGCAAGCUCAAGCUCAACAUAUAAAGAACCUCACAGAAAAAGUGUUAAGCACAUCAAAGUACCAGCUAUGAACUCCGUAUCUCAUCCCUUCCUUGAAUUUUUUUUGUUUGAAAAGGUAGCAUAUUUAUAUAAUAAUAAACUACACAAAGGGUGUAGUAAUCACCCAUAAUUACAAGAUAAAUAAAGGGAAAAACAACUCCUAAUCCUUUUGUCUUCUCACAAGGAUUCUAACAACAACAUACCAGGUGUAAUCCCACAAGUGGGGUUUGGGGAAGGUGGCGUAUCAGCAACACUUACCCCUACCUUGUGAAGGUAGAGAGGUUGUUUGAAAUAGACCCUCAACUCAAAUAUUCACAAGGAUUCUAGUACAUCAUAAAUAGAUCCGGGAUCUUCUAAAAAUUCUUGUUUACACCACACACUUUUCUUUGCUUCAAUUCCACAAAAAUAUCCUUUCACCUUGUCCAAAUUCUUUUUCACACGGCAGAAUGGGAAAUAAGGACAUAACAUAGCUGGCAGAUUGAACAGGUUGUAAAAAGGCUCCAUAGCAGUCUUGGUACUGUGCAGUGCAUUCAAAUAGAUUCUUGCAAAAAAAUUUCAGAUAGUGGGAUUCCGUUAUUCAAAACCUACUUCUAUAUAGCCAUCUUUGUACAAAUUCUUUAUAACAAAACCAGAAGAUUAUCCUUUCUUAACAUAAUUGAUGUAGUACCACCGAAGGAUUUUUUUAAAUAAAAUUAAGCAGCAGGCUCGAUAUCUGGUGGGCUGGUGGCUCUCCCAAUUCCUUCGACUUUAGCCUUACAGACAUACUCUAUCCCCACAAACUUUGAUUUCUCAUGAGAGGGUGAAAGGAUCCUAAAAGCAACAUCUAUAGAUCCCUAGUCCGUGUCGUUUAUGGUUAAAUCUAGGACGGUAUCUCGCCAUCUUCUAGCGGCCAACAUUGGUUCCAGUAUCAAAUAAGCUUAUUGUUUGAUUAUAUUUGGUAAGAACGAAAUAAUGGGCACUUAUUUCAUGCACUGCUCUAUUCUGCAUGAGGCAUGCAUCAAAGAAAUAAAAUACAUUUAAAAGAUAAGCAGAACUUGAAAAGGUAUGCCCCUAGUAGCAGCAGAACAACCAGUUCCAACUCACCAACAGGCAAGAGUGACAUGAAAUCUCUGUGAAUGAAAGCUUAUCUAGAAGCUGCAUUACCUUAUAAGGAAGGAAUUUCAUCUUGACCAUCAGAUUUGCAUCUUCAUCAGCUAAACUGCUGUCCUCUUCCUCAUUUUUCACCACUUGAUUGCUACUUCCUGCCAUUUCGGCAGUUUUCUUCUCAUUGACCUUGAAUAAAUCCAGGUCCACAAAAAAGCCUGUGAACAGCUACAUCAGCAACUCAGGGUGCAAAAGAGGAUGCGAUGAGUAAGGAGAGAGGGAGGCUCUCACUGAGUGGAGACUACCCUUUUCUAAUGAACAUAACAGAAGAUAGCAGGUGAAGACUGGAACUCAAAGAUCUAUAGGGGGGCACUAUUAUAGAUCAUUCAGAGGGGACAUGACUGUAACUUUUUGUGUUCCCACAAAAGAAAACUUUCAAAAUUGUCUUGAGUCAAAAUUUCAUAUGACUUUUUAAAUACCAUAACUUUGUUCUCAAAUAGGAGUAACAGAAGUUUCACCUCAAGCACCAGCAAGAAACCACUAAUUUACUCCUAGAAGAGGAAAAAUUAAAGCUGAAGAAUAUAUAUACACACACAUACAUUAUAUGAAACUCUUAUUUUAUUUUAUUUAGUAUGAUGAUGACAUGAAAUGAGCUUAAAUGGAGAAGUGGAGAUCCAUAUAGCCGACCCCAACAUGUUUGGGACAAAAGUGUUGUGUUGUUUGGUUACUUGUACUAAAAAUGGGAUAUAUAGGGAAAGAUUUAAAAUAUGUAUUUAUAUCUGAACUUACUAAAUUUAAAGGAAAAGAUAAAGGUUAAUUUUUUUAUAUUUUGAUGUUUAGUCCAUAUAUUGUUAUCCAUGUUUUAUUAGGUAUAAAAUGAUACCAAUUGGCAAUUGGUGUACUAAAUUAUGCAUGAUUAGCUAUGCAGGACUCAAAGACUUGAGUUCAAUGUUAUACAUGAUUAGACAAACCUGGUGUCUCACUUCAAAGUUAUAGGCUUUACCAGUUAGCAAGGUUAAAGGUUAUACAAGUUAGCAGCUAACAGAUAAUUUCCAGUUUUGGCUGAGAAUAAUAAAUGAACAAAUAUUACCUCGAUACAAAGGCCACAGUCCUGGUUGGUGUCUGACAUGAAAAGAAUUAUUUUAAUCAAGAAAAUCACACAAGAUAAGUACCAAAACCCAAAAGCUAAACAUCAGAAAAAUUCUAUUGAAACAGUUAAAAAUAGACCUCAUCUCUUUCUGGUACCGGCGGAAGCCUGAAUCACUAUGUACAUGGAUGACCAUUUUGAAAGGCAGGUUGUCACUCGAUAAAUCAUUAAUUUUAUGGAAGUUAUAGUAACACUUGAAAGCAGCAGGAAAGCGUUUUUCCCUCAUCAAACGAACCAUUUCCUGAAGAUGAAUAUAUCCCAAAUGAAUAAUGUUGGUUAACAAAGUUGAGACUAAAGAAAUAACUAAAAUCUUUUUUUUUUUAAAACAGGUAACUUUGUAUAUUACUACAACAGUACAUAGGCAGUACUGAGCCAUAUUUACAAUAAGAUCAUCAAAUCCAGCUACCUGAUCCUAAAUUGAGUCUAGUACAUCAAUUAGGGAGAUAGUGUCAUUGGAGUAUAAUUGAUUACACCAAAAACACAGUAGCAACAAGCAAUUAAGCUUGACUUUUUGAAUGCUGUUUUCUAUACUAUCAAAAUAUAUGGAAUUCCUCUCCUUCCUUAUUGCCCACCAAAUGCUAGCAGGGACAAUUCUCCAUCUCUCUCUAUUGCCCACCAAAGAGAUAACUAAAAUCUUACAACUAUCUAUCAGGUCCUUCAAGAAAAAGUCACAAAACAGUUAAGCCACACACCAAAGACUAAUCCACGUAGUUCCAUGAACACAAUCAGAAUAUCUGUAUAUUUUCCAAACAAUAAGGUGUGUGUGUGGGGUGGGGACGGCGGCAAAAGCCAAAAGCAAUGACAAAAGACAGGGCCAGUUUAGCCAGAGAGAGGAAGAAACCAAAUUUUUUUCAUGUAUGAAAUAAAAGAUGCAUAUAAUUAGUGAACGUCAUAAUUAUUGUCCCUGAAAACCAUGUUCAACCGCUCAGAGAGAUGGGAAGAUGAUGCGAAGAAACAGGCCCAUUAAUUUACUUUUGGGAAGUUAUUCGUUCAUCCCUUCCUGCUAAUUUGUGCAGCUAAAAGAAAGUAAAAUAUUACUUCCCAUCUGGCAAUCAUUCAUUUUCACCUCUACCAAGCAAGGUGUAAGAUAGAUAAUCAGACAUAUACACAGAUUCAAAAGACAUCUAAAAUAGGGAGCAAAAGCAAAGGAAAAUUAAAACAUCAACACCAUAUUUACAACAUAAUUGUACUCCUCCCUUAGUUAAAUUGGUUGAUGUGCUUCCCUUUUUUGAUUGUAAUCAAAGCUCACUUUCUCAAUGGAACACUCCACCAAAAGGACAAUAAAAACCUGUGUAUACAACUCUUGCUGCUUCAUGACACCAAAAAACUAACGAAUAAUCACUCUGGGUACCCCUACCCUAAAAUGGUUUGCAAUAUAAAACUCUAUGUCAAAUUAAACCACAACACAUUUUAAGAAGGGUGAACAUCAAAGUAAAGAUAUGGGAUUUUGUGACAGGAAAACAUGAAAUACGAAGUCGGGUAUUUGAAAUCCAUUGAGUGUGCCAUAAAUUCCAAACCAGCUUAAUUUCCUUGUUACACAACAUUUCCUUCUAGGGGGUAGUUAUUCUCACUUUCUCAUGUCUACAAAAUUACUUGAAUUGAAGUGUUUCCCCAUGUUCCCACUACUGUUACUAAACACCACAAGAAUGCCAGGGACCAAGCAAAAGUUGCAGUUGCAGUAUAAUAUUGUCCUCUAAAACCGAAACAAAACACAAGGGUAUUCUAUGAGUAUCUAGAUUCAGGUGUUACAUGUUGAUCAAAAAUAUUGUAACCUCUUUAAAAUUGAUACUUCCACUAUUAUAACUUCCCUUAAGGAUGUAUUAUUUCCCUCAGUUUCUUUUAUAAUUAAAAUAAUCACCUUCAUAAUAAACUCUGGUGAAUAUUUCUCACACAUCUUCCAUUUUGAAUUUUAUCUCAUAUACUACAAUUUAUUUCUCCUACACUACCAAGGUUUCUGAUUCAUACUUCAUCUGCUUUAGCAAAAAGAAGAUACACAACUAGGCGAAGAAGAAGUCAAUGGUGAAUAUCUGUUUGCCCCCCUCUUCAAUCAAUGUGUUGACCUUUGUCGCUUUUGCCCUUUAAUUUUUUCAUGUGUAGGGGCACUUCUUUAGCCUAAUCAAUAGUUGUUAUGAUGAAUCACACGUGGGAGAGAUAUGAAAUCUCUGUCAACAUGAAGCAAUUAGCAAUGAUCAUCGUGAAAGCAAUUAUGCUAAAAUGAGGUUUUGUUGAGCAUGCUACAAAAAGAGGGUGAUCUGAUAUGUUGAUAAUUAGGGAAGAAAAACUAGGGUAAAUAUACGACUAGGUAGCAAAUUAGCUAGCUCCUCUUUCUGAAAACCGGUACCACUAUAAGAAGAUUGUAGUAACAUAUAAGAAGAAACUAAUUUGGUUAGGUCAGUGAUGACUAUCAAGAAAUAAACAACCAACAGUAACAUCAACAAAUUAAUUAGGAGAUAUUUUAAAUGAAUCACUUCAGAAAAUUUCCCAAACCUGUAAUUUUCCUGUAGAAAAAUCAGCAGGAUGUGAUUGUAGGAACUUUGACACAACAGAUCGAUCAGCAUUUCUUGAAUGUGAGCCGGAAUCAUCAUCUCCAAACCAGUCCAAAUAAUUCGGGCAGAAAGCCGUGCCAGCACUCUGAAGAAGUGCCUUUAUUUGCUGCACAUAGAAGAGAACUAAAGUUUGGUACAUUGGUUACAUGAAACUACUCUUUGCUCCUGAAUCACAUCGACAUUUACCUGCUUUUCUGAUCUAUUUGCAGCGCAAAUUUCACGUAGCGUAGGUCCCAAGUCCAAACCCUCUGGAGAAGGCAAAAACACUUAUGAAAUCAAAAGGAGUAAUAAACCCAAUUGUCUCACAACUACAAUGCCUGAAUCCCAGUUGAAUUGGGGUAUGAAUCCUCAUUGACUAUGUCUCUCCAUUAAGGCUUAGACCAAUAUUAUACAAAAUAAAAAUAAAAAUAAAAAAACACUAGGAGCUCUUUAAAUUUCUGGCAGGAUUUAUCCACUAAUUCCCUAAGUUUUCCCGUCAAAGGACCUAUCUUCCAAAUAUCUAGCAAAAUAUAAAAUAUUGAUUCACAUCAAGGACACACAAAAGUAGAAAAAGAUAAAAAGCACACACAACCAAAGAAAAUUGAAAGAGUUGAACUUGUGGUAGCUGCCUCACAUGAAUUAUUCGAGAGGGGAUAUUUCUAUUACCUAUUUCUAUUUACUUGGUACGUCUUCUUUCUUAGUUCAUCUGAUGCCUUAGUCCACUUGAGCCACUUCAACAUUGAUAUCAUGCAUUUGUUCGUGCAGUUGAUGAAGCAUAUUUUAGAUGUGCUUGAAAUAUAUUCACGGUUCAAUUUGGGGGUGUAUUACAAGAGACUAAGACGACUAGUUGCUGAUUAGAAGAUACAUUUCAAAACUCGGUCACAAGGUGAUGUGGGUCACUCACAUUGUCAUUUAGGCUUCUUUAACCAUUCAAUCGCACCACGAAUAAAACAAUCUUCUUACUACUCCAUGAAAGCAUACAAAUAAAAUAUGUUAACCCCAACAAAUAAUGGUAGAGUAUUUAGUACGAUCAUAUAAGAAAAGAUCAGCUUACCACCCUCUAAUGGAGGAGGAGAAAAAUCCCUCAGAACCCGCUCCAUAUGCUCUGAGCUCUCACGUUUUACAAUGCGUGCCACGAGGCCCUCCAAAAUUUCACCCUGCACUUUUAUAUGGUCUUUUGAUCCUGCACAUCGAACCAAAGUAUGUAGGAGAAAAACACUACUUCAAGGACGAGUACAAACAACAUAAACAAAUAAUGCAGAGGCAAGUGAAGAUAUUAGAAAGAAAAACGAAUACAAGAUAUCCAAAAUGCAAUUGCAAAUAUACAGAUAAUAGCAUGAAGGAAUGGCUAUUUUAAGAUUGUCAUUUCACUUCCCAAAAGGAAGUAAGCUUUUAGCAGCAAUCAAAGCCUAGAAGCACAUGAAGCAUUUUGCUUUUAGCAACACGACAAUGCUCUAAUUAAAAUGCUCUUAGAGAUCCGUAAAGGAAACAGACAAAUGAAACUACUCACUGAAAGAAGUAAAAAGAAAAGAUGCUGAGUCGUGACAAUUGUCUGUAGUUGGAGAAUGAAUCUGGCGACAUACCCAGAGGGUAAGAAUGGAUGAUAGAGAUAAGGCCUUUAAAAAGUAAAAGAGGGUGAAGGGAGAAUCUAAGAAGGUAAUAUGAAAAUUCAGGGUAAAACCUUAGACGAGUUGUACCAAAAGCAAAGGCCUCGAGAUGGAAAAAGUAAAUGUAUGAGCUAGCACAACAAAGAGAUAAAUUCACACUAGACCUUCUUUAUUGCAUUCAUUUUUUUCUUUCAAUAAGGUGAUUGUUGUACUAAAUAUUAACGUAUGCAAGAGGUAUACAACAGAAGAAAAUCUAGACAAAAAACAUAAUUCUCUAGAAAUAGUACCCCCCAACCAUCUAAACUAACUGGAAACACCUCAGGCGUGCUAUGAAAAUUCACAAAAACAAGAAAGGUCUUCUAGUUUCUACAGAAAAAAUUCCGUUUUUUUCUUUUUCUACCUUUUGAAAGCCCAGAAAAGAAACAAAUAUUUGAAGGCACUCGGGCUCCAUAGGCACGCCAGAAGAGAUCCAAAACUAUAUCCCCACUAUCUGCAUGGAACUUAGUAAUAGACAGGUAAACAAUCCACCUCUUCUUCCUCCUCUUACAUAUAUAAUAUAUGAUAUCUUACUCAUAUUCUCAUAUGCAAGAAGAGAACGUCAUAUAAAAUGCUUCAUUUUCCUUGACGUACUCGUUAUUUGUGGGUGUGACAAGACUAAAGGUCUUCACAGAGGUUCCUCAAAAUACACGGGAACUUAACAAAGUUUUGAAGUACAAGUAUAAACACCCAACACAUAACAAGUCGAUAGACGAAUCUAUGCUCAUAAAGAAUAGUUCACUACGCAGCCAGCCACGUAUAGGAAACAAUAUCCUCAAAGCGCUAUGGUAAAGAAAAAACUGUUCACUCUGUUUAUUACACCUCUAUGUGGUCCAAUUUGAAUAACUUUUGGUUGGAAUUCUUAAAUCACCAAUCUUACAAAUGUCUUGUAAGCUCCACAAACAUUUAAAAGAUCCUCUAUCCUCUACUUUGUGUAGAUGUAGUAGUGCAAUAAUCAUCGGUCUCUAGUUUGAUAUAAUUAGAAUAGUUAUGCCUUGUCUUGGCCACACCAAACAAUGUUCCACACCUUCAUGCCCUUUUUUAAUAAUAUUUUUCACCUUCUAUCAAAAUGAUCCCCUCCAUGACCCUCCUCUGUAAUACAUCCUAAUGUCUUCUCUUCUCGCCCACCUACUUGAAUUCUGUAUUAUUAUUAUUUUUCUGAUAAGGUAAGAUUUGUAUAGAUUCCAAAGCCAAUGAGGCCAUAAUUACAAGCUACAUCUAGAUUUAAUUAGCAAAAAAUGUAAAGAGACUCUAGAAACUGUAGUAGAGCCCUUGUAUCUACUAUAUACUUGAAGUCUGUAUUUAUUUGUGGUGACUAUCCUGCAUAGUGCUUCUUUAUCAGUGAAUCGUCAUAUCCACAUUCGAGUCCCCUCAAAUCUUACUCUUGGUCCCCUUACUUUCAUAGGAGAUGUGAUCUCCUUAAGUUUUUUUAAAAAAAAAACAAAUUUGUACCACUAGACAGGGCGUCUAGCGGCAUUUUAUUAAUAGUAAGAUAAAAACCUCAACGUGAAUAAGUACUGCUGUAGAUGCUGUGAUUAAGCAGGGUCACAUAAGACUUAAUAGAGACACGGUCCCAGUGACCCAUUGGAUUGGAUUUCUCCCUUGGGCGGACUCCCUAUGGGGAUAACUUGUUACUUGUAAAGUCCAGGAAUGAAUGCUUAUUAAGGAAGCGGUAAGCUGAUGUGCCAUUACUGGGUUCCAUCCUCUGGCAAUUAUCGACUCGGGAAUGAACGAAGUCGCUUCACUUCAAAGUAGAGGUUUGUGGUAACACUAUGCAAGAUACUGCCAAGUUAAGUUGGCAAAAUUUCCUUGACAUAAUGUGAUCUCCUUUAGUAAGUAAUGAAAUUUUCAUCUCGGCAUUUGUUUCAAGAAAAUGUUCCUUUUUGAAGCCUCUCAAGUUUCUUGUUGUAACCAUAGAUACUUUUUUUGAAACUGAAAAAAAAGUAUCUAUGGUUACAACAAGAAACUUGAGAGGCUUCUUGAUGAAGAUAACAUAUAAAGGGAGGAUUAAAGUGUAUCCGAAUGACACCUUCAAGAAAAUAUAGUACCACCCCGCUAAACAUUUCUUCGACCUUCUCAACUAAGCAGAUGUGAUUUCUGCAAUUAUAUACUCACACAAUUUGUGUGAUGCUUUCUGUCGUCAUGAUUUCAUACUUUGUCAAUUAAUCUUCAAACAGAUAUUCUAUGAUCAGUGACACUUGCCUCAACUAUUGCAUCUGGAAAUUAUUGCAUCACUGAACAUAAAUGUAUCACUGACAAACAGAAAAUACGAGAUUCCAACACUCUCAUUCUUCCUCAUUAUGUCAAGGAAAUUUUGCCAACUUAACUUGGCAGUAUCUUGCAUAGUGUGUCUCUAUUAAGUCUUAUGCGACCCUGCUUAAUCACAGCACUCUACAGCAGUGAUUUCCUUGGUCAAUUAUGGGUGCCAUGACGACAAUUUGGCAUAUGAAGGACUUUGGAAUAUGCAUGGCACUGCAUCCAACCAAACUCUUCCUCCAGAUUACUUAAAUAUAAGUUACUUCAAUACUUGAAAAAACGUUUCCUUCUCUAAAAGUGCAGCAACAUACAUAAGUGUAUAACUACAACUUUAUAUCCUGAUGAUCAUCUGACAUCUUUUUAACUACAACUCUACAUAAUGACGAUCAUCUGACAUCUCUUUUAACUACUUACUCAACUUUUUUACGAGUUCAAACUAAUGUCUCAAGCAAUUCUGCAGCACUCUUAGUUAAAUUACAUUAUCUCAGUGGAGGGAAGGUAAAAAAGAAUACACUCAUACGGCAAACCACCUAAUCAAAACAAUUAGAGUCACACAAAAGAAAACCAACCAAGUGAAAUAAGCUGAACAAUUUAAAUAGUGUUUUGCACAAUGCUAAACUUACCAGGUACAGAAAUAUCAGCAACUUCAGCAAGAGCCUGGCAAACGGAGGUUGCUGUACCUUCCUCACAGAGUGCAUCAAACGCAGCAAAGAAGGAAGUAACUGAUUUCCUUCACACGGAAGCCAAGGGAUCUUUCAGAAAUAGACAGUUUUUCAUACUCCAAUAAAACAGAAACAUACCCAAAUUUUAUGUGUUCUUUUUAAUGGAAAGGAGGCAAUGUGAAACAACCACCAAUGAAAUUGACACUGAGAGCAAGCAAAUGGAUAAACAACCAUCUUCAAUAGUAAGAAAGCAAUUCAGAAUGGGUAUUAGAGCUGCCACAUGACAUAGCUUUUCACAGAAGCCACGAGAAACACGGUGCUACAGCCUGUUAUCUUGAGUAUAUUUUGUCAACAUUGACGACCACUGCACAGGUAUCCAUUUAUGGGAACGAGAAGUCUGUAUUCAGUAGGUGCGGGAAUUCCAUACUUUUCUUGAGCUUCUAUCUAAGUAGAGAAUACCACAGAUGACGCAUAACACCUCGAAGUAGGCAGACUGAAACAGUUUCUUCUACUCAGUGAACUCAUUCUACCAAAGAAUAUUGAGGACGGAAAUUAUGAGCACAAUUUACUAAGGCAGUGGUUUCUUAGAGCUCCCACAAUUUAUUUUGUGGGGGGAUUGGUUGGCCAGUGAGAGAAAUUAUCAUUAAAGCAGAGAAUUAGAGAAACAUGAAAAUAAUUUACUUUACUUGGAGCUAUAUUUUCGAAAGAAGUUUGAGAAAGUUGUGAAACACUUCUAAAUUAUUGUCAUGGCAAAUGGUGUGGGAAUAACUUGGAUCUGGUUUGUAGAGAAUCAUAUCUUUGUGAAGCACUUUCUACUUCUAAUAUACUAUUUGUAUGCCAGAUUAUCUCAUCUAUAUCAAUAAAAUAAUGACCCUAUAAAAAAGAUUUGAAACCAAAGCAACAUGACGUGGAUAGGUUAACCUUGAAGGUUGAAUGAAAUUCUAGUUACAAGCACCUGUGACAUAUGUCCCUGAACAGUGUUACAAACUGAGAAAAAGGAAGUUUACUCCUCAUACUAGUAAAACACUAAAGGAUAUACCAGAUAACCCAAUAUAGAAGACCAUGUUCCCACUACAGAUUUAACAAGAAUCUGAAGACAAUCUGCAUCUUGAUAUCUUUAAAUGUAUGUCCUUAGGCAUACAACACUUCCAGCAUAUUUCUUGGGAAAAAAAAUGUAUGUCCUUUAAAAGUCUGGUGUACUGCUAACUUCCAUUUCUUAUAGUCUAAAAUAUAUGUACUCUUAAUUUGUGAUUUGUCUUGAUGAACUUGUGUCAAAUGAGUGCAACAUAGACAUGGCUACUUCAUCCGAGUCCUUUAAAAGGCACCAAAAACUACUAAAAUUUGAAGUACCCGUAUCUGAACAGCCAUAUAACAUAGCAUAAAGAUAGAUCCAUAACCAGUAUCAACAGCAUAAAGCCAUCAUGCUGCAUGGGGCUGUUGAUCAGCCAAUAGUCUCACAGCUUUGUUCUUACGCCACUCACAGUCAACCAUGUACAGGGCCUCAAUGUGAUACCUGGCUAGCCAACUCUUAUUGCAAACCUGCUGCUAUGAGGUUAUAAAUUCUGCUCUUUUGGGAAACUAGCAAGUAUUCAUAGACCUACUCCUCCUCUGCCCUACUGUUUACAUUGUUAUACUACAAAAAAGAUCCAUGUCUAUAGCAACCAUACUUCAAGUCUUCAACUACUUAUUAUCCUCAAUAUUUUUGUUUUUUGCAGCUGCUAGAUAACCUUCAAUGUCCUGUUAACUUCUUUACAAUAUUCCUGCCACAAGUCAGUUCCAUAUUGCUGUACUUUCACUGCCAAACUAAAGGUCAUAAAUCCAAUGGCUGCUUGUAUCAACUGUGACGCAAGUGUUUUCCACAAUAAGAAUGAAAUCAGAACACACUUAAACGCAUACCUUGUUGAGAACAGCCAUACAUGAUUUGUUGGUAAUCUCCAUUCCCUGCAGAAAGCAAUUACAUCGGGAGUUGAAUAGAAAUUCGGUUUUCCAGUUCCCAACUCCGUGACAGCAGUCACAACCGCUGUUCAAAGAAAGAUCAGAAAAGUUAUCAGCAAAAGGUGGCAAAUCUGAUAAAUGUCGCAAGCCGCAACAGUCAAUUACAAACACAUGACCAUAAACAACCUUGUCAACAAACAAGUAUAUUUUGGAAAAUCAGAAUGCGGUGCUCAGACUGUACAUAAAUCCACGUUCUCAUGUAACAUCCAAAACUAUGAAGGAUUCUCCUACACAGCAAGCACCUACAGAUCCUUAAGUUGUGAAAGUUCAACACAACUAAUAUUUUCAUCUCACAAGACCAACACAUAGUCGAGAGCCAGUUUCACCCAAAAAGAUAGUCAAGUACUCUUUUGAAAGGCUGAAGAGCACCCAACGGUGUGGCCUAGUGGUCAAUGAAGUGGGCUGCGGAGCAUGAGGCCUCAGGUUCAAAUCCUACCAGAAGACAAAAAAACUAGGUGAUUUCUUUCCAUCUCUCUCCGCCUUGGGGGAUAGAGUUACUCGAUACUUGUGCUAGUGGGAGGUAACAUGUACCCAUGAAAUUAGUCGAUGUGUGAGCCAGGCUGCAGGCUUGCCCGGACAUCACGGUUAUCAGGAAAAAAAAAAAGAAGAAUAAGAAGAAGACUGAAGACCAUUUGAAACCAAGACAUAUGACCACUCUCUUUUUUGAAACUGCAAAUAUUUUUAUUUAUUUUUUUGAAACUGAAGACAUAUGACCACUUUCAAGGAUAUAAUUUCAUGGAGUUGUUAGGCUGCCUCUGAAACCUUACCAUAAUCAUCUUGUGGGCGUUGUCCGUGGUCCCCCAACACCGCCGUGACCAACUCCAUUGAUAUACACAUGCGAUUGCGCUGCAACAACCAAGGUUUAUUAAUUUGGAUCUUCUAUAAGAAGUCAUAGCAAGAGUUUUUUCAUAAUGUUUUUGCACUAGAGUAACAAAAUGUAGAGUGAAAAAUGAAACAUGAUGCAAGAGAGUAAAAUUAACACCAGUUGUGGAUGAAAUGGAUAAUUCUCUGACAAUUGGCAUAACAUCCUAGUAAUAUUCUCAGAGUGGUUGUUCCAAUAAAGUGAUAUCAUCUUAACAGUGAUUGUAGAUUGUAUGCAACCUAGUCAACCACACUAAAGAGAUGAUCGCACCAAUAAAAUGAUUGCACUAUCAAAAUUUAAAAUAUAGGGAACAAAACUAUUCCCCAGAAUCUAGUGCAAGAUCUACUCUGCGCAGUUGCUCACACAUAGAGGUUUACCAAAUCCCGUGAACUUUUUAAAGUCUCAUCUCAAACUCCUUUAUAUUUUUUAUUCUCAAAGAACCAUCAUUUCCUAGUAUUCAAGUUCGGUGGCAUUUUCAAUGAUUUUACAGAGUAACAUAGUUAGGUAAAAUCCUGGAAAAGGCAGUUUGAUUCUGGUCUAGACAGAGUUUAAAUAUUCGAAUUUGUUUAAGAAAUGAAUUGAGUGCCCAACUCCUAGUUAGGCAUUUAAAUCUGUCCCUGUGUAGACUAAUUCUCAGGUUUCUUCUUUUAAUAACCGGAGAAAAUUUAUGAGGGGAAAUAGUCACAAUUUGAAAAUCAAUGGAUAAUGGGUCUGCCCGUAUACCCCUCUUCACUUAAAUAACACUCUUUUGUCAGUGGGCGAAUCUGGUUACCACUGACAAAAGCCCUGGGGGGAACUAAUUCCACUUCUUGUGAUCGAAAAAGAGGAGAUGGUUGCCAACUUGCUCUUCACUCCGACAAGCAUGGGAAUGCUUUCAGGCUUUACGUGUUCUCAAACUACUGCAGUCUUCUUUUUCUUUUUGUUCUUUUUUCUCAUACAAAACUAGGUUUUUUCCAAUCCUAAUUCCACCUCGCUUAUCACUGCAUACCCUAUUCAUGCUCAAAGUUUUCCACACAAGCUAUUACCCCGAAGCACUUCGAUCCAACAAUUUUCUAUCCUUUACCCAUAUUCUAUGGCAUUUGAACCAUGGAGGAUGUGUUUUCCAUCAACUAAGAAACUAUCUUCCUACCUUCACCCAAAAUAUUGGUUUCACUUUCUUCCCCUCGAUCAAACGAACUCUUUCAACCUUUCCCCUUUUGUGUCAACCCUGCAGAUCCGAGGCUUGUUAAGGAGUACUAGAUGAUCACCAGGAUUCAUUUUACGAGAAGUAUCAGUUGUCCGGGUUAUAUGGAUUCAUCUACACACGGACAAUUGUGUUUAAAUGAUGGUGGAUGUGUAGAAAUUUUUUCUGCCCAUUAUGACGGAAACCCUAGACUUCCAUUCCAGUCUUUGGCAGCAGAUCCUUUUUAAUCUAAUUUUAUGACUAUUACAUUUUGCUUAAUUAAGGAAAAACAGGGUUGGACACUCCAUCUGAUCUAAACAAUAGAUACGCAUAUAAUUUGUAAUCAGUCAGCGAAUCCAAUUAAUUCUGCACAUCCAACAGAAUAAAGGCCAGAAAGAAAAAAGAUAGAACAAGAGAGGAGAUCAGGAAAGACGAGAAAUUCGAGGGACAAAAUCUACUACAAGUAAAAACAAAAGGAAGAAAACAGUAGAAAUCACUCCAGUAAUAGUCAGAUAAAGAGGAUUUUCAAGUGCAUGAGGUUGAACAAAGCUGAAGUUUUUGAAAAUAAACUAAACGCCAAAUUUAUUUUCUCCUGAUAAACUACACCAAGUCUUCCUUGAAACUGUACAGCAGCAAGCUCUUUUAGUUCAGACUAUAUUUAUCAUUGAUGAGUUUCUUGAGACUCGUUCAUGAUCAGAAAACAUUGAAGUGAAAGAAUCAGCAAUGUUUAUAAAGAAAGUACUAUGAAUUCUCCUACAUAGGGACUAAUAUUUAGUUCAAUACCUCAAGAAACUCGUUGAACUCUGCUUGCUUCUUACUUGCUUGAGUACCCCAUGUCUCACGAAACAUCCGUCCAAGAACAAAGACACCAACGGCAGUAUAGCUACAAAAUGAAAAUAUUACAGCAAGCCUUAGUUGAGACUCAAAGAGUUUAACCACCAUAAUGAUUGCCAGGUAAUAGAUGAUCCAACAAUAUAGAAGGCCAGGGAAGUGUAGAAUGGAUGAUUUUGCUGUAAAUGGUACCACAGGCUAUGUUGUUCAGACUCGUCAAAACGUUGCUGCACCCAUGUCGGUCCUCCAAAAAUGCACUACUUUUGGAGGAUCCGAUAUGCGCCCAGGAAAGCAUUUUGAAGAGUCCAAGCGACAUAGCCUGCAGGCCUACAUCAUUCUCUGCACAACAUAAGAAGCAUCAGUGCACAAUAUAAACCAUCCAGAAUGUAGUUGAUCAGUUAUCACACUUCAAAGCAGAAGAUGAAUGUCUUAUUAAAGUCCCUCUCAAGCUCCAUUGCUUUUUAACAAUAGCACAGCCAUGACUCGACAAAAUUGUUUGAAGCAACAACCACUGAGCGUACAAUUAAGAGUACCAAAAAACAAUAGUUACACCAAUAAUCUUUGUAUACAAAACAUGGUGGCAUGCAAGUAUUCAACUACUUGUUUUUUUUAAACCAUGUUUAUCAUAUACUAACAUAGAAAUACAUAAGAGGGGGACAUAGACCUUACCUCCUAUAGCUAGGGUACAGUAUAGAGGGCAACCAAAAAUAUGGAGAAACUUAUGGAAGAGUCCAGCCCCAAGGUAAAAUGCUUUACCUGGUUGGUGGUUAAAAGAGCAUGCCUGACACAAGAAGUUUUGAAGAAAAAGGAGGCCAUUAUAGUUUCCAGGUGCUUCUUAUGCAAUGAGAAAUGUUAAUCAUCUGUUUUACACUGCACUUUUACAGCACAGCUUUGGUCUCUAUUUCUCAACAUAACAGAGACAAGUUGGAUUAUGCUGGAGCAUACUGCAGAUUUGCUUAGCUGCUGGAUGAAAAGAGGAGGCACCAAAGUCAAAAGAAGUGGUGGAGGAUCAUACCACAAUGCAUCUGGUCGACAGUUUGGAGAGAGAAAUGGGAGGUAUUAUGAAGAUAGAUCCAAUUCCAUUCAGAAAGUUAAACGGAAUUGUAUAAUAUCUUUCUAGUUUUGGUGUAAAGAAGUAGGUUUAGAGGAUAUACAUCAUUUUGCAGAUUUAUCAAGAUCUCUGUAAGUAUCUUCUUCUCUAUUUUAUUUUAUUUUAUUUUUAUCUAACACUUUUUGAUGGUGCCCAGCAUGUCCUCAAUGAUGAGGAAUACACAUUUACCAGUUUCAAAAAAAUAGAAGAUGUUUAAACCAAAAAAAUAUGCCGUAAUCCUAAGCAAAACAUACAUAUUCCCGAAGCUAUUCUUGGCAUAUGCUCCACCCUCAUGCCCAGCAUACAUAAAAAGAGAUCCAGAAUGCUUAAGAGAGACCUGAACAAAAACAAGCUCCCGCAUAAGCAGCAUAAAAAACACCUAUAAGAAACAAGUUUUAACAAUUGAAGAAAGGAAUACAAAAAGAGAUUAUGACAAGAUAACCCCAGCUAGAACAACGACCAAGGUAGUGAAAAAUGGUGCCUUCAUCUUAUAAAAAUCUAACUUUCUAAAGUGAUGUUUUGAUGAAGGACCGAGAAUUGUAAGGUAAACUUACCUGUUCAAGGAAAAUGUACCUUCCUGAUAAAAAGAAUAAACGGAAAUUAAAUUAGCAUAUAUCAAAAGCCAAACAAGCUUGAGUCCUACCUCCACCGUAGCCAAGCCUUUGGAGACCAUCUCUAUCAUCCUUGUCCUAACCUGAAAAACCAUACUACCAUUCUUGAAUUUCCACUUUUAAGUGUCAUGAACCACAGAGGAAGAGAAGUUGGAGAGAUCACUACCUCCUGAUCUGAUUUCUCAUUCUCAAAUUUUGGGUAGAAAGUGGCCCUUAUUUGGGCUCUCAAGAAUGUGGAGUUAUCUACAGUAAAAUUUUCCAAUAAACUACCCUUGAAUAAUUUGCUUAAAAGAGCACUUUUUUGUUCAUUUGGUGUUUUUUCAGCUUCAAUCUUUGGGGCUCCAGACACUGUUCCAUAUGAUUUGGGUUUCCAGAUGACUUUUUGAUGCUGCACCGGUGACUGGGGUGCUAAUCCAACGCUGCCAAACUGAAGAGAUGCGACUGGAAUACUAGACUGUGCACCGCUUUCAGUAAUAUCCAAGGAACUUAGAUGGUCGGUAAUGGCUUCAGUAGUUGCAGCAGAUACAGGUUCGACAUUUGAAGACAAGCCUGGUACCCUAUUGGAACUUGGCCUCACUUGCCAUUUUUUUUCUUUAUGACCACCACUUCUCUGUAAAUCAGAAAAUUAAAGUGAUUAAACUAGAUCCAAAUUUUAGAUGCCCUUACAGACACAUAUUAUGACAAAAAAGGUAGAAAAAGAUUGCAGAACGCAUACUCCACAACUAUCUUAGUCCCACCUAACUACAAACACAAGUGUAAUGGCACAAGAAGCUCACAUAUGUAAGGUGGUGUGAUGAUGUCAAAAGAGAAACAGUUAUGAAAAACAAAAGGUUUGACACAACUGCCAUGGUUUGAAACUCCUCAAGGAAGUAGAAAGAUUUAGAUAAAAUCAGCUAACCAAAUAUAAAAGAGGGAUUUCUAGCUGUGGCGAUUAUAUAAGCACAAAACAUAAGCAAAGUUUCAAAAUAGAACACACUGCACACUGGUGUUUAACUUUCCUUCCUAGUUAGCCAGGAGUUAUAUGACUUCCAUUUUCAAGAAACUAUAGGAUUUCUUAAUGAAAAAUAUUAACACAUAAGGAGACAACAACAAUUACCCCUCAAUCCCAAUUUAGUUGGGUCAGCUAUACCAAUCCUCAAUAUAUGUCCCUCUCCAUUUGCAUUCACGGAAAUAGAAAUGCUUAAAAUUUAACCAAAAAGAAAAGUUACCAAGUUCAAAAAAAAAAAAAUUAAACCAAAAAGAUAAUAAUGGCAACAUCCAAGAUUAAUAGUUAAGGAAACUACAACAAUUUACCCCUCAAUCCUGAACUAAUUGAAUCAGUUAUACCAAUCCCUAAUUAUUAUAUUUUAUGACAAAGAAACCCGCAAUCACUACCCUUUGAGUGAGCACAAGGUAAAUUCCGCACUUGUGCAAUAGCUCGCAAACUACACAUAAGAGGUAAACCGCACUAGGCAAGCCCCGUUCGACGAGCUCAACCCUUUCCAUAUGCAUUUGAGGAAUUAGAAUAUUUUAAAUUUAACCAAAAAGAUCAUAGUGACAACGCCGAAGAUUAUGACAGACUCGUUCUUUUAGAAUGCAAUCUCAAAAUUGGACAUUCAGAAGCAUACCCAAAAACCAAAAAAAAAAAACAAGAAGGACAAUAUACCAAUAGUACUCCAUCUGUCCCUCCCAAUUUAUGUGAAAAAAAUCAUACCCAAGAACUCAAAAAAGAAGGUCAACAUACCAAUAUCAAAACUUGAUCAAUAACCCAACAAAUGUAAUACUCCCUCUGUCCCUCCUCCCAAUUUAUGUGAAGGAAAUCAUUUUUUUUAUAAUGCAAUCUCAAAAUUAAACAUUCAGAACCAGGGGCGGAGCCACCUUGUAAGAAGGGGUUCAUCCGAACCCCCUUCGGCGGAAAAUUAUAUUAUUUAAAUAAUUUGAUGUCGAACCCCCCUCGGCUACUUUGUGUGUCUAUUUCUACAGAUUUUGAACCUCCUUACUGAAAAUCCAGACUCCGCCACUGUAAUCAGAACCACUAUACCAAUAUCAAAACUUACAUCAAUGACCCAAUACAUAUAUAAAACCAUACUCUCUUCAUUCCAAUUUACACACCAUUUUUCAUUUCUCAAGAUUCAAAACUGGGUGAACUUCAACCAAACAUUUAAAAUGUAAUUCUUCCAUCACAUUAACAUGAGUAUAAUCACAUCUAAUAAUACUUUUCGUAUAAUUCUUAACAUCUGAGUCAACUCUCAAUAAGAAAGAGUAAUAACAUACCUGAUUGUUUGGCAUGAGUGAAGAGAAUAGUAGCGAGGUACUGUAUGUGAGGGAACGAGAUUGAAAGCGAAAGAAGAUUCUAGAAGGAAAAAAUGAGGAAGAAGAAGAAGAAGAGAGAUUGUGAGGGAGAUGGAGUUUAGCAGUGAAAGAGUAAACGAUCCUAUUCGAAACCGACAUUCAGUGCUAUAGAAAAGGAAGACUCAACUGUUGUAUUAUAUAUGACGCGAGAAAUUUCAGGGGAAACCGGAACAGUGACUACCGCCUUGAGGCAGUCUCCAAUUUGGGUUCCAUAUGCCAUAUGGACAAUACAAUAUAAUAGCUGGUGCAGACCACAUUCAACACCGUGUCGGGUUCGAGAGCUAAGUAUAAAAAAAAUCUUACUCCUAUAUACCACCCUAUAUUGAAUUAUGUUGUAUGUGAUUUGGAUUUAGUCGAGCUUUGAUGGGAUUUUCGUGACUUACACUAGAUGAGAAAUUAAAAAAAUAGAUAUUGGGCUUUUAUUUUUAGAGUAAAUGGUGGAAAAAAAAAAGUAUAACUUUUAAAUUUUAAUUUUUUACCGAUAUGCUUAAGAGUUAAGACUGUGAAAUUAAAAAAAUUAUUUUUAUAUAUUUGAUAUACUUUUGAGUUUUGAUUAAAACAGUGGAUUUAAAAGUUUUUUUUUAUUUUUUAAAAUAAAAUAAACAAGUUGAAAUAGAUGAAGUACUUGAUUUUGAUUUUAUACAAAAGUUGUUUGUUUUCAAUUUUCGAUGGCUUUUAUAUAAUAUAUUUUUCUAUUUUUACACGUAAAAGAUGUAAAUUAUUUUCUUUUAUUUUAAUUUAUAAUUAAUCAUAAGAGAUUAUUUUUUUCGCGAAAGUAAUUUUCAUUAAAUUUAGUGAAAAUUAAUUGAACUAAAUUACCCACUAAAUCUAAAACUUCCCGACCUUGUUAUUUUUUCGUUCAUUACUUUUUCAUAUUUUCGUACGGAAGGAUUAUAAUCGUCUUAUCUUUGUUCUUUAAAUUUUAAAUUUUUUAAAAAGCAAUUUUAUCAGUUUCAGAAGAGAUUAAUGAUUCAUUUGCUAGAAAAAAGAAAGAGACGUGAAGUAGUAAGUAAUUUUAAUGGUCUUAAAUUUUCUCUCGCAACUAUAAUACAAUUUGAUAUUUAUGAAUUUUACACAUGAAAAGAGUUUGGAAAAUUCUCUUCAUAAUUUAUUAUUUUUUUGUUAUAAUUGCCAAUGAAGAAGAGAAUUUAUAUUUACAUUCUUUACCUGAUGUGAAAUUUGUGUUUCAACUCAUGUUGCAAUUUAUGAAGUUUAUAACAUGAGAUGCUUCAAGGAUUUAUCAUUAUUUUAGUUGAUUCAUUCUUGUGUGUGAAUGUGGCAUGUUUUCAUCAUUCACCAAUAAAAUUUAGCUUUGUUUUAGUUGACUCAUUCUCUUCUUCUUUUUUCCGUUCAUUGCCCGAUACUCACAUUAGAGCUCGAUGAAAUCUAAAUUCGCACCGAAAAAUUCUACAUUAGAAUAAAUCGCUCUCUAACAAAGGCAACUCUGUAUCCAAGAGGACUCGAACCUUCUAAUAUCAGCCAAGGAAAAUAAUAGUUUUUCAACAUUCAGUACACCAUAAUUAGGAACAGUGGAAAUAAUGUCUUUUAUUCCAAACUUUCUUGGACAUUUUUAAUAUAAAAAUGUUAAAAAGGAGAAAUAAAAAUGAAAAAUAUGUAAAUGUAAACAGAACCCAGCCUAAUCAAAAUAUAAUGAGAGACUCAGCUUAAUAGCUGUGAUCUUGUAACAGUAGAUCAGACACUACAUAAAAUUGUAUUAAAAACUGAUCUUUCCUGUAACUAUUUCCUCCUAGGUAAUCUAUGCUUCGUAUUAUUCACAAAGCUAGGAAGGAACUACAAUGUCCAUAUAGAUAAUGGACAGUUGGACGAUCUUCGCGACCAAGCUAGUCGAUGUAGUCCUCUUUAUCAGGAUUAACUACACUAGAUACAUUUUCUUCAUCAGUGGCAACAUCACCCAGAAUAGUAUCUUGGGUCUCUCCGUCAUCAUUUUGGAUGGGAGAUUGAUCUGGUUCUGGUUCUGGUUCUGGGGUAAAAGGUCCUUGAGGAUUUCCAAAAACAGUGCUGAAUAUGUGUCUAUGGCAUUCAUCGCAAAAGUAAAAAUAAGUAAAAUGACCCUCGUAUAAGAGCCUAUGUACCAUUGCAUCUGGUAGGACUCGCUGCAAGAAAUCACUUGUGGAUGGCGGUACCACCAUAUCUUCCAUCCCCUGAUAAAAUUUGGAAAUUUUAGUUACUUUACACAUGUUGUUCAUAUAUCAUGAGGAAUUUAUCUUGAAUAAGGGGAACGAAGACAGGUAAAGGAGAUGUGAACUAACCUGCCAUACAUGUAUUUGACCAAGGAAUCCAGUCAAGAUUUCUUCUGUUUGACCAAAUAGAGAUUUAAUCCAAUGCAUAAUACCCUUUCCAGGGCGUUUCCUCUGCACUUUGAGGUCUGCAGGGCUAAAACCCCAAUUUGAAACCUGUAAGACAGCUUCCUCUACAAAUGGUUUUGCAUUCUUUUGUCGAACAGAUUCUUCUACAUCUCUCUGCCAGAACUUUUCAAACAAUGGAUGCUCCAGCAAAGCUUUAUCCUGGAAAGGUUAAUCAUUCUGUCGAUUAGGCAAAUGUUGAUCUGGGAAAAUAAAUGUGCCAAGGCCACUCAACCUCCACCGAAUCUUACAAAACAAUGUUGUUUUUUAACUAUAAAUAAAGGGGUAAACGGCUUUUAGUGAUUUGAAUUCUCUUUAGCUUUAUUUCAUUCAUGAAUCUUUCUUAACAAUAAUAUGUGCACAAUCAAUUUAGCGGUGUUACUCUUGUUACACUAUUUCAUAGUUGUUGGUCAAGAAUCAAGGUUACUUACUCUUAUUGCAAGAGACAAGGCAAGCGUUGUUUCGAUCUGGCCAUGGACUCCACUAAGGAAGCUUCUUCGGUAAAAGUAAGGAAGUAGUCUUGGAAACUUCCUAGCUAAUAUAUACAUGUUUUUCUUCUUUGUUGUCCAUUUCUUCCACAUUUUACUCUUCUCCUCCUUGGUCAUUCUUGGUUCAUAUGGACUAAUCAUUGGAGCGACCAUGACGGCACCUGCAAAUCCACUCAGGAAUUAGAUACAACUGAAAGAAUAUGAACCGAACCUAAAUUUUGUUUUGCAUGUCGAGUGAAAUAGAAUAAAGUAUAAUGGGGCUUCUGAAAUCUUUGCCAUAAAUCUCAGGUGCAAUUUAGUGUUUGAAGAACCUAAGGACCCAGAAUCAAGAAAGAGCAUCAACAGUAUCAUCAUGAGGCCUUCUUUCAUCCACUGUAGAAGACUGGUGACCUUUCCAAUUGCAAAAGUAGUUUUAGCCUUGGGCCUUCGUGGCACUUCUCUUAAUGAGCAUUAUGUUAGUUGCAGUGUAUCACUCAUUUGGCAGGAUUCAUAGACUUUGUCAAUACUUCUUAUUCUUUGGCAAUUUUUGUUGUGUCCAUUUUCCCCUGAGAAGAUGCUAUAGAGUUGUAAAGUUUCAGACUCUCCAUGAUAAACAACAAACACGUUGACUGUGACAGGCUGACAGCAGCCAGCUAGGUGGCUAGAAUGAUUUCUCUAAAGAAUCUUGCAUGUGAACUGGAGAGGGAAAUGGCAAACAAUUUGUAAAAACAAGGAAAAAGACCAUCUUACCUGCAAUCCUGUCAGGGAUGUAUCUAAGGGCGGCCCAAGCAUGCAUGCAUCCAUCUGAGAAUCCCACCACCCAGAAUUUGUCAGUAACAUUGACAGCAUAGGAUAAGUGUAGCAUAUCCAUGGCUGAUGACUCAAGGUUCCUGGAAGGAUGAGGAUCACUUUCUCCAAAUCCUGGAAGAUCAUACGUUACCAAGCGAAUACCAUAUUCUUGCAGUAGAGAAGUCUUAAUGCCAGGUAUUCCUGCUUGUUUUGGGGAGACAAACACACACCAUUAAUGCAUAUGCAAGAGCUUGUAUAAACGACUUGCCAAAAUUAACCACUUUAAUCUAUGUUUGUUCGAGGUGCAACCGAGAAUACGAAGACGGAUACAUAGAAUUGAUUGGAAAGGUUUAACGGUUAAUAAUUAGUACGAUACCUGCAAGCCGGGACGAGACGAAAGAAUGCGGAGCAAUCAUAGAAAAUCUAGCCAGCUCAGCAGGAACACCCUGCUGCUGAUAAGCCAAAUGUCUACCGUCUGGGAGCGAAAUUCGACUAGCACUUGGAGGAUGUAUACACACUUUCUUGACCGAUGUAGUUGGAUAUAUAUUAUCAUUACUUGCAAUAAGCACUGUAGAUUAGCCUUUAUCAGUAAUUGUAUAAGUAAAGGUGUAGAAAGGGAGAACAUGAGCAACCAGUCUGAAGAAAAUGAGGACAUUUGCAAACAUAGGUGAGUUGAUCAACAAUUAAAGGGUACCAAAUUAUCAACCCACUCAGUAAUCAAAUUUGCACAAAUUCAUGUGGAACAGCGAGAGGAACUAAAUAUUUUUUUUUGUUCUCUAGCAAUUACUGCCAACAUUCUAGUCCUGAAACCUUGUGAAGCUCAAUCAGUAAUCAUGCACAUUAUUUCAAGCCAUGUCGUAUGUAUUAAUGGUUGUAGCACGUCAAUCUGGCAAUUUUCCCCUCCAUAUGCUCUGGUGUUAAAAGCUGAAAGGAGAAGCUGUGGAUGACUGAUUUAUGCAGACAAGCAUUUCUCCAUCCACAUAUAUCAGACUCAUGACCAUAGUUCCUACAGUUUGUUGAUCAAUAUCUUUCAUUUUUUAUUCCUUUUAUAACAGCCUACUUUGUUAAUCAACCAUGGUAGAUUGGAGUUAAGUCCUUGUAUCCUACAGUGACUACAAUCAGAGCAACGGAUUUCUAAAUCUACAGUUAGAGAAACAACCCUCUAAACCAUCUCACAACUGAAUAACAUAGUUUCUGAAAUUCUAAUCAGCAAAGACUAACAGAAGUCAAGUGAGAUAAAUCAAUUCUCUAAGGUGAGAAAAUGUGAAAUAUGUUCUUUCCAUUUUAUCACCCUUCAGAAUUCAAGAAGCAGCAUGGCUUUCUAAAUGCACUCUAAAUAAAUCUUGUUUUUCACAUCAACGUAGUUAACAAUGAGCUAGAAAGGCCCAGCAAAACCACUAAAGAUUCAAACUUGUAACAUAACAAUUCCACCUGUGGCCAGAAUUUAUCCCCUCAGGACCAAUUUAACAAGUCCUAGAACCAUUCUCAGAUCCAAAAUGACAAUAUCUCAGUAACCAGAUAACUAAAGCAACACCAUGUUGCACAGCCCAACUCCAAACCAACCUCAUCUAUAAGAAAUAUGUGAUCGAAAUAAAAACCUCCCUAGGUGAAGAGAAUAUACAACUACAACAAUAUUCCCAGUGUAUACACUCACAACUGUAGUCCGGGGAAGGUAGGUUGUACGCAGACCUUACCUAUUCUGAUGCUCAAAAGAAAUAUUUCUAUGACAUCAAAUAGCAAGAUACAACGCAAAUGAAGCAACAUAUAGUAAUAUACAUUGGAGAAUAAGAGACUACACAACUACUAAGUAAUAGUACUACUAUCAAGGAGAAGAGCAGGACUAUAUAUUACUUCAAAAAUCAAAAUUAUUUGAAAUUUUGUAAGCUCUUAAAAGCAGAGAAAGUUCACCAAAAUUCAUCCUACAUUCCCUGAAGGAUAGAAGCUAAAAUCACAGUACCUGCAGAAGCAAGAAAAAGAACAAAAAAUAUCACACUCCAAGCAUGUGCCGGAUCGCGAUCUUCCGGCAAAUAUUCAUUCAAAAAACUCAAUCUCCGGCAAACUUUACAACAUAGCGGUCCAACUUUCCUCACAAGUAUCGAAUCCUCUCUAAUCACACUCUGCUUCAACACAUCCCUCACUCCCUUCCCAAACUCCACACUCAUCUCCGCAAAUCCUUUAGCAAACUCCACCGCAUGAAAUUUCCAGUUCUCACCAUCCUUACCUUUCACCUCCACCCCCGCCGGCCCACCUCCGUAACCACCUCCCACUGCCGAAUACCUCGAAUUAUACCGAAUUUCAGUAUCACCGACUACACUACCUGUACCUUCUCUCCAUGACGACGACGACUCGUUGACUUCUGACAUUAAAAAAUCCUUCCAACACCAAAUCAAAAAAAAAAAAACUUCAACAACUAAACUGCGAGCUCCCUCUCUCUUCCUAUUCACUUUCUCUCACUAUACUAUAAAUACUACUACACAUAUGCAUAGAUUCCUCUGUAUGAAUGAACAAAAUUUGAAUAUAUAUUUUUCACUUCUAUCUGAGAGAAAUGGAGUAAGCUUUUCUUUUGGAUUUUGUUUUCGCCAUUGAUGAUGAAAAAGCUUGAAGUUUUAUUAUGUAGAAGAAAAUUGUGGGGGGGGAUCAAAGUGUAAUUAGAGGAAAAUAGGAGGGGUGGUAGGUAGAAGAGAGUGAUGGGAUAAAGGGCUGAGAUUAAGCCACGUAAGGAAAAACGGCAAAAGAAGAAAGUGGAGUAGAGUGAGGUGGUGAUUGUUGUGGGGGAUGGGGUAGUUGGUGGGGACGUGUGGUUUUUUGUUUGUUUUCAUUGAGAGUUGAAAGAGUAAAACAAAAGUUUCGUAUUAAAACUCGAUUAAAUUUAAAAUUGCUCAUUAUAAAAAAGAAAAUUGGAGCGAUAUUUUAUUUUGAAGAAAUUUCACAAAUAGCCACUAAAAUAACUUAAUUAGGUUACGUAGUUAUAGUUUGCUAAUUACGAUUUGUAAUUAUAUGUUAGAGGAAGGAGAGAGACGAAUUGUAUUUAUAUAUCUGUCAUAUAAUUGUAUAUGUAUAAUUUGUAUUUGUCUAUGCAUUAGAGAGGAGAGGUGCACGUAAUUAUUGAGUGGUAACUAAUUCAAAAUAUAGUUAUGUUAGCUAAUUAACUAGGAUAUGUUUGAUUGUCCGCAUACUUUCUCCCUCAAAUGCAAGAUUUUUGAAUCAAGGAUGGAGGAUCUCAAUUAUUAUACUACAAUUCGUAUUGAUUGAUAAAUAUUGUUAUUGUGUUUUCGUAUAAUAUAAUGCAUUAACAAAUACACAAACUUAAUUUAAGUUAACAAAUAAGUACUUUAAUUUUGAUAGUGUACAUCUCAACAUCUCAACUUGAUGCUAACUGACAACUAAAUACUCAAGUCAUCUGCAUUAUGUCUCGUAAACACUCGAUGAUAAUAUAUAAAUUUUAAAAGCUUUGGAUUGAUCAUUUUAUAAGUUUAAAUAUUUUAAUUGAUAUGAUAAAGUCGAGUUAAGAUAUCUAGAUAUGUAAUUUUCGAAAUUGAAAUAUUAUAACCAUGGAAGAAUAGUAUGGUCCCCUCCAUGCCCCACCAAAACCAUUCCUCCCGGCGUUCUAAAAUGGGUCGUAGCAUGUGGAUUUGUAUUUUUAUUUGACUAAUUAACUAAAUGAUCCCUAAGUUAGAAGUAUUAUGCAUUAGUUAUAUACUUUAUUGGGUAUUAAGGUAUGUAUUAUUAAUAUUGUAAUUUUUUAGAUAUUAGUAAUGCAAGAGGAUUUAAUGCAUGCAUUAGUAUGGUUAGAGACUCAAUUAUCCCUCAAAUUCCUUUUCACGGAUUUUUCACCAUGAUAUUAUUGUAAAUAAAUAUGUUUAUGUCAUGCAUGUUAUUUUUAAGGCAUAAUACAUAAACAUGACCAUUAUUGUGGCGUCAACUGACAAUUGUGAUCUUUAACUUUGAAUCUGCACAAGUAGACACUUAAACUUGUAUAAAAUUGAACAAAUAGCCACAUCCGUCCUACAUGACACCCUACAUGGAAAUUUUGUGUCCUACGUGGCGUCCUACAUGUAUUAUGCCAUGUAGGACACGUGUGUCUACUUAUUCAAUUUUAUACAAGUUUAAGUGUUUACUUGUGCAUACUCAAAGUUAGAGGACAUAGUUAUCCGUUGAAGCCAAGUUAAGGGUUAUGUUUAUGUAUUAUGCCUAUUUUUAAUACAUCAAAUUAGGGGUAUCAAAAUGAACCCAAACAUAGGUAACCCGCCCAGAAUUUUAAGGGUUGGGUUCAAGAUAAUUUGAAUUGGGUUCAAUCUCAACUCAUUCAAGCCUAACCCAUUUUAAGAGAAUCCUCAAUUGAGCCUAAUUCAAUCUCUAAUUUCAACCCGUUUUAAAACUCUUUACUAAGAUAUGUUCCUAUAUUAAAGGUAUGAAUUAUUAUCUAUUUAACAUCUUUUAGGAUUUAUCUAUCCAUUUGUUAACUUUUAAAAUAACUUGAGCUGAUAUUGGAAUUGUGAUUAUAAAAGUUAAAUAUCAAUAUGUUAAAAUUAUUGAGAUUAAUCGGGUCAAAUUGGGCGGGUCAAGACCAACCCAUUUUUUAGCUCAUUUGAGCUCAAAGUAAACUUGGGCGGGUCAAGACUCAACCCCAAUUUUCUAUUUUCAACCCCAUUUUUAAUAUCUCCAAUUUCAACCCAACCCGCCCAUUUAACACUCCUACACCAAAUCAAACAAAGUAUAAGUAAUAAUCUAUGUAUAAUUAAUACAAACAUGCAUAACUAAUACUCCUUAUGUCCUAUUUAUUUGUCCAUUUUUUACUUGACACAACCUAUUAAGAAAAUAAAUUUGGCAUAGCGAGCUUCCAUUUUAUCCCUAUUAAUUGAUAGAAUUCCAAAAUUAAUUUACUUAUUAAUUGAGGAUAUAAUAGAUAAAAAAUAUAUUGUAUUUUCUUAAUUUGUCAGAAAUGACAAGUAAAAAGAGACCGAGGAAGUACAAGCAUUAGUAUUGCAAGAAUAAUGAAUUAGCAUGAUUAAAGACAUAAUUGUCCCUCGAAACAUUUUCUACGAUAUUUGAAGAUUGCGGUUUAUAAAUAUAUUAUUUUAAAAAAAAAGAAAUAAUACAUGUUAUUUUUAAAAUAUCAAAUCAAAUAAUACAUGAUUAGAAAAUAAUAUCUAAAGAAAUAAUAUAAAUAUAAUUAAUAACUAAUAUAUAUAUAUAUAUAUAUAUAUAAUAUCAUUCUUAUACACCUUAUCGAACGACCAUAUGGGUGAAAUUAUUAAAAAAAAACAGUUGCAAUAAUGAAAAUGAAAGUGGCGCAUGCUGAAAAAAUUGGAAUGUAUAUUGUAAAGAAUGUUAACUUUUGGGGAGUAAAAUGAAAAUAAUAAUUAGAGAAUGAAGAAAAAGAAGUGCACUUUUUUUUAUAAAAAAUAAAACAUAAAAAGGAGAAUAAUUGAAAAAAAAAAAAUGCACGUGGAAUCUAAUACCCAUGAUAUAAUAAUUGGCCCCUCAAAAAUGAAUUAUAUUAGGUGGAGUAGUGGUCCAGCAUAAGUGAUGCCAAACACAGACUGUAAAUAACCAUUACAUUAAAUCUCAUAACUCAUUUUGAUAUACCAAUAAAUACUUUCACACCAAUCAUGUGAAGUAAAAGAAUGAUGAAAAAGAUUACGAAAGAAUGUGGUGCAGUAGAUGUGAUUUUUUUUUUUAAUCAAAUGUUUUGGAUUUAAACUCUAAAAUAUAGAACAACUCUUGGUAGGAAGCACUUCCUUUCGAAUGAAAUCCUACGUAGUGUGACUUCAUAUAUAAUCGAGCUUCAAUGCAGAUACUAAAUAUCGAAUGAGAAGUCUUUUAAAAAGAAGAAGAAAAAGAAACCGUGAAUAAAUGAAUCAUGAAUCAUGAAUCUAACUCAAUUUCGAAAGUUAAUUUAUGUAUAUUAAAAGACUAUCUAAUCCUUUUUUCGUCCCACAUCAGAAAAUUCAAUAUUCCACCUUAUUCUUAAGAUUAAAUAUCUGAAAAGUAGAUAAUUUAUUAUGAAGCUCAAUAUUGAUAACAAUAAUUGGGCAAGCUCUGCUUUGAUACUAUAUAAAGUAAGUUAUAAAUUUUGAAUCUACCUCAAUCUCCAAAUAUUAUUUCAUGAGACAAGAAAUGUAUCAAGACAAUAUAAGAAAACCAACCAUCCUUUUUUCUCCAUCGCAUAUGAAUUCUUCAACAAAAUUUUGUAAUUUUACACUCAUCACAUGAAUUUGGUAGCAAAAAAAUAUUUUUGUAUGAGAAAGUAAAUUCAGUCACUAAAAAUGUUUUUUAAGAAACAAAUUUUCUAAAAAAAAAAUCAAAAGGAAAAAACAUGACUUACUAAUGUCACUCAUUAAUUCUAGACAUGAUAAAAUGGUAAGCCUUGUCCUCAUAUAGGGGAGAAGUUGUACUAGUAUGGUUUGGCCAAAAAAUAAAUGUAGUAUAGUCUCUAUCCUAAGCUAAGAUGAUUACUUUGAUGAGUCAUCCUAGGCCCUAGCUAUUUGAAGUUUGAAAAAAAAAUAGAAGAAUUAAUUAUACCUUUAUAUAUGUAUGCCCUUUUCGUGGUACAUGCCUUAUGAAUGUAGAAACUUGUUGGCUAUUAAAAUUAUCCUAAUUUUUUUAACGGAAACUAAGUUGACUUGCUAAGUGUAGAGCUAAGAAUUCAACAUCCCAACCUAAAUUAAAAGGGAGCUUCAAUUCGAAGUGUGGGCUACGAAUACUAAGAAAGGUCCAUUUCCACCUUUGAAGCAAAAAGAUUUGAUAAGUUGGUCAAUUAGAACCGAUUAUUUCCUUCAUCAUUUCGUCCUUAAUUUAAAAUUUCGUUAUUUCAAAUUUGAGCAUGAUAUAUACAGUCAUUUAUUAUUAUUUUUAAAAAAAGAAGAAGAAUAUUUUACUCCUUAAAGUAGAUUUCUUACUUAUCUUUUUGUAUUCGUAAAAUAAAUAAUAAAAUAUACUAAAAGCAUUUAUAUAUUAGGCAAAUACUGGGUCUACUAGUGAACCCUACUGUCAUUUACUAACAUAUUGCAAUCCUAUCAAAAGGUUAUUUCAUCUUUUGGCAAAUUCUCUACUAAAAAAAUAACCUUUUGAGACAAUCAAGCCAGAAAUUGGAAAAUAGAGACUGCCAUCAACAAAGACCACAAAAUAAAAUUCCACAAAAAUGUUGAGAAAUCGCGGUCAGAAAAAAGACUUGAAUACACACUGAAUGGUGAGCAUUUCAGUAUCGAAGAAUUCUAGAUUUCUUCAGUAAUGGAAUUAUGAUAAACUUGGCCACUCCAGACAUCUUUUGUCUCCAACCAGAGCCAAAGUGCAUUGUAGCAGUCCACAUUCUUUAAAAUACCCCAGCAAAUGAAAUGAAAAAACAAUUGUUUCUUUCCUUUUAUUCCUAAAUAACAGAUGAACUCACAGAAUCCAACCCCACGGGAGGAUCCAGAAAACUGCUCAUGGAGCCAAUUAGUAGCCCCAGUAGUCAUUUCGAAUUUCAUCAUCAAAUUUCUUCUUUAACUCGGGAUGCUUCGCAAAGUAUUCUUCUGCUGUCAUGGUACUGAGUUUUUUCUGUAAAUCAAAACAGAGCUACACUUGAAUAUGCAUAUUGAGGAAGAGAAAAAUUAAAUUGAUGUGUUUUACUGGAUAUAAAGGAAAUGAAGGGGUAACUCUGCAUCACCUUCAACUCUUGGACCUCGGCAACUUCCUUUUCUAAUCUUUCAGACUCCUUGAGAGAUUGCUUCUCAGCUUCUUUCAGUUCCACCAACUACAGUUUUGUCCAAAUAAUUUCAUUAAACAAUUACUGGAACAUGAAACUUCUAUAUUUUUGAAACAUGAAAUUUCAAUUUAGCAUCAACACUUUUAGAACAUGCACACAACAUAAGUGGGCACAAACAUAGAUCCUGUUGCAAGUACGAAAUCUGAUGACAACCAAUAAAAAUUUUUACAUUUGAAACAUGUAAUUCACAAGAUGAUUCUUGUAGGAUGAGUUGUUAUCACUUUGUUAAAUACCUUAAACCUACUUUGCCUUUUGUUCCAUUUAGGGGCAGUUGAAUGCCUCUGUAUGUGGCUGACUACAGUCUACUCAUCUUAGAGAGAAUCAAAUUAGCACAAAAGUAUUCAGUUCAGAGUAUUGUUCAAUUGAUAGGACUCUAUCUUACAACUUUCUAUAACAAUGGUGAAUUCAAAUUAGCACAAAAGUAAGGGUUCAGUUCUCAGUAUUGUUCAAUUGAUAGGACUCUUAUCUUACAACCUUUUUUUAUAAUAGUGGUAUCUUGGCUUAACUUGGUGCACUUCGACUAUUCUACAAGGCACCUGCUAUCUCCCCACCAGAACAGGUGCCUAGCAACUGUGUCCAUGAAGACUUACCCCCCUUAACAGUGGGUGCAUUUUGUUCUUUCUUACUCACCGCUAUUUUAGAACGAAGUCAAUCAUACAACUAACUAUUCCACUAGUAUAUCAACAGAGAUACAAUAAUUAGAAAACAGAAAAGAAAUUACAAAACCAAACUAUCAGGGAGGGGAGUAGUAACAUGAUUUCCCUUACCAAAGCAUCAAACUUGGGUUUGUAUUGAGGAGUAACUGUGUCCUCAAACUUGGGGAUCUCAAUGCCUGCAAGACAACAUUAUUAAAACCACUAACUCAAGAUAGGAUACAUUAGUUUGAACAAGAAACAUAAUAAAUAUAAGUUGAAUCACCAACUUUAGAUGAUUGUAAUUGCAUCUUCCAAACAAUAUUAGGCAAUAGGCAUGACCUCCAUAGAUCCAACAGUGAUAGAAGGUAAUACAUAAUAACAACACUGUCUAGUGUUCAAACAAGAGAAAAUUUCAACUGACUGCAAAGAAAAUUGACAGGAGACAGGUAAGGGAAAUUUAACCCAUGAAAAUAUAACUCACCUUACUCACCCAAAUUAGGAUGGAUUGGCUGGGCAUAUAUUCAUUGGUGGGUCAUUUUGGUAAAAGAUUACAAGAAAAAUUUCAGAUGAAAGAGGGUAGAGGUCAAGUAGAAAGCACCCUCCACCUCCAACUUCAAGCCACCAUGUUACCACAUCCAAAUAAAGAUAGGAAGUUAUGUAUCCAAAAUGGUGUUGUGGAACAAUUGGAGAAUAGAUUAACAAGAAGCCAAGAAGACUGAUAGGGAGGAGCAGAGUAUAAAUUGAAAUUGUUUUUCCCUGUGUCACUGAAAUAAGGGAAAAUCUAAGGGUCUUAUUACGCUAGAGGACAUGUGUAUUUCAAACAGGAUCUAUGGCAUUUCGUGAAAAUUCUGAGACUAAAAAAUCGCAAUGGAUCGAGUCCCUUGUCAAACACCAUGAAAUUUCACUCAACGAGCAGUUCAAAGAAAAAAGAAAAAGGAGUAACAAUAUUUUGUAAACCUGGUCAGUGAUCAGCAAACCAGAUGUAAAGCAAGAAUUUUAGAGCGCAUACCAUUAGUUUUGAUAGGAAAGUUGCAGCUGAUGUUGGUUAUACCGGCUAUUGUUCGUGGCUCAUUCACCUUAUAACAAAGUUAAGACUAAGUUUUCUAGUAUGAAAUGUUUGUAUACAUGGCCUAGCAGUUGGAGAGGGGAUGUCUCAUUUCUUUGGGUCCAAAACAUAAUUGUAAGCAUAAAAAAGAGACAAUUUUAAACAAAACAAAUAAUUCAUCAGAACUGUCCACGAAGAUACUUCACACUCUUUAGUUCUUUAGGAUUUUAUGCAAGACCUCAAGUUCAGACUUUACUUUAACUCCCCCUCACCCGGAGCUACUUAAGGCAUAAUCUUCUAAGGGCUCGUUUGGUUGGUGAACAAGUUAUCUCAAGAUUGUUAUCCCACCCUCAAUGUGGGAUAAAAAUAACACUACAAUCCCGCGAUGAUAUCCCAACCAAACAAUGGGAUAAACUCAUCCUAAAAUUUAUCCCGGAUUAGUUAUCUCUUAUCCCCGUACCAAAUGAACCCCAAGUUUAUUACCCUCAUGCUGACAGACAAAAUCCAGGUUUUCUCACAGCUGUGUCAAGCUAUCCAAAACUUAGUGCAUCUGGUGGACAUGACAGCUACACAAAGAUAUUAAGUCUUUCACAUACUUGAGCCUGAGUAAAAGAAAAGAUAAAAUCUUUCAUAGCCAAGCAAACCAAAGUGAAAAACCUGGACCUUAGGCCAUGUUUAGAUCUCAAGAGUAUACUUGGUGUUGUGAGUUUGUCACUUAACUUUUAUGUAACAAGAAUUCCUUGAGUGGCUAAUUCUUUUUUUCACUUAUUAAUUACCAGUUAGUUCCCAGGAACAGUUCUAUUUUCAGAUAAAUUAUGGCAGAACUGGAUCCAUCAAGUUCAGGCACCUCACUUAACCUUCAUUGCUCUAAACGUUCUCAGCUUCUCUACUGUGGAAGCUCAAACACACAUUCGCCCCAACUUGCUACCAGCAAGAAUAUUUAACUUUUAAUUAAAAACUCAAGAAAGUCCUCACUCUGGAACCUCCAGUAAUUUAACAUGACACAUGACAGGGUCAGGCAAGCAGUAAAUAAUAUCCAUAGAGCUUAUUAAAAAACUACUCCAAUACUAGAUAGUAAUAUUCUCCGAAUUAUGCACCACAUCAAACAACAAAUAUAACCAAACAAGCACAUGUCAUUCUUAAUAAUCUUCAUUACGUAAAGAAAAUGGAAAAUGAUAUCUUGUCUGACAAAAGAAGUUGCACAAACAACUCAUUCCAGAAACACUUCAUCCUUAGCAGUAUUAGUGAUGACCAUGCACUCAGUAAUUGCUACACUAAAGUCCUUCAACAAGAAUUUUAGGAUAAGUGUUUGGAAAAUAUGCUAGAAGAGUUAAACAUUUUCUUUUAGCAACAAUGAUUUGAUUAUUUUCCAUAAAAACACAAAGGAACAAAGAUUAGGAGCAAGAAAUCCUGUGCUUGUCUUCACUAGAGUGAGCUAAAAAGAAAUUUAUGGUCAAUAUCUUGAUUGAACUCUUAUAAUGCUGGAUGCUAUCACCGAAGAGACUACAGGACACAUAGUAAAGCAAAGAUUGUAAACGCAAAAAGAAACCUGAUGUUCCACAUACUUUCAUAGGCUUCUUUGUACAUGUCUACCAAGCGAGAACCAAUUCCUUUCCUGUAAUAUUCCCAGUUUAUGGGUUCAGGCUCCUGCAUGAUUAAGAAGUGAAGAUCCCUUAUGCGUUAGAGCCUCUAAAUUUAUCCAAGUACAAUAAAUUAAACACAUUAGGAAGGAUUGGAUCUCAGAAGUGUAACGAUACAGAACAAUGAUCAACAAACACCAAACUCAAAUCAUGCCGCCAAGUUUCCAAUGCUUAGUUAGAAACUAAGUAUGGCAACAAGAACAUUCUAAAUGAUACUACAAUCAAUUCGAGCAGUCAGAUUUAAUCCUUCAACCAACACAAUUCCAUAGCUCGCACGAGAAUAUAUUGCCUAAAAUGACCAAGCUAUUGAUAGAAUCAAUCAAUCAAGUAUGCCUCAAUCCCAAACUAGGUAGGGCCACAAUACAAUCCUUUGUACACAUUCCACUCUCUUCCAGCCAUAUAAAAAUUUAGUCAUAAAUGAGCAUAAAAACAUUAGAGUUUCAAUCAAUCAAGUAAGCCUCAAUCCUGAACUAGUUAGGGCCACAAUUCAAUCCUUUGUACACAUUCCACUCUCUUCCAGCUAAUAUAUCAUUGAAUGUCCAAUAACAGUUCUCUAAACCAAAAGUUCUACAAAGCUCACACUAAUCCCUACACUGACAGACAAUUCUCCAAUCAAACUAAAACAACUGCUAGCAGAUGUCAAUCACCAAAACAAUCCAUCAAUGACACUAAAUUGUUUUUUUUUUUUUUUAAAGAAAAGUCAAACGCACACCUAAAGUGUCCCGAUUUUUCGAGUUUACCUAUCAGGUGUUCGAGUUCCUUAGUUUCCUGCCUAAAUUAUCACCAACUAUUUAUCUAAACACACCUCAACUAUCAAUUAUUCCUAAAAGACGGUGAUACUUCAGAUAGGAAAAGUGAACAACAAUUGAUAAUUGGUAAUAGUUCAUGUAGUAAACUUGCACACCUGAUAUUAGAUACGGAACUCGAACAAAACGAAUAACCUAAAUCAUAGAUCCAGCAAUGAAACCCUAGAUCUACAUAAAAAGGCAAUCAGUACAUAAUCCGAAACGAGAGAAAAAAUAGAGAGAUACCUGGCUGAACUUGGUUUGGAGUUGUGAGUUGACAUCAUCGAAAGCACGACGGAGAUUAGAAAACUCCUUGCGAGCUUCAUCGGUGACAAGAAGCUUCGCCAUUCCUUCCCAAUCAAUAGUCCGGCCGGCCUUGAAUGUCACAUCGGCGAUCUUCUUCACUGUUCCGCUCAUUUUCGAUCUCUUUUCUCUUCUCUCUUCGUAAUCUUUUCGGCUGUCUGUUUGAUAUGGUGUGAAUGUGAUGAGAUACAAAGGGCUUCCCCUAUUCUCCGAAUUUUAAUUUAAUAAUUUUAACUUUUACCCUUCUUUUUUCUUCUUUUUUUUUUUUCCUUUUUUCAACUUUUUUUUUAGUAGCAUGGGAUUGAAUAGUAAUUUUAAUCUUAAUAUUUUUAUUUAUUUUCGAUGUGCAAGUAAUGGCCCGAAGCUAUUAUGUGCUCGACUAUGACCGAACGCCUCUAAGUCAGAAUCCGGCUAGAAUCAACGUAUGCGCCUGUCAUUUGCUUGCCGACUCGCAGUAGGAGCCUCUGGCCCCAAGGGCACGUUUCAUUGGGAAGUGUCGCGGUGACCGCCUUGAAUACAAUUUUCAUCGAGCGAAGGUGAUGUUCAAUUUUUUGCAAGUUGUAUGUUUAAGUUACUUAUAAAUUAUUUGGUUGAUUGUAAUCUUAGGAGUCGAACUGAUAAAUUAGAUUUUGCCUUCAAAACUAGUCUAAUCUAGCUUUUUAUUUAAGUAGGAUUGUGUUAAAAUGAAUGAAGUGUAUAAAUCGUUAUAUAUCGAAAUGUCAAACUUAUUUAAAUGUUCCUACUGACCAUUGUUAAAAAAAAAAAUAAAAAAAAUAGAAACAACCUUGUAUCUAUUCCACUAAAACUCUCUUGCUUUGCUUUCCUGUAGUACCACUAAGCGAGUGAUGUCUUCAUUUUGCUUCAAUUUCUCACUAUCAAAUCGAUUUAGCACGUUAACAAAUCGACAACUAAUAAUAUAUAAAACUGGACCAAACCAACCGAUAAACACCCCCUAGACUGCGGAGCAUAACAACAGCCCCACAGACCUAAGGUGCAACAAGCAUCAUAUGAUAGAUUCAUUUUUGUUAAGGGGUCACAACUCACAAUUCUGGGAAAUAAACAGGAAAGACGUUGAAUAAGCAAUUUUUGUACUUAAAAAACAACGGAUAAUCUGUCUUUUAUCAUCGAAAGGAUGGUUUGGCUUUCUAAACACAAUUAGCCUGGGCUACAACACAGAUAUAUAUACAACAAAAAAGGAGGCAAUGUUUACUGAUGAAGUGACCAAGACAAGAGUCACAUAAUACCACAAAAAGUGCUAAUUUAUCCAGUAAAUUCCCAAAAUUGGCCAAGUAUUCCAGAUAGUCGAGUUCCAAUAUAAAGAAUGAUGAUGAACCAUAGCACUAAGGCUGCCACUAUAACAUUCAGAAGUAGUAAUCAUCAUAAUCGGUUUCAUAAUCAGUUUCAUAAUCAUCAUCGUCAUUGUCAUCGUCAUCAUCAUCGUUAUCGUCAUCUAAAAUGUUGUCCUCAUCCCAAAGCUUACAGGAGCAAGUUGCUUUCUUGUCCAUCCACGGUGCUCCACAUGUAUAACAAAAUUCAUACCCACAUCUGAACAUACAGGUAAAAAUGUUGUUAGUGUAAUAUGUACAUACGAUACAGUACAACACAAUUGUAAUCAACAGAGGUAAAGAGAAAAGUUUAGGCCCAGUAGGUAUCACGUACGACCACAAUUGAGGAAGAACGAAACAUCUCAAGACAACAGAUCACUAGUUCAUCUUUGGGUUCUAUUACACACAAAUAUAAAAGCAAAAAAUUAAGAAGACAAUAGAGUCACUCCUGCUAACCCAUCCGAGUGUUGUUUAUCCUCCUAGCACUAAAGCACAUUCCAAAAUUCUUACUGUUAGCAGCAAAAGUAAACUCAUAUGCAUUAAUUUAUGGACCCUCCUAUACAUGGCUCCCAAUAUACAGCAGAAUUAACCAAGGUUAAUUAUCUGUGGGCCGUGGGUACUGAUAUGAUCAACUAAAGCAGAAAGUGAAGGACUAACUCAAACAUACAAGUUUUAGUUGGAAAGUGAUCACCACCAUAAAAUUAUCGAGACAUACUGGCCAGAAUUGUUAUACAAAAAAAAAAACGCAGAAAUACUUCUUGCAAGGUCAACUGAUAUCAUGGCAUCAGUAUUAUGUAUAAGAACCAAGGCUUACACAAGCAAUGCCAUUCUCCCAUUAUCCGCAAAGAGCACAGACCCACAAUUUCUUUACGUUGGAAAUAUGUACCUCCUUACUGAACUUGGAGAGUAAACUUCUAGUAAAAUGUUACACAAAUAUAUUCACUGAAAUACUUUUUCUGAUAAGCAUAUUUACUAAAAUACUUAACACUAUGUCCAGGGGAUAUUGAACCAGCCUGGAUAACCUAUAACUCAACCGCUCCACAGACAGGAAAGGAGGGGAGAGAGGGGGGGACAGAAAAGAAACACAAGUGUAAGGCCAGAACAGGCACCUCAGUUAAAAAAACCUACUAAUAUAGCUGAAAGCCUGAAACAAUGUCUGAAAUGGAACAAGCAAUCGGAGUGCAACAAUAGCUAGUAGGAAUAUUUUUUUAAGUGUACAAUAACAAACUCUUUUGUAGAUGAGGCCUUGAGUGCAAAAAGUGUCAUGUUAAGGAAGAAACAAUACAUCAAUAGAGGGUAAAAUGACAAAAUAAAAGAGCAAUCAAAAUGUGGCCCAAAAGUAUCAGCAAGGUACAUGUAGAAUAAUGCAUAUAUAUAGUUUGGUCCAACAGAAAUGUCCAACAUCAUAAACAAGUUGUUGUUUUCCUAAUCAGUUUUUAUUUUUUAUUUUUAUUUUUUUUGGGGGUGGGGUGGGGGGGGAGCAUAUGGCUCAAUAGUGUUCACUUGAUCCAGUCUAACUUUCAUGGAGAUUAUAGCAAAUAGUUAUAUAUCUUGUAUGACAGUAAGGUCAUAUCAAAGCAAAGAAUAGUUUAGACAGCAUAGAUAUAUUUACAGGACAUACAAAUUGCAUCAAGGAAAAAGACACUUAUUUGACUGACGUGAUUCCAAAAUUUGUGAGUCAACUUAUUUCAUGUUUGAGUCAAACAAAUGGAACUUGAACACCCUUGUCUUUACCUGCAAGUUAUGUGGUAGCACCCUGCUGCAAGUUCAAUCAUGUGGUUGCACUUUACACAUUGGCGCCACAAAUUCGUUUCUGCCAGGGUUUUCAACUUAAGAUCUUCCGGAGGAUUAGGAUUUCUCUUUCUGUACUCAUCGCACGCGAUAUUGUAGUGCCAAGGAACUUUGCAAUUGACACAAAACAGGCCAUUGCAUUUUGUACAUUUACUGAUUCCAAGUCUUUCAGCUCCCAAAAAGGAACCCUUAGUAUAUUCUAAAACUUCAGAUUUUGACAUUAGUGCCGAGCACUUCGGGUAAGGGCAGUAAACUUUUUCAGUUACAGGGAUAGAAGCUUCCUUGAUACGUUGCUUCAUAAUAUCAAUUAACUUUGGUGUCAAAAUGUUACUGCAGCUAUCCAGUUUCAAAUCUGAAUUGCACUCUGCAUGAGGACACUUAGGCACUAUACCAUGAAGCAGCUUCACUUCAACAUGUUGUUUCAUACAGGAGACACAAUAACGGUGUCUACAAUCAUCAACCGAGAAAAUCUGACCAAAAUUAGUCUCUUCAAAACAAAUAGCACAAGUUUCGUACAUAUUCCUUGAAGCAGCUGUCUCUGCGACUUUCUCAACCUGAGAAGUCAUUGCCUCUCUUGCAAAUUUAAAUGCAAACUUAAUUUCAUUUCGAGGCACAAGAGACGGCUGGCAAAAUGAAAACUUUAGUCGAAGCAAAGCCACUUGAUUUAGUAAAGCAGCAACCUUCCGCUGUUUGGCUGACCAUCUGCCUGUAACCUACAGUUGCCCAAACACAUAACUUCAGCAAAUUAAGCAUUUUGGAAAGCUUGAGUGAUAUUCAGCUGUUCAAUAUAUGACGGCAAAACCAAACAAAACAGUAGUAGAUGUUCAAUAUUUGUGCUAAUACUUACCGUACCAUGUCUACAUUCCCUUUUCCCUUUAUUGUAGAUAGACAAAAAAAUUCAACUGACAAAGACAACUAAAUAAUUUGAUUGAUAAACUCUCCCUUUAUCCAGAUAGGACAGCUUAAAAGAAAUGACUGCUGAAGGAAACCUUUGACUAGUGGAAAUCAUAGCUCCUUAGAUGUAUCAUCUAUGUAGGCUUACACAUGUGAGCUCAUUCUGCUCACAAUACCAGGAAGAUAAUGAAGUGACCCUGUACUAUCUUUAAGUUAGAUAAACCUUCAACUCUUAUUUAUAAACAAAAAAAAAAAAAAAAAAAUUUAGCUCUUCAACUCCAGAAAAUAAAAAAUGUACUUGUAUUAAUUUACAUUAUGAUCAAAAACCAACAUUGUAUCAUGGAUGUAUCCUGAUAUGUUUUUGUUAAUAGAAGAACAGUGUGCCAGCAGAUAGCUAGGAAUGAGCUCUAGUGACUAAUCUUCUAGAGUCCCAGAAGUCAAAACAGAAUUGCUGAAAACCCGAUAUAUCUUACCGCUCCUAAUCACUUGGACACUAUGGUAUGAAGCUUCCUGCUGUCCGAAUUUAUCUGACACUCUCUUUGAUGUUCUAUACUAUUUGACAUCAUUUAUAUACAACUUCCAAUCAAUGUGGAUGAACAAUUGUAAAAUUGGUAAAGUCUCCCUUUAUCUUUUCAUAAACCAAAAAAGAAACAAAAGAUCCCAGCAAAGCUAAAAAAAAUGUUAGGUGAUGAGCUAUACGGGUAUCAUUAAUGCCCUUGUAACAAUCCUUGAAACAUAAAUCCUAUAUAACUAGCCUAUGCACCAAACAACCUAUGAAAUACCACUAUUAAAACACCAUAUAAAAUUAAUUGAUUAAGAAAUAGCUGGACUUACAAACUGGAAUAUAGGAAAGUAAUCACAAUAGAAAACGACCCUUCUCAAAUCCAAGGCGAUUGCAGCAUUCAAACCUUCAAUAAGGGCCUUAAACUCAAUGCACUGGCGAUUCAUUGCAUUUCCAAAAAACGGCUUCCUCAUUUCGAACAAUAAUUCAUCUCUGGAAUCACAAAUGGCAACUCCAAUCCCACCAAAAACCACAUUUGGACGAAAAUUCUCCACUAAACCCUUGAAAUAAACCCUAAAAAGCUCUUUAUCUUCACUUUUGGAUGUUCCUUCUCCAAAAGGAAGCUCAAAAUUGUCUCCAUUAUCCUGCCACUCAUCCUCCGGCAUACGAAGAAUCUCUUGAGCAACACGAUGAUCAUGAAUUCGACGCUGAAGGUCAUCACGCAUAAUCCUGAAUUCCAAUUCGCUAAGCCUGCGAUCAUCGAUUUCUCGUUCAAGUUGCAAGAUUUCCGAAAAUUGCACGUCGGCGAACUUCGAAAUUCCGUCGUUCGCUGAAGAGGAAUUCGGUUGGGGUUGAAGUAGGGUGGGGGUAGGUGGUGCAGCGGUGGAAGUGGAGGGUUGCAUAGAGAGGGAGACAUCGAUAGCUUCUUGGAGUUGAAGUUGAUAAGCGAAAUCAAAGUCGAGAUCGACGUCACGCGCCGCCAUGAGUUCCCGGCGUUGCUCGGCGGCGAGAGUUUUCAGGUCUUCAGAGUCCAUGUCCAUUUUGUUCUUAAGUAGAAAACAGAAUUGUACAAAAGAAGUAAAAAAUUGUUACUCAAUCUUUUACUUUCCCGCUAAUUAGAAUAACAUUUGCACCCCUCAACUUGACAGCUUUCUUACAGUUACAUACCAUAAGUUUGUAAAAAUGCUACAACCUCUCUAAAAUUGCUUGAAAAUGUAAGCCGUAUAUCUGUUCACCUGCCAUAGAGAGUGUAUCAACUUACUUAAAGACGCAAUUAAAAUGAUGAAAUUUCCGCACAUGUUGUUUUUUUAUUGAACAUGAUAUAGCAAAACAAUUACAAAAAAAAAAAUCAAUAAGAAAGUAUUCUUAUCACUAAUGAUUAUUUCUAUUUUACUGUUUUUAAGAUAAAGAGAAUUUUUAUGAGUCCUACUUUGACUUAAGCAUAUUGUUUUUCUUUUUUUUUCUCUCCUCGAUCUUCUUUCAAGAGUGGUAACAUGUAAUUCUUUCGCUAUUUUAUACAAUCUUUUAUCAUCUAUGUGUGUAUUGUCAUAGGCUCAUAGUCACCUAUUAUCACCUAUAACAUUGAAUAACUAUCGAUUCUAUUCACCAUUUAUAUAUAUUUUUAACGAUUUUUAAAGAUUUAAAAUUUUCUGUAAGUUUUUAUGAUUUGAUAUUUGUUAGGUUUAUUUAUAUAAAAAAAAAAAAGAAUCUACCUAAUUAUUUGAUACAUUUAUAAAUACUAGUUUUGACGCACGUGCGUUGCACGUGAAAAUCAAACCAUGUACCACACUAUUUUUAAAAUAAUAUGAAUAUUGCUAAAUAAAAUUAGUCAUUCUUAAAAUCUCUUAGUUACACCUCUUAAAUAAACUUCCUACUCCCUUCCCCAUAGUGCAUUACUUUGUUAUUAUUGUUUUGUAGGUGUUCUUACUUUUAAUAUAAUAUAAUAUAAAUAAAUAUUGAUAUCAAAUAUAGAAGAUAUACUAAAUUGGAUGUUUUAUCUAGAGUAUUAGAUUAAUUUAACAUUUAUGUUAUGGAGUGUUCUAAUUUCAAUGAACUUUAAGAUUGUCAACGUUUGUAAAUCAAACAUGAGGUUUUAAGAAGAGAAGAAUAGAAAACAUAAAAAACUAGUAGUUUAAAAAUAGUUGAGGAAACCCCUCCAUUUAUAGUUUAAAAUGUGUAGUAUUAGUAUGUGCAUAUUGUUUCUUAUCAUAAAAAAUAUAGAAGAUAUACUAAAUUGUGUGUUUUUAAGAAUAAUAAUAAUAAUAAUAAUAAUAAUAAUAUUUUUCUAAAACGUAGUUUAGAAAUUUUAUGAAGGCCCUCUUUUUACAGCCAACAAAGGGUAUUAUAUGAAAAACUAUUCGCGAUGCCUUAUAAAAAAGAAGUCACAACCCUUCAGAAAGGUCAAAACUCAUAACUCUUUGUAAAAGUUGCAACCCUUCGAAAAAGUCACAACUCUUCGGAAAAGUCGCAACCCUAUAGAAAAGUCACAACCCUUCAAAAAGGUAACAACUCAUUAGAAAAGUUAUCACUCUUCGAAAAUGUCAAAAUCCUUUCAAUGUGAAAAGUUGUCUGCCUUUAAUAUAAUAUAAUAUAAUACACAUAAAUAAAUAUAAUACAAUAUAAAAUAUAGAAUAUAUACUUCAUUUGGUGUUUUAAGUUGGGGGUAUUAUAAUAAUUUAACAUUUAAGUUAUUAAUUCAUUCUUUUGAGGUAGUAUAGAUAAAAAAAAAAAGAUAGAUAUAGAUUGGUCUAAUUUUAAUUUGAUAUUAAAUUUAAAAAAUAAAGAAGACUUUUAAUUUAAGGAUCAUAUGUAGAAUAUAUAAAAAUGUCUUUUAACUCUGUAGUUUUAAAGAUGCGUCCUCACCCCUAAGGAAAAAAGAACAUUCUAUAUAAAACUGAAUAAAAAUAAAAGUACAACAAAUAAAUUGAAAAUGAAAGAGUACUUAUUAUAUGUAGUUUGAAUUCUUCAAACAAGUUAUUGAUCAAAUACUUUUUCUCCAACAGUUCGAAACUUUUCAGAUUCUGAACACCUGUAGUUUGUGCAAUGGAAAAUUAUGGAACUUCUUGUCAAGGAAGAGUUGCUGCAAAAGUAUAUUUUAUGGCUAUGAAAAUGAGUGUUUAUAUUAAUUAUCACGAUACUCUUCUCGUUUGAAGUUGAGUUAUUUCAUUCUCAUUUUUUCAUCAAUUUUUAUUGAUCUAUCUAAUUUACCCACACAAAAAAAUAUUGUAAUUGCAUAAUCCAAUAACUCUCACAAUCUUCCAUUUUUUUAGUAGAAGAAUAUAAAACUUACAAAAUUCGUAGUUUAAAAGUGUAAGAAACCCCCUCUAUUUAUAGACAACAAAGGAUAGUAUGAAAAUGUGCUUAUCAUGUUUUUUUCAGAUAAGUCACAAUCCUUCAGAAAAAUCACAAUUUUUCGGAAAUGUCAUAACUCAUCGAAAAGUCACAACUCUAUAAAAAAAAGACAUAACCUUUCGAAAAAGUCACUACCCAUCAAUGUGAAAAGGUGUCUGCAUUUAAUAUAAUAUAGUGUAUUUAAAUAUAAUAUUAAAUAUAGAAUAUAUAAUGAGUUGGGUGUCUUAAGUUGGAGAUAUUAUAGUAAUUUAACAUUAAAGUUAGGGAGUUCAUGCUUUUAAGGUAGUAUAGAUAGAAGAUAGAUAAAUCCAUAUAAAGAUUUACAUUUUUAUUUGAAAAUAACAAUAAUAAUAAUUGAUCCAAUACAAUUAAGAAGAUUUAAAAAAUAUUAGCAUCCCUCGUUAUCGCUAUGUAAUGGAAUUUGCAGAUUGUAAAAACUUUUUUGAAGAAUCAAGUGCAAUUUUUGACAAAUUUAUAGCAAUUUGUUUUUAUGACUUUAUGUAAUGUAUAAGAUGGUAAAAAUAAAUAAUGAAAUAGAUUGUAUAUUGAAUGCAACUUUUAUAUAACAUAAAUUAGAAGUAUUAUUAUUCAACUAAACAUAAUUUACUAUAAAUGAUUACUAAUUAAGUAGUUCAUAAAAAUGACUAAGUUAGAUAAGUGGUAUGUAUAUCAAAUAUUUGUGCGUUGCAACCUCUAAACUUCGAGCUCCCAGAUGAAUUAAUAAAUUUAAAAUUACUAAUUAUAUUUUCAGGUUUUUGAUUAAAAAAUUAUGUGAAUUUAUGUACUAUUACUUUAAAAAUAAUUUAGUUUUUGCUGCCAUGGAGGUAAAAUUUGAAUGAAAUUACCAUUAGAUAUUAUUUCUUCCAAGUAUAUAAAAAAAAUGAUUGAGCAUUCUGUACAUAAAAAUUUGGAUAAAAUCAAUGUUAAAAAAUAGGGAUAAGGGUCUGAAAAAUAUUUCAACUUUGGUCGAAUUUGUUGUUGCUGCGAUACUAAACUUUCAUGAGGACCUAUUACUUCCCUAGACUAUUAACCCUAAAAAAUAGGUAAAAAUUUAGGAAAAGACUAAGUAGGCAUUUGGCCAUGCGAUUUUACGCUGAUUCCAUCUCAUGAUUCCAUAUCAUGAGAGGUGAUACCAUAUUCUCCAAAAACCAUGAUUCCAUAUCAUGAUUUGAGAUUUUUUAAUACAAUAAUUGAUCCAUGAGUUUAUAUUUUGUUAAAACAACCCCACAUUUAUAUCUACUAACCAUUUGUUUCAUAUGUAAAUAAAAUUUAUAAUCACAUCAUUACUUUUUAAAAUUUAUUAUUCUCACCAAUAUAAAAUUUAUUAUUACUUUAAAUUUGGUGAAUAUAAAUGAUAAAGUAGAAAUUCAUUUGGUGAAUAUAAAUAAGAACGAAGGGAGUAAUACUUUUUUGAUUUUUCAUAAUAAAAAAAACGUCUUAAUCUUAUGACUAAGCAUAAUAUUGAUAAAAGACAAUUUUCAUUGGCGGUGCCGCACUUUCUUAAUCUUAGUAUUCGCAAAAUGUUCGUUCACAUGACUGAAGAAUAUCAAGUCCAAUUGAUUGAGGACUUGGGAAAAUUUGAUCAAUUGGUUAUUAAUAUUUAGUCAAGUGGACUAGUUAUAAAUUUUUUGAUUAAAUUUUAUUAGAAGCGUUUUUUAUUCAAUCUUGUGGUAACUUUUUAAAAUUUCGUUAUUCAAUAAUAUUUAACUAUUGAUUUUUCUUGUAAAUAGUUAGAAGUCAGUGAUGUUUGUUAAUUUUUAUCUUUAGUGUAUUUAACUUCUAAGUUAAUAUUUACUCACUAAUGUAUGUGUUUUUUUCUACUUUAUAGGUUAUUUGUAAGAGUAGUUGAGAGAUAUGAGCAUGUCAAGUCCAAUUUAUGUUCAAUUUUUUCAAUUAAAUUAAAGUUAGAUGAAACAAUUACUUAAGUGAAGAACAAAUAACUUUGUAAUAAUUUAUUAUGCGAUUUUACAAUUUUUUGUUUAUUUGAUAAGAUUGAAUAAACAAUUGGGGUUAUUUUAAUAGUUUUACAACUUAUGAGAUUUUUAUGUUUAUGAGAAAAUAUACAACACAAAAAUUUCAUAUCGCAUGUCCAAACAAACCUUCAAUUUCAUCUCAUGAUUCCAUAUCAUGAUACCAUAUCGCAUGGCCAAACGGGCCCUAAAAAUACACCGAAGUAAUAGGUCCUCAUGAAAAUUUAGUAUCGCAACAACAAAUUCAACCAAAGUUGGAAUAUUUUUCAGACCCUUAACCCUAAAAAAUAGGUAAAAAUUUAGGAAAAGACUAAAAAUACACCAAUAUUGCAAACGUAAGGAACUAUUAGUGUUCCAUGCUAAAUUUUAAAGAUGACUUUACGUCUUAACCCAAAAAUAAUGGACUAUUUUGAGCUAUUUCUCAUAUAUAUGCAUCACUUUUUUAAUAAAAAUUAAGUACUACUCUAUUGAUCGCAAAAUUGAUGAGUAUAUUUCCCUUUUCCCUAUAUAUAUAUAGAACACCUACCCCCAAUUCCUUCAAGGUUUUGCGUUCCCAGUACCAAGUUCUUCACUCUCUCUAUCAGUCUUCUCACAUAUACAACAAUGGCGGAACCCAAAGUCAAAUACGAUCGACAGCUCAGGUGAAUUGUUUGCUAAACUUUUAAGGCUAUGCUACGUUUUUAUUUUUUUGCUUUCGGUUUUUGUUAUGAUCUCUUUUUCUACCCAAUUACUUUCUGAAACCUGUUACUACUCUACCAUUGAACUUGUAGCUCUUACUGUUAUCGCAAUAUCAUAGCAGAAAUCAGAAAAUGCAGCAAAAUCAUAUAUAUAAUAGAAAUAUCAGUUGAUUACGACUCAAUCCUAAAUUAGUUGAGGUUAGACUGGUCAUGCUCUGUAUCUAAUGCACUAUAUUGAGGCUCAUUUUGUUCCAAUAAUAGGUACUUUUGAGUUUUAAGUCAAGGAUGAGAACCAUGUAGUCUCCCGGUCAUAUCCUAAUGGAGAUAAAAAUAUUAGGUUACUUUUUUUUUUGGUGCUGGUGUUGGAGGUAGUAGGUAAUCGUAGAAUUAGUUUUGAGUUGCGUGCAAACUGAUCAGAACACCACAAUUAGUGAAAAAAAAGGGUAGAGGGAAGUCCUCCAGGUUUAAGUGUGUACCAAGUGGAAUAUUUUAGUAGAGAAGGAAUAGGUGCAGCAUCUGUGAAUUUUUACAUAUUUAUCCUUACAGCGACGGUGCAAAAUUUGUGUCAAGCAGUAGUUGCAUAUAUUCUGGAGUUACACCUAGCUUGGAGUAAGUUUAUAGUCAAUUGUGUUUAGUAGAUACAUGUUUAGUGUUGUUAUUUGGAUUGUCAAUUGGAUUAUGCAAAACAUGUUUCUCUGAUAACGAGGUUGUAGUAGAAGGUAUCAAGUAGUCUUUGAACAACAAUUAUAAAUUAUCCUCAAUAACCUUCACUUUUUCAUCAAUAGUAUCAGAAUUAAGCUUUUAAAAACAAAAUUUAACAAAAUCCAGUUUAUAUUGAGGGGCAAAGACCAUGGCUAUAGAUAACUGACACUAUAUGAUUCCCAAUAUUUCUUAAUAGAAGUUGCCAUUUCACUCAUCACUGAAUCCUUCCUAUUUUUGUGUUUUUCCAAUAACAUUUCACUUCUCCAUACAUUAGGAAGAUACAAAAUUUGCCGUGGGGUACUUGCAUCCGAAAAAAAGUCUUAAUGUCAUUAGAUGCCCUAAAAUAUGUAGCUACAAGCUCAACCCCUUUCCAUUCAUCUUCAAAAAGGCCAUGUUUAAAAUCAGGAUUAACCAAGUCAUAAUGAAUAUACACCUGCUUAUACAAAAGAACACUUCCAAUAAUUUGAUUGGUGGAAUUCCACCGAAUAGGCAUAUCUUGACAUAGCUUUUUAGAACAUGGUAGACCAAGGUUACACACUCCACAAAUUUCACUUUUUUUGUUUCUGAAUUCUUGAUAUACUUAACAUCUUCUCUAGUUUUCUCAAUAGCUACAUCAGCCUUCUCUAAACCCGCCUUAACAAUUAAGUUAAGAACGUGAUUUCCACAACGAGCAUGAGGAAACUUUCCCUCCCAAGCUAGUGAACGCAUCAAAGACAAAUGGUUUUUCAAAUUAUCUACCUCACUGUUAUUGCAAGUAGCACUAUCUAAAGUAAGGGUAAAGAUUUUCUUUUCGAUUCCCCAUUCUUAUAGAAAAUCAAUCAAUAAAUGACCUAAAACUGCAUCCGAAAGUUGAGGAGGAACAUGACAAAAAAUCAAAAUCCUCUUCUGAGAAACUCAAUUUAAGUCCACAUAAUGAGCUAUUACAUACAUACAGCUAUUAGAUACUAAUGAACUCCACAUGUCUGAUGUCAAGCACACUCUACUAGAUAUCAUCGCAAGCUGGAAUACAUGGAGAGUUGAUAAGUUCAUCAAGAAAGUCUGGGUGAUGAUCCCUGGAGUUAUCUUUUGGUGUUUAUGGACUGAAAGGAACUGUAGAUGUUUUGAUGGGAUCUCAACUCCAAACCACUCUCUUUAAGCUAGAUGUUUACUUAUGCUGUGCAGUUGGGUUAAUUUAACCCUUGUAUUUAGCACUGAAUAAUUUCUUGACUUUGUUAGCUUUCUAGUACUAGUUUGAAGAUUGUAAAGGGGCUUAGAACGUUUGCUUAUGCUCUCUGUGAGCCCUUUUGCCUAUUCUGUAAGUUUGUAUCUGCUUGAUGCUUUUUAGUGAAAUACCUUACUUCAUAACAAAAAGAAGAUAUCAUCGCAAGCUCAAUUUUUAGAAGUUCUUUUUCUCUUGCAUACAUAUUCAGGAUAUCUGACUUGGCUGUGUUUCUUGAUAAUGUGCCUCACAAUUGGAUUUAAAUACGAAUGAAUGUCCAUGAUGCCUUUAUGUUCUACAAAACUGAAAGCAAUUGCAUACAUAUGGACACUUCAUAUGACCAAUGAUAUUUUCUCUCAAUAAAUUUUUUUGAUCUAUUGGUUCACUUUUUGGCUUGAACCUCUUUUCCCUUAUUCAAAGAAUGCUUUACCAACAAAUUUGCCUCAGAUUUGAUGUUCCAGAUGUAGGGGCCAUUAUGUAGUCUUGUUCACAAAGUGUGCAUUGCACUUUAAACUUCCCAUCACUAGAAAUAUCCGGCUCAAACCUAACAAAAGAAUCUCAAACAACAAAAGUUUUCCUUUUGCCUUGUUUUAACUAAGUUGAAGUACUUUGUUCGCAAGAAUCCGCAUUACCUUCCAUUGACAUCUCUACCUAAACCAACAAUUACAUAUUAUGAAUAUUGUACACUCUGAAAGGGAAGCAGACAAAGGAGCACAUGCACAGUAGUUCAUGAACAAAAUCAAUAACAAGCAGGGCAAAAUCACAAAUUACCAGCCCCAUUUGUCCAAUUUUUCUUUCUCCAGAAAUAAAAAUCCAACCACCUCUUCACCACCACUAUCCAUCAUCCUCAGUAAUAGAGAGCAACAACAUUUAACAUUACACAAAAUUAAAUCAGAAAUUAAUUAAAAUAGAAAAAUAAAAGAGGAGCGGGGAAUUCCUAUUAACCUAAAACGUCAAUAAGAAGAAAAAUGAGGAGGUGUAGGUAACAAUAGUGCCUGAUUACUCAGUGAGGUAGUGGUAGGAAGGGGGUAAUGAUUGAGGAGAAAAACAGAAAAAAGAAAAAGAGGGAGAGAGAGAGAGAGACAGACUCUACGGAGAAGUCGUCGGAGACUGGACAGUGUUGGCCGGAGCUUGGGUGGUGUUGGCCAGAGGAAGAGGCAUAUGCUAUAGCAGGUAGAGUCAGUAGCACAUUUCUUUUUCGAUAUGGAUAAUUGGUAAAUUGUAGGUUUUAUCCAUUUUAUCCAUAUUUUAAGUGGAUAAUAUGGGUUGACCCAUAUUUAGCUCAUUUUUUAAAUGUCACAUAUACAACCCAUUUGAAAUGGGUUGGUUGAAUGGAUGGCCAUUUUUAUUUACCCUUUGCCGACUCUACUUAGUGGCAUAUAAGGCAGAUACAAUGUACAUAUCACACAAGACACAUAUCAUUUGAUGUGUUAAGCAUAUGUUAACUAUAGGACUUGAAUUUAUUUACCCACGCAGCCACGCUCAUCGUAAAGUUAGAUAUUCCCUCUAUCCCAAUUUAUGCGAUGGACUUUCCUUUUUAGUCAGUGCCAAAAAGAAUGAUACCUUUCUAUAUUUAGAACUGAAAAAGGUCAAAUUAUGCCUUAAAGUAUCUGAAAUUGAGUAGAUAUUCCCUUUGUUAAUAGUUUAACUCAGAUAUGCUCUUUAUUUAAUCGGAACCCACAAUUAACCUAAUUAGCUGAUUACUAAGUGAAAAAGAGCCAAGUAUGUGAAAUUGCAGAUAAUAAUGAAGCUCUUUUGCAGGAUAUGGGGUGAGCAAGGACAAGCUGCGCUGGAGAAAGCCAGUAUCUGCUUACUUAACUGCGGUCCAACUGGUUCCGAAACUUUGAAAAAUCUUGUUCUUGGUGGGGUUGGAAGCAUCACUGUUGUUGAUGGUUCCAAGGUUGAAGUGGGUGAUCUUGGAAAUAAUUUCAUGGGUAUGUAAUAUGGUUGUAUGUUUGCAUCUACAGCUUUAGAAAGCAAACUUAUUUUUUCUCUCCUAUUUCUGGUAGUUGAUGAAUCAAGUGUUGGCGAAUCGAAGGCAAAGUGUGUGUGCACAUUCCUUCAAGAGUUAAAUGAUGCUGUUAACGCCAAGUUUAUAGAAGAUUGCCCUGAGGAACUGAUUGAGACAAAUCCAUCAUUCUUUUCUCAGUUUACCUUGGUCAUAGCUACACAGGUCACAUGAAUCAUCUUGUUCUCAUAAAAACAUUUGACUUUGGCAGGAUCCUGUGUUCCCAACUUUUUUUAGAACUUAUAUAUCUUUAUCAGGAAGGCUUCUUUAUACCUUUUUUUUUUUUUAAACUGGUAAUGUUAUAUUCCUCCGCAUUAUGGAUAUGCUGGAGACCUUCAAAAGAGGAACAAAACAAAAAAAGAGAGAAGGGGAGAAACUACUUACAGAGAGCCUAAUAGAUCUACACUACCUCCCUGCAUAUAUUUAUGUCUGUGUGUGUGUGUGUGUUAUAUUUAUAUGAUGUAUACACACUCACUCUCAUAUAGUCUUAUAAUACACACCAACUGUAUUAAUUUCUUUUCGUGUUCGUUUUGAGAGAACUUUUGUUACAGUUUCAUUUUAGUAGAAUCUGCUUUAUCUGAAUUCUGAUUAUGUUUAUGACUGGAGAAUUUCCGGAAAAUUCUGUACUGUGUAGCAUGCCAAUUUUGAAGAGUCCUGACAAUUAUGCCUCUUGACUAGGACUUUGCGAGUUACAAUCAUUUCAGGACACUUCUUAUCUACUGUGUAGUAUGUUGAAUUUUGAGUGUAUCUGUACUUCUGAACUAGUACUUUGUGAGUUGCAAUCUUUCCAAUUUUUUGAUACUCUGAAAUAUGUGAUGAUAUUUGUUGCCAUCUCCUUUUUGAAAGAGGUAGGAGCAUGUUGAUUUGAAAAAGUGAACAAGUAGUUUUUGUAUCUGCAUAAUUAUGGUAACAGGUUAUCCAGUCUUUAAUUGUAGAAGCAACAACAACCCCCUUCUCCCCCUGAAAAAAAGAGAACAAAGAUUCAAGCAAAGUACUGAUCUGUUUCCUUUGCCAUUAGGUCAUUUAAAUGCAUAAUAUGGCUAAUUGUCUAUCAGCAGAUACCAGGACAAGGAAAUUUCUGACAAUUUUGUCUUUUGCUUUGUCUUUUCUAUUUCAGCUGGUUGAAGAUUCCAUGGUGAAAUUGGACAGAAUCUGUCGGGAGGCAAAUAUUAUUUUAAUAUUUGCACGUUCCUAUGGUCUCAUGGGUCUUGUCCGGAUCAGUGUGAAGGUAAUCUUAAUGCUGCUUUCUUGCUAUUUUAGGACUGAUCCAACUUUGAAAUCCAGUACUGAUAGAGAACUGUGGUCCAGAGCAGAGACUACCCAUCAAUCCAUUAUGAUGGAUUUCUUGUCAGGAUCGUUUUUAUUGUGAGGAACUAACUUGUAGAGAAGCAACUGUCAAGUGAUAGGAGCAGAGUGAAACAAUGAAUGAGCAAAGAAUUAACGAUGAGUUUGGUUGAUAAAGCUCUCAGCAAACAUAAUAUCAUUUCUGUGUUGACCAGAAUUUAUCUUCUAUCUGCAGGAACAUACAGUAAUUGAAUCGAAGCCUGAUCAUUUUCUAGAUGAUCUUCGACUUAAUAACCCAUGGCCAGAACUUACGAGGUCAGCCUUUUCUUUGUGCUUUCCUCUAUGCUUGACAUGUUAGAGUUCUACAAUAAAUAAUGAUCUGUUCACUUAGCACCAUCUCUUAUUUUUAAACACAUGUGCACCCUUGUGUCUUAUGUUUCUUAGGAUGAUUUUGUGGAGUGGGGAGUAUAUGCCAGGAAGUAGGGGCACCCAAGAGUGUAGUAUAAUGAUCAAUCAAGUGGGUAUAAAUCCCGGAGACCAAGAUUCGGAUUUCAGUAGAGAGUAAGACAAAAAAUCACUUGGUGAUUCUUUUCAUCUGCCUAAGCCUUGAUAACCAAACUUACCUGAUAGUUGUGCUGGUGGAAGGUAGAAGGAACCGGUGAAAUAACCGAUAUGCACAAGUUGGCCUAGACACCGUUGCUGUUGAAAAAAGAUAUUCUAGGGAGUAGAGGCUAUAACAUUAUCCUUUUCUUACAAGUUGUGGAUGAUAUCACCAUAUUCUUGUCAGAUCAUAAAAGCGGCUUCAUUUAUGAUCUGAUAAGAAUAUGGUAAUAACUUGGAAGAAAAGGGUAGUCGUACUCCCUAGUAUAUCUAUUUUACAUUGCCCGGUAAUGUCUAGUACUGCAUUGGUUUGGUCUUCAAUGGGUGGUGCCAGGCACGAUCAGAGAAGUAUUGGUUAACCGGAGAUUCAGAGGAUGAGAGAGAAGACACAGGGUAGGAGUUGUUGCUCUACUAGAACCUAUGUGGACUAUUUGGAGAGAGAAAUAGGAGAGCAUUUGAUAGUAUAGAGGAGGACUAUGUACACCUAAGAAAUAGUGUCCUUUUCUGGAUUUCCUCUUGGUGCACCCGUGAGGUCCUGGUAGAAAUGUAGGUAUAUAGAAUAUUGGCUGUCGUUUGCAGAAAAUCACAUUUUUUUAUAAAACUUUUUACUUUUCGGUAUACUUAUUUAUUGUAUGUGGGUUUUUGAUGCCCUUUGUGUAUAAUCAGAGGAAUAUUGAAUGGAGGAUAACUGAUGAUUUAUAACUUUCUACUUCGUUGUUGAACUUCUGAAAUGGCUUUGAAGAUGAAAUGUUAAUAUUGAGGGUAUUUUUGUCUUUCUGGAUGUUUAUUCAGGUAUUAGUAAUACCUAUCUUGUUAUUCCAUCAUUUACCCAGUAUAAAACAAUACAGUAUUUGAGGCAUAACUUAUACAGUAUUAGCUAUGCAGGAAUUGAGAACACGAACCAAACGCUGGAUUAAUUAGUACAUAAUUUUAUACAAUGAUUAUUUUGUCUAAUACACCAAACCAAAAUACCAUAUGUUCUUUCUCCUUGUUAGCAAUUACAUUUUCCCCCCAUUGAAAGAAGGCAAGAGAUAAAGAAAAGAAAGGGCUGAUUUCAUACGUAUCCCUUACAGGUUCACAGAAACGAUUGAUUUGAACACAACUGAUGCUGUUGUACAUAAACACACACCAUAUAUUGUUAUCCUUGUUAAGAUAGCAGAGGAAUGGGCAAAUACUCAUGGUGGAAAUCUUCCUUCAACCAGGGAAGAGAAAAGGGAAUUCAAGGUCAUAAAUAUUUUUUAUAUGCUUCUAAAAUUUCAUCCUUAAUCGUUCUCUUUUGGUCCAUCUAAGGUUUAUUUGGUCUAUUUCUUGAAUGUCUUAGGAUUUAAUUAAGUCCAAAAUGAUCACAGUGGAUGAAGAGAACUAUAAAGAAGCCAUGGAAGCUUCAUACAAGGUCUUUUCUCCACGAGGAAUUGGUGAGUACUUUUGCUAAAAAAGGACAAAUAUACCCCCGAAUUAUCGUAAAUGGUAUGUGUAUACCCUUCGUUAUACUUUUAGGAUGUUAGUGCCCUUACCGUCCAAAUUUUGGUGCAUAUAUACCCUUUAUACUAACGGUGGUACACGUGUUUCAAUCUUAACCGUCAAUUCGUUCUUUGUUAAAUUUCUAUCCAAAAUUUGAAAAAUCCCACCCGAAUUAUUAAAAAAUCCACCCGAAUUAUUAAAAAAAUCCACCCAAAUUAAUAUAACCCAAAACCCCCCAAUUAAUUCACUUAAUUUCAAAUCAAGAGACUAGCUUAGUAGCAUCAUUUCCCCAAUCUUCUUCCCCAAAUCAUUCUCAUUCUCAAGUGAAAUUCCCCUAUAGUCAAAGGCCGAUCAAGCAUCGUCGCAAUCCAACCUAUUCAAGCUCUAAAACGAGCUCAAAGAACUGACCCUUCCCAAAUCGAAGCUCAAGACUCAAAAACCUUAAAUCGUCUCAUCAAAACAGAUCUAAUUGCAGCGUACAAAGAACUUCUACGACAAGACCUUUGCGAUUUGGCCCUCAAAGUAUUACCAGCCGUUCAAUUGGAAGGGUUUAUGAAUUGAUGAAAAAUAAUGGAUGGGGUUCUAGAUUUGAGAUUGAUGAAUAUGUAGUUAAGGUUUUAAGAGAUUUGGGAAAGAAGAAAUGGUUGAUGGAGUUGAUCAAUAAUUACAGAGAUUGUCGAGAUUAGUUUAGGGGAAAUGUUAAAUUUUGACAACUUCCACUGAUUUUGUUUUGCANNNNNNNNNNNNNNNNNNNNNNNNNNNNNNNNNNNNNNNNNNNNNNNNNNNNNNNNNNNNNNNNNNNNNNNNNNNNNNNNNNNNNNNNNNNNNNNNNNNNNNNNNNNNNNNNNNNNNNNNNNNNNNNNNNNNNNNNNNNNNNNNNNNNNNNNNNNNNNNNNNNNNNNNNNNNNNNNNNNNNNNNNNNNNNNNNNNNNNNNNNNNNNNNNNNNNNNNNNNNNNNNNNNNNNNNNNNNNNNNNNNNNNNNNNNNNNNNNNNNNNNNNNNNNNNNNNNNNNNNNNNNNNNNNNNNNNNNNUUUUUUUUUUGGGUAGAAAUUUAUUAAAUAUCGGGUCGGCUGAUAGGAUUAAGACACGUGUAUCACCGUUAGUAUAAAGGGUAUAUAUGCACCAAAAUUUGGACGGUAAGGGUACUAACAACCUAAAAGUAUAACGAAGGGUAUAUACAUACCAUUUACGAUAGUUCGGGGACAUAUAUGUCCUUUUUCCCAUUGUGAUAUGUUAGAAGCUAUAAUGUUUUUCCAUCUCCUCUAAAUGUUAUUGGUGGUUACUUCUUAUAGUCUGUUGAGUCUUUGGGAUGCAAUCUUAAUGAUAUAAACCUUGUUUUUAGUGGAUAGUGGUUUCUUUUCACUGACAUUGUAUCCACAUUAAUAACAAAAAAUUUCUUUAGUCCAUCUAUGUUUUCAAAUAUUUCUUUAGGCAGCCGUCAACGUGAUGUCAUGGGGACAAUCUUAUGCAGUUUCGAAGAGAUUUCAUAGUAGAAGUAAGAAGAUCAAAAUAAAUAUUUUCUACUAUUAAAUCUCCCAAAUCUCUUGGAAGCUGCAUCGAGUUAAUCCCAUAACCAAGCCUUGCAGUACUCCAGCUUUAAUAAUACACGAUUUGAAAAUUUUAUUGAGAGUACAAUUAUUGUUCUUCUAAAUUAAAAUCUCUGGAAAUUUCUUUGAAGCUGCAUAACACUUUCAUCUUUUGAAUCCCACUUUAAAAAAUAUUAGGGAUAUUUCUCUUUUACUAUUGAAUAAAGAUAUUCUCCUAAUUGUGUGUGAAUCUAGAGUCAUGUGAUAAAACAAGACUAGGAUGUGGGGUGGGGGAUGCAUUGUGUUCUAUUAAAAACUAGUCGACUAGAAUGGACGUUUUCUGUAUCUGCAGAUAAACUCAAUAACUUCAGACUUCAGAGUAGUAGUUAGAUGUACCAAGAUAUAUGAAGUAAAGUAAAAUCGACAUAGAUAAUUUUUAUACUAGUUUGCGUACUGAUGUGGUACCUACAUCCAAUCUCCUUGAGCAACAAAGUUAUAAUAUUCCUUCUCAGUUUUCAGUCGACUACAAUGGUGGUUUUAGAAAUCAUUCACCAACAACGAUUUUCUCUGAACUCCUUUCAGUCAAUUACAACUGUGGUUUUAGAACUCUGUUCACCACCAACAAUUUUCUCUCAAACCUUUGGUUUUCCAAGCCCUCCAAAGAAACUUAACUCCUGACACAACUUUUCUCUUUUCACCUCAGACUUUCUUUUUCUUUAAUGCAAUAGGAUAACUCUGUGAUAGAAGUCUUUUGGAGCGAUACAUAUCCCAAAGAAUAAGUGGAUCUAGAGUUGAUAUGAAGACUUCCAUUUCUAACUUGUAAUGGUAUCAUAGUUACUGUAUAUACUUAGUUCAUCAAACAAAACGAAUACUCACGAAAAAGAAUUUUUCUGGAACUUGAUAUUAUGUCGGUUUCAAUAUAGUUAUGCGGAAUCUUAAUUUGGAACAGGCAUGAUCAGGUUGGAAAUGUAUAAUUGACUUGUCUCUUUUGUCUACCAGGUGCAAACUUACAGAAGAUUAUUGAUGACAGCUGUACAGAAGUUGAUUCAAAUUCAUCUGAUUUUUGGGUGAUGGUAGCAGCACUGAAGGUAACUUGCAUUUUCUUGGAAAAACAAUAGUAGGAAGAAAGGGGGAAAACAAGUUAUACAAUUAAUGCAGCUCAGUUAGUUGCAUUAACCUGAUUAAAAGAAGAAUUCAUGAGUUGACAGCUCUACUUAAAACAUGAUUUUGCCUGCUGAUGUUUUUGUUAUUCUUGUCCAUUUCUUUAGCUCUAAAUAGCAAAUUGAUGUCUAAAUCAGUCCAUACAUUUGAUAGCUUUAAGUUGAUUGUAAAGUGUCGAAGUACCAGUUCCACUGGUUCUUCUCUUGGUGAGGCUGCUUGUACAUGUUUUAGUUUCUUCAUUUAAAUUUUCCUUGUGUGCCUUUUCCUUCAAAAAGUGCCUUCACUAAGUUCUUUACCCGAGUAAUGCUAGGCCAAAGGCUUUAGCUUUGUCCUGUAUAGUGCCUAUGGUCCUUUUAACCUCUGUGUCUAGGUUGCUAGACCACAUUUGCACUAGAAAAUUUGAGUUGCAAAGUUGUCUAGAGAAGUGUAGAAUAUUUUGGGAACUAAUUUGAGAUUCCUUGAAAAAUAAUCUUCCCAUUAGUCAAUGUCAUUCUUUUAAUUUGUAUAUGCAUUAUUCUAUUAGGAUCCACAGGAAACUAGCACCUUAUCUCUCCUUAUUUUACUUCAAAAGUUUGUUCUUUUUCUUUUGCAGCAACUAAAUAAUCGUUGGCAACCUGUAUCAAGCAGCCUACUUAAGUUCCCUUAUUGAUAUUUCUUUGCAUUGGUUGAAAUUGGUGAUCAAUGUGAUUUAUUGUUUUUCUCUCUCUAGGAGUUCAUAGCUAAUGAAGGUGGUGGGGAGACACCUCUUGAGGGGUCGAUACCAGAUAUGACAUCAUCAACUGAGUUAGUGGUUUAAGUUUCUUCACAACACAUUAAUUUUUUUAUUAAAAUUUACAGGACUUCGUUUAUUGAUGCUUAUACUGUUGACUCUAUUGCAGAUUGUAUGUAAACUUGCAAAAAACUUACCAAGCCAAGGCCGAGGCUGAUUUUCUUGUUAUGGAGCAAAGAGUCAGGGAUUUACUUAAGAAAAUCGGUAGGGAUCCAGCCAGCAUAUCCAAGGCAAACAUAAAGAGCUUCUCUAAAAAUGCAAGGAAGCUUGCUGUAAGGGCAUUUCCCCUUUCCCUUUUCAUUAGUUGAAUGCUCAUUCAUCUAGAAUUGUUUAUUUGUGCUACGUGAAUCUUCUUUCAGUUUGACAAUUCGGAACACAUUGUAACUCUGAUACAGAGAGAUUCCCCUGAUUUUAAGUUUGUGAUCCCGUCUGUUUUUCGCUUUUCUCAAAGCUCUUUUUUGUCUCUAACCCUCUCCUCCAAGUGGUAAAAUUUGGCUUCAUUCUGAGGAGCCAUCUAGAAAAGACGCUAAUUGUUAAAUGGGUCACCUUGCUUAGCACGUGCCUUCUAGGUCCUCCACUACGGCUACAAAGGGGGUGGGAUCCUGUCAGGCAGAGGGUGCUAGGUUGGAAACUCACAUUUCCUGGUCUUGCCCCACCUGUUGAUUCAAGCAGUUGUCUGAAAGUGCUCAAUGGUUCAGAAGAAAAACUAUUUGCUUCACUAAGUGUCUUCAGCUACUCUGUUGGGGGAAUAAUCUUAAAAUCUCCUCCUCCUACAUGCAUGAUUAAUGAUUUUGGUGGUUGAUUUUGUUGUUAUGUUAGUGAUAGGAUAUUACAAUAAUGAUGCUUUAUUUUUUCAAUAUAUAUCAAGGUGAUGACUGUUGGAACCAAAUUUUCAAGAAACUUACUGACAUGAUGAUAUGCAUGUUUUGUGAUCUUAAAGAUAACAAUGAUUCCCACCACUAAUUGUCAGCAAACUCCAUUUCAAAUUUGAGAUCCUUAUUUCUGAAUGGAUGUUUUAGUUUCUAGUCAUUAAAUUUUCUCUUUUAAUUAUGUCAGGUUUGCAGAUAUCGCCUCAUUGAGGAGGAGUUCAACUCUCCUGUCCAAUCAGAGUUACAGAAGUAUCUGACAGAUGAGGAUCAUGGGUAUGUAAUUGCUUACUGUAGGAAUAUGGUUUGACAUGGUCGAAUCACUUCAAGUUGGCAAAAUCAUCUGUGAUAUAAAUUGAAGUAGAAAGGGCUUCUUGGGAUCAUUUAAGCUAUUUGAACCCACAUGAUCCUUUCAUGAUACUUUGAUUGUUUUGUGAUACCAAAUAACAGGACUUUGCAAGAAGCCAACUCUGUUAAAGUACUUCCUGAAAAGUAAGUUUAUCCAAGCUAAAGCCCCCUGCCAUUUCGUGGUAGAUUUCUUUUUCUGGAUCCAUUUUCCAGGGCUUCUAAUGAAGUAACAUAUGCAGUUCCAAAUGUUGAAAUAUAGAUUUUAAAGUCAUAAUUUAGGUUAUCAUGACCUUUCUGUUGAAGUAGGAGUAUUUCGAGUUCUUUAAAUGAAUCUCUCUUCAAGUUGUCUGCGUACUUGACUUGAUGAAGUGCACUAUUUAGUCUAGAGGCCUCUAUGUUAUCAGCCAACUAGGAUUUGAUUGAAAACUACUUUGCAAGUGAUUCUCACUUUUUGUUAAGCAAGACAGAGAGAGCAAAAAGGUAAUAAGAAGUCAUAUGACUAAAUUCCUAGUGAUGCUAAUAAAAGCGUAAGUGGAAGCUUGGUAGGAAUAAAAUAAGCAUUGCCUUGUGGAUGAGAAGUUGCUGAUUCAUAUUAUAUAAAGUCUUUUUUGGUUAGAUGACUAUAUUUAAUUAAGCAAGGAUUAGGAUGGAGUAGGGGGGGGGGGGGGGUAUUNNNNNNNNNNNNNNNNNNNNNNNNNNNNNNNNNNNNNNNNNNNNNNNNNNNNNNNNNNNNNNNNNNNNNNNNNNNNNNNNNNNNNNNNNNNNNNNNNNNNNNNNNNNNNNNNNNNNNNNNNNNNNNNNNNNNNNNNNNGGGGGGGGGGGGGGGGGGGGGGGGGGGGGGGGGGAGCUAUAGUCCACUUAGUAUAUAUAAAUAAUUUAUCAAGAAUCCGGUGAACUUGCCUUUUGUAGACUUCAGAACCCACAAUCUCUAAAUCCUAGCGCUGCCCCUGGGAUGGAGUUGCUUCUGAAGAGUUACUUUGUUUGUUUCUGUUGGUUACCUUACACUUUGUCUUAAAUGUCUUUUGGAGAUAGUGUAUUUUCUAGUUCUUGCGGUAGUCAUGCUGAUAGUGCACUGGAGCACCACUUAUUCAUAUCAAUGGUACCUUGUACGAAGAAAUGGUAAUCAAUGGUUAAUUGGGAAAAAAGUAAAAUAAAAGAGAGUUGUGAAAUACUUUUAUUGCUAGACCUAGAACUGCUGCCUACUUGGUCAUUCAGGAUGCUUGACUGGGAACUGGCAUUAUGUUUUUCAGCCAAAAGAUAUUUGACAGUCCAAUCUUUUGUUGGUCCUGGGUUGACUUGAAAAAUAUUAGUGAUGUAAUAUUGAUCAAGCUGAGAAAUAUUUGGGAUGUAAUAUUGUUUAAGCUUUGUUUGAAAUGCUUUCCACCACAAAGUUAGGAUGUGGAAUCAGAGAAACACUGGCUACAGUUAUAGUAUUCGAUGCGUAGUGGAAAUGAUGAUAGACACUCGGUCUUUGAAGCAAUAUAGCCGUUGGGAUGCUGUAAAGUGGUUUGUUGUAUUAACAAUGACUCUCUGAUGUAUUUGUCAGUUCUUUUCCCAUGAGUGGACCACCUUUGGCAUCUGAAUGUAAGGAUAAAAAAAGGAAGUUUAAGAAGAGUCUGACUUGAGAUAUUAAUUGUUGUAUAAAGGAGUUCCCGAAUUAAAUCUCUUCCCACCCUUCUUCUUUUUCAAUUUAUGUUUCAUAUUGAAUGAAAUACAUGUUGGCCAAAAAGGAAUAUUUCCUCAUUUAUUUUCUUCUGUUAAUUUGAACCCUGUAACAAAGAAAAUUUUAAUCUUCUGCUUUACUCAGUCCGCUGAUAGUUGUCAACAUGAAAAACUUUCCAAGUGCAUUCAUUCUGCAGUAUAUUUAUUUGUUCAUUUAGUUGAUAUUCUUGUAGACAACAGAUACUCUGUGUGCAGAAUGGACACUCAAAGCUUAUCUUUUUGUGAAUUUGUUAAAAUUUUGCAUAAGAACUCUUUCAUUUGGAACUUUUUUCUACCCCUUUUUAUGACAGUACUGCUGCGGGUCUUUAUAUUCUUCUUCGAGCAGCUGAUCGGUUUGCUGUUAACUAUAAUAAAUUUCCUGGUCAAUUUGACAGGUAAAAGCUGAUGUUUUUCUCAUCCAAACAAUUUUAUCUUUUUGGAAAAGUUUAUUAUGGCUCACUAACCUUAAGAAAUAUUUUGGUAGUGAGAUGGAUGAGGAUAUAUCCCGGUUAAAAACUACAGCUGUUGGCCUACUCAAUGACCUUGGUUGCAAUAGCUCCGCCUUAUCAGAGGACCUUAUUAAUGAGAUGUGCCGGUAUGGUGCUUCUGAGCUUCAUGUCGUGUCUGCCUUCGUCGGAGGAGUUGCAUCACAAGAAGUAAUCAAGGUUUGGAUCUCCUCCAAAUAUUUUCAUCUUAAAUAUUGUUUUUCAUCAAAACUUCUAGUUUACUGGACAUAUAGCUACGUGCCAUAGGAGCGGUAAUCUGAGGUAUAUUAUGUUGUGUUUACUGCAGCUCAUCACGAGACAAUUCAUUCCCAUGUCCGGGACAUUCAUCUUUAAUGGGAUUGAUAACAAUUCCCAGCUGUUGUUGCUAUAGUCUCCAAAUUUACAGGCAUGUCGUUUCUCUCACUUUUAGGCUGUGGUUUUAGGUUCGAUGGAACUGAUAGUUUUUCGCUUUCACUCCCCUUGGCAGAUUGCAUGUUUGACAGAUCUCAGUCUUUGUGUUUUUUCAGAGCUCCAACUUUGCAAGUGAAAAGCAAAGUUGCCAUACUUCUUUGAUUAGCAGUAAAUUUAGGAUCAAUGAAAGAGGUUUAACAAGAAAGUACUAUUUCCAGUUUUGCACACAAACAAUAUUAUUUCCAAGGGAUGAAAAAUGCUACUUUUCAGUUGUAAGUAAAGAGUUUAACUUCUAUACACUAAUACGUAGUUGAUUGGGAGUUUCUUCAUCUCGACCCACCAAUGAAACCAGAGUCUACAGAGUUGGUUAUUUUUCCCCGAUUUUCCCCUUCUUCAUUUUCUUGGUUGAUUAUUCUCAAGGGAGGAGGAAACUCAGUACCAUAUGCUUGGCAAUCCUUGGUAGAGCUUUAUAACUUAUUUAUGAUUUCGUGCUUAACACGGUAAACAAACAAAUAGGUGGUCUUUCCAGUUAGGUUAAACAAAAGCUUUCCCCUCACAUCUCGGUCACUUUUACCUUUUCGUUAAUUUGUAAUUAAAAAAUAAUAGAAAACCUUGACAGCUAAAUCAGUUACAGACUUACAGUAAUUGCCAAUGUUGUGUUUAAAUUUAUAUUACAAUGGACUGAGAAUGGAGGUUUAUACUGAAAUGAUACUGGCAUGAUAAUGCAUAUCGAGUUAAAAUAGCUUCAUAAAAAUAUGUUAAUUUUCUUAGUGACAUCUCUCUCUCUCUCUUUUGGUUUUCUAUGACUAAUUCAGAUAUGGGCCACGUAAGGUCCAUUUAAGGGGGAAGUGUCCCUUAGCAUGAUUUUUCUGUACUUAGAGCUCGAACCUAAGCCUUUAAUUAAAGGCGAAGGAAUCUUAUCCAUCCCAUACAUGAUACGACCCUUGUUGGUCUCUUUCGUUUUGAACUCUCUGAAAUGCCUAAAUUAAUGGGAAAUUGUACAUGUCACUUUCUCUAAAUUAAUGGGCUAGUACCUAAAUUUCUUGCAAGUGUUUCAAGUCUUCCAGAUGCACUAGGCAAAUAGCAGAGACAAUUAUAAGUAAACUGGAUAUAGAAGAAAUAACAAGUAAAUAUUGAAUUUCAUAUGACACCAUAAAAGUAGUAAACAAGUUGAGAAAACUAAUGUCACAUCAUAUUUUUAUUGGGAAAAAAAAUAAAUACAAUUGCGAGUGUUAAGUCUAAAGAUACAAGCCUACUUUCUGGAUUUUGUAGUACCAUAGGGUUGAAAAUCAUAGGAAAAAAAGAUGACAAGAUAAAGAAUUAGUCAGAAAAACUGAAAAAUUUGCCCAUUAUACACAAUUGACAAUUUAUGUGAUUAUCUCUGAUUUUUCAUGUCAUUAAUUAGUCAAUGCAUUGAGACCUUUUUCUUGCUCACAUAGGAACUUUGACAAUUUGAAUGACUUAAAUACUUGUAAUAUGAUAUGAAAAUUGAAAAAUAGAAAACUAUUGAGAAGUUGGUGUGAUAUAACAUCAUUUUAUACUAGUUAAUAUACCACAUAAUUAGGUUGUUUCAAGUCUAAAUUAUUUAUCUAAAUUUUGAUGGAUAGAAUUACCAGUAUUUGAACGAGGUGGAAAAUUUGACAUGUCUAUUCAGAGGAGGCGUUGUAACACUCCGAGGUGGGUAGUUUAGGUAUGGGUUGAUGCCUCCUAAAGAGUAAUGGAUGCAUGUGAAAAUAGCCUCAAGCAGAUAUUCUGCCCAUGAGCGUAAUGAUAUAAUAAGUUUGCUUGCAUGAGUAUUGUGAGACCUACUGGUCGAACAAAGAUGAAAGUUGGUCACUUGGUCAUAGUUAUUGGGGACCCUCGAAAGAGCUUUUCCUCAACGAAUCAAUACAUCAACAAUAACAUACUAAGUGUAAUUCAAUAAGUGGGAUCUGGAGAGGACCAUGUAUACACACCCUUAAUCCUACUUUGUGAAAGUGGAGUAGUUGUUUCCGAUAGACUUUUGGAAAUACAACAAUGAAAUAUAGUCAUGCUGAACAUAAUGGAGAAGAGAACACUAACAACAACACAUAAUAUGAUAGCCGAAGCAAAGAAAAUAAAAAGUAAUAAUAAGAUCGAAAAACAAGAUAUUAUAUGAAUAAUAAUAAUAAUACAAAUAUUUUUUGUCCAAAAAAAAAAACAUGCAAUUUUGUCUCAUAUCUAAUAUUCCGGUGGAUUCGAAUUAUAACACGAAUACACACUUAGCACUAUCACUUAAAAGAAUAAUUUCAAGGUAUAUAAACUACAUAUUCUCGAAAAUAUUAAUUAAUCAUAUGUAUUUUAUCACCUAAUUAUGAGCGUCAUUAGGUGGAGAAAUGACUUUGUAUUAUAUUUGGCUAUAAUUUACUUGGUGUGGCCACAACUUUUUAAAAUAUUUUUUAAAAUUGAUCUAAAAAGAGUUGUUAGAGACAUAAUAAUGUAUGGAGUACAUUGAUGUAACAAUUUGAUGAUGUUAUAAACGAUCACAUCUAAACUUUUUCCCACUCAAUGUGUAAUUGGUACAUUGAAGUCAUUUUUCAUAAAAAAAUAUUUUUCUAGAACAUGAAAAGUGAAAUAUUUUUCAAAAUCAAUCAAUUAGAGUGUUUUUGAUGAAAUUUUGAGUACUAGAGUGAUUAAUAAUGAUGUUUAAGUUUUAGUUGAAAUAAUUAAUAUGAAGUUAAAAUGUUAAGAUAGAUAUAGAGAAAAUAACUUCUUCGCCCAUAAGUAAGUAAGAGCAGAUCGUAUUCAGGAUUUCAAGAGGGUAAUUGUACUAUUAUGAAAUGAUGGAUUUAAGAUCUAAAUUUAAUUGGUUUGACUUAAUAUAUAGUUAUAUUCUUCAUCGAAGAUAUUGAGAUCGGUUGAACCCAUUCACCUAAUGUUAUACCAUCCGGUACUCAUAGUUUACCAUGCUAAAACAUUUAGAAAUUUCUAAUGUGACAGACUUGAAACUUUUGAAAGAUUUCACGUGUACUGAACUCAAUAUUUUGUUGUUUAAAUUUUAUAUAUGUAUUAAAUUUUUUUAUUACAUAGCGAUAAAUAUUCAAUUGUGAAUUCAAUUAUUAAGUUGUAUGUAUAUAAAUUUUAACUCAUCGCAAAAUUCAUAAAUUUUAAAUCUUAAAUUUAUUGGUACGACGAAACACACUCUCAUUAUCAAACCUAAAAGUGGAAAAGGUGAAAAGGAAUAUUGACUUAAGAGAAACUAAAGAGAGAAAUUAUGACUGAUGAUGAAGGAGAACAAAUAAUUAGAUAACGCGUUUUUUUGUACUAAUAUCAACUUUCUGGUAGUACUAAUUUUCAUCAAAUUUUCUUGCUUUUACCGACUAAGGUUGUGGUGGAGUGGUAAGUACUUUUUUAUUUUAGUUUUGGAUUUGAAUCCAUCUGAAUAUAGAGUCAUCUUAUAAAGGGAGCCUCUAAAUAUGGGAUUUCUCGGUACGAACUCGAAUUUAGUCAAACUCCAAUAUGAAUACCGAACAUCAGGUGGAAAACCAAAUUUUUUGUCCCAUAAAAGGAGCACCCAUUUUUUUCUUUUCAUACAAUAAUAUUUUCUUUUGAAAAUGUAUAUUUUAUCAUCAAAAUAUCCGAAAGAUAUCUAUCUAUCCAUAUAUAAACUCCUUGUAUGCAAGAAAUUAUAAUUAUGAAAACAUAAAUCAAGUUACAUGCUAUAAUACAUAAAGAUGACCUCACGUAAAUUUCUUACACUGACGAUAUAUAUAAGUUAUUUAUUUUUUAAAAAAAUAUGGAAAGUCAACGUAAAGAUUAUACAAUGAUGUUUGGUUUUACAUGUAUCAUGAAAUUGAUAUUUGUGCUUAUUUGGUUGUCAAUGUAAAAGGGGAUUGUCUAAAGACUGCGCAAAUGUUAUUGUACAUUAUAUUUCAAUUCUUUUGCAUGAAGAAAUAAAUAAAUAAAAAGUAUAACAAGAGACUAGCUAGUGUAUAGAUGAGAUAAUAAAAGAGUUUUAGCCUUUUUAGGAUUGUGUUGGUCCCAUGCAUGAGGCAUAAUGAUAAAAAGUGGUAAGUGGUUGGCUAAUUAGUAGAUAUAGUAUCAAAGCUUCAACAAUAAUGUCUGGGUUCUCAUUUUGUGUUCAAUGAACUACUUUACCUUACAGUAUUGUGGUGGAAAAAAAGAGUGCUUGAAAAUAUCGGAGAAAAGUGAAUAAUGGUUAGUAAUGUGUCUUGGUUAGAUUGAUGUGGAACAUGUGAUGAGUGGAUCUUUGAUCGAUUUGGGGCAUGAACCAAUGUGAAUUGUGUGUGUAGUGGCCUAGUGGGGAGCCGUACUACUGUCAAUUUUUCUUUUAAGUAUUAGUCUUGCGAUCAUAGUACUCUCUCGAAACUCAAAAGUUGUGUUAGAAAUAUAGCUAUUGGAUUGGAUCAACUCAUUAUAAAGGGGUAUUAAUUAUCUCAUUAAUUAGCUUGUUCUCCUAAACUCUACCUAUAAUGUAUAAAUAUAUCAUAGAUUUUUUUUUUUUUUAACCAUGAUAUCACGACUAGGGUUGACUAUCCAAAAGAGAUAAAAACAUUUUGCAUCCUUAAAAGAUAUCUACGUUGUGGACUAAGGAAAUUUAUCUAUUUUGUGAGAAUUCCCCGUGACCGAUGGCACGAAUCAUGGUUGUUGCAGAUCUACUUCUGCUAAGCAAUGUAACACGAGUGCCAAUUGACUCUCCUUGAACAAAGAUUCCUCAACGGUGUGGUUGGAUGUUGAUAGGAUUGUAGCUAGAGAAUCAUCGAGUAAAAGCCAUGAAAUAGAAAGUAUCCCAAUAGAAAAAAAUCCNNNNNNNNNNNNNNNNNNNNNNNNNNNNNNNNNNNNNNNNNNNNNNNNNNNNNNNNNNNNNNNNNNNNNNNNNNNNNNNNNNNNNNNNNNNNNNNNNNNNNNNNNNNNNNNNNNNNNNNNNNNNNNNNNNNNNNNNNNNNNNNNNNNNNNNNNNNNNNNNNNNNNNNNNNNNNNNNNNNNNNNNNNNNNNNNNNNNNNNNNNNNNNNNNNNNNNNNNNNNNNNNNNNNNNNNNNNNNNNNNNNNNNNNNNNNNNNNNNNNNNNNNNNNNNNNNNNNNNNNNNNNNNNNNNNNNNNNNNNNNNNNNNNNNNNNNNNNNNNNNNNNNNNNNNNNNNNNNNNNNNNNNNNNNNNNNNNNNNNNNNNNNNNNNNNNNNNNNNNNNNNNNNNNNNNNNNNNNNNNNNNNNNNNNNNNNNNNNNNNNNNNNNNNNNNNNNNNNNNNNNNNNNNNNNNNNNNNNNNNNNNNNNNNNNNNNNNNNNNNNNNNNNNNNNNCCAAAAAACAACCCCCCCCCCCCCCCCCCCCCAUAGGCCUUCUCAAUACACAUUAAUUCGAGUCUCAAAUCCAGAUACCUGACACUGAGUGGGAAAUCAAACAUGCAUGCAUGUGUGCUACCGUUAUCUAUUUCAUGAGUUGUGACUAUACAUAUAUGACCAACUUUGUUGUUGUCACUUAUGUGUAUCAUUUUCAAUAAUCACGACACAUUAUUUCUGUCCCUACUCCAUUCUUUCUUUUUCACAUUCUUGUUGUUUUGUAAAUCAAUUUCACUAAACACCGCGGUUUAUGUUCAUACAAGAGUUUUGAGAUACAUAUAUGUUACGUUACUUGAAUGAUAAUUACACGUAACACUAUUUAGUAAACAUUGAUUACUAGGAAGUACUUAAGAUAUAUAUAACCAAUUAUAACAUGUCUGAUAGUAAUAUAAUGCCGCUAUCAAUAUUAUUAUAUAACAUUAAAAUAGAAUAGUUCAAAAUAAACGAAUUUUAUCCCUAAAAGAUAAUGUGCCUUAUCACAUUGUCGGUAUGUACGUUUUGCCAAACGAUCGAUCAAUUUUAUGUGACAUAACAAUUUAUAUUCAUUAUCAUCUAUGUAUUUAUAUAAUUAUGUUACUUAAACGAUGAUUACAUGUGACAUUAUUUAAUAAAUAUUAUGACAAUAUGUUAGUAGUAUAAUACCUUUAAUUUCCGCUGACCACUCUUAAUGUAUAACACUAAAAUAAAAUAGUUCAAAAUAAGUGAAUUUGGUCCCUGGCUAAUAGACAACAUGCCUAAUCACAUCAUAUCAUCGAAAUGUUCGUUUUGCCAAAGGAUCAAUUUUAUGUGACAUAACAAUCUAUAUUCUUAAUUUAUCAUCUAUUUAUUUUUAUACAAUUACACUAUUUAAACGAUAACUAUAUAUGACACUACUUAAACAAACAUUAUUACAAUAUAAUUGAAUAAUAGUAUCUUUAAUUUUCUGUGAAUCACUAUCAAUAUAUAUAACACUCGAAUAAAGUAGUUCAAAUUAAGUGAAUUUCGUCUCUAAGAGACAACAUCAACAUCCCCUAUCACAUUGUUGAGUACUUGUACAUUUUGACAAAGGAUCAAGUUUAUGUGACAUAACAAUCUAAAUUCUCUAUCAUCUAUAUAUUUUUAUACAAUUACGUUAUUUAAACGAUAGCUACAUGUGACACUAUUUAAUUAAAUAAAUAAUAUCUUAUUACAAUAUAUCUGAUAAUAAUAUCUUUAAUUUUCUAUGGAUCACUAUCAAUAUAUAUAACACUAAAAUAAAGUAGUUCAGAAUAAGUGAGUUUCCCAUUGUUUAGGGAAAGAGUCAAUUACAUUCCUUUAUCUUAUUGUUAGAAUAUGUACAAUUUACCAAAGGAUAUUUUAUGUAACUUAACAAUCUACCAUAUAUAUAGAUAUUCUUUACCAUAUAUUAUAUGUAUAUUUGAAGAAAACAAAAAAAACAUAAAAAAAGGUAUAAUAUGCUUUUAAGGAAAACAAGUCUGAAAUUGCGUUAUCGAAUAUAUAUAGGAAUUGCAACAAAAUCUUCUUUUCUUUUUUAACCAAAGUGAUAUGUCCAAACUAUAUCUUUGUCAUUGAUAGUUAUGGGAGAAAAUUUGGAUUUUAAAUUAUCAAUAGAGUUGUAAACAAAUUAUAAUACGCGUUUGGGAAGCUGACAAAAAAAAUGGUGUGACAUGUUUUUUUUAAUACUGAUUCGAGUUAUUUCUCUUUCGAUGAUGAAGUUUAUCUCCCAUCAUAUUACUAGCCGAAUUUGACUUCUGUUAUUUUCAUCGAGGUCAUAUCUAGUAUUCAGAAUUUGGUGAAAAAAUAAUCUCUCCCCCAAUUUUUUUUUUUACUGACUUACAAAGAAAAUAUUUUGUUGCAAAUGAACAAAAUAAUAUUGAAAAAUUGUCCAUAUGUAAAAUCAAAUUAUUAAUAUGGCCUUUGGUUCCACUAUACAAAAAUUCCAAAUCAUUUUCUUAAUAAAUAAUAAUUAUCAAAAUUAUAUGGUAAGAUCGAUAAAUAAAUUAAAAGAUGAUUUGACAUUAAGCUAUGUGAGUAUAAUUGCCAAAAAUGAUAAAAUAGAAGGAAAGUGUAAGACAACUCAAUUGUGAUCCAAUGAGUGGCUGCCACGUAAUCUGAAAUUUGGUUAAGUGUAGACUGUAGAGUAACUUAUUUGCACUUCAUUAUGAAAUCGCGUCAUCUAUACGUAUUAGGAUAGAAAGUUAGUAGGCAUGAAGUAUUCGAAAAUUUAAAUUUGUUGUUAUUUGUCAUAUAUAGUAUUAGUUUUAUUCAUAUAGAUCUUCAUGUGUACAUGAAAUUUCUAUCAUCAUAUGUUGUUUAUUAUAUUUCGAUCAUCACAUUAUGAUAUUGUUAGAGAAAAUAUUUUUAUUUGAGGUGAGUAUUAUGGACGCUUUAAAGUUAAAUUCACCCCAUUAUUCUUGUUUUAACAUAAUAAUAUAAACAAAAUUAUAGUUUUUAGCUCACAUAAUUUAUUUUGUCUUUAAGAAAUUUAAUUCUAUUUUGAUUUAAUUGCUAUAUUUAUUCGUUGUAUAUAUGUUCGCUCAAUAGAACCGUGUUCAUGAAUAAAGUCACAUGUGUUACCAACUUGUAUCAAUUGUAUUUAUUCGCUCUAAUGGAUAUAUUACUUGUAUUCUUCCGAUCUAAUUUUAGUUGUAUUCAUUUGGCUCUACAUAUCAAAUUGUUACCAACUUGUAUCAUUUGUAUUCAUUUAUUCUAGUUUCAGUUAUAUUCAUUCACCCUAAUGUAUCAAUUGUUACCGACUUGUACACUUGUAUUCAUUUUCUCUAUUUUACUUUUAUUCAUUCGUAUCAACUAUGUAAUUGUUUAUAACAACGUGUAUAGGUGAUAAGCGUUCACUUAAUUUCGUUAUAUUAAAACAUACAAUCACGAUAAGUUAUAUUCCCCGUUCAACAUUAUUUUAAUAUAUCACAAUCGUAUUUAAUACGAUACACUAAAAUACAGUGAUACAAAUAGUUAUUGUUCACUAUAUUUGUGACUCCAUAGCAGAGAAUAACAAUAACAUAAAUAAUUGAGGAGGAUUUAUAUAAUUCAAUAAUUAACGAAAAAAUAUUCAAGUACUAUUAUCUCGAGUUCGAGCUUAGGGUAUGGAGAAAAUCUUGUUGGAAGCGUUAUCACUGAAUGAGCCUUGCAGAAAAUCGUAUUUACUCUUUCUAUUUCUAACCAUCAGGGAUAUUCAUCCUAGAUUAUUCCAGCGAAUAGCAGAAUCGUAGCUAGGGAACUAUACUAGUGACCUACCCAAUUUAUUGUAAAAUUUUCGCGAUCAAUGAUUGGACCAUGCAAACUAGAAAUGCUUUUUCUUAACUAAAGAAAGAGAUUACUCGAUCCAGAUUUAGUCGGGACUCCAAUCAUUGGAAAAAAAAGAAAAAAAAACAAGAAAAGUGAUUUUGUUUAUCCAUUCUUUUUGCUUAAUUCAAAAGUUUUCUAUUUAAAAUAAAAGUGAGCAAAAUUGCAAGUUGGUUGUGACAAGACAUAGUUGGUUAAUUAAUAAUUGACAAAACACGAGUGAACAUAUCAAAUGUGGAAAAAGAACUAUUACGUUUGAAAGGUAAAAAGUCACCAAAAAAGAGAUUCAUCCUAGAUUAUUCCAGCAAAUAGCAGAAUCGUGGCUAGGGAACUAUACUAGUGACCUACCCAAUUUAUUGUAAAAUUUUCGCGAUCAAUGAUUGGACCAUGCAAACUAGAAAUGCUUUUUCUUAACUAAAGAAAGAGAUUACUCGAUCCAGAUUUAGUCGGGACUCCAAUCAUUGGAAAAAAAAGAAAAAAAAACAAGAAAAGUGAUUUUGUUUAUCCAUUCUUUUUGCUUAAUUCAAAAGUUUUCUAUUUAAAAUAAAAGUGAGCAAAAUUGCAAGUUGGUUGUGACAAGACAUAGUUGGUUAAUUAAUAAUUGACAAAACACGAGUGAACAUAUCAAAUGUGGAAAAAGAACUAUUACGUUUGAAAGGUAAAAAGUCACCAAAAAACAAAGACAAUAGGGAGUCAAAGGUUUGGGAAUUCACAUGGAACGCAUCAAUUCAACAUUUAGUAAUCGCUUCGUUUUAAUCUGUUUGUCAUACUUUGUUUUAAGUUUAUUUAGAAAAAUCAUAUUUAAGAUCACAAGAUCUGAAUAUCUUUAUUACAAGAUUUAAAUUUUUUUUUUUUACUUUUUAAAUUCUAUAUCAAGUUAAAACGAUCGAGAAUAAACAAAUUAAAACAAAGGAAAUAAUUUUAAAAUAUAGUAAUAAAUGUAAUACUUUAAAUUCAAUUACCCAUUAAGAGUGUAUCUGAUAUGAAUUUGAAUUAAUUAAGUAAUCUUGAAUGUAUAUGAAAUGAUUAAAUAAUUUUUUAAAUUCAAUUAGUAAUACAAUUGAUGAUCAUCAAACAUAGAAGUAGAAGACUAUACCACCCAUUUUUCUCACCAGAAUCAUAUACUAUAUAUAUAAAAUUAAAUUACUAGACUAGACAUUGACACAAAUCUUUAAAGAUUUGGAUCAAUUUAUAUUACAAUUUCAUUUUCCUUUCACUAAGAAAUUAAAUAAUAUUACAUAAAUUUUAUUUGCGAUUCUUUUUCUUAAUACUAUAUAUUUUACUCAAAAUUUAUUUGAGUACUCGAUGAACUUUUCUAGGACCUGAGUUAGAUUUGAUGAAUCUAUUGGCAUAGAGAGCGUUUUCCCCUUUAAUAGACUCAUGUCCAUAGGGUCUCCCAUGAUCCAAUGUUAUCAUCUAAGUAAUUCAUAGGGAAAUUGUCUAAAGAUUGUUGUGGUGGUGAUAUUGUUUGUGGAGUAGAUUGGCCCAUUUCCAUACAAAUUAGUGCCAUGAAAUUUGCUUGUUGGCAUUGCAUGUUGACAAUUUCAGCUUGUGCCUUAGCCAAUUGUGCUUGAAGAUCACUAACUUGCUUUUGUAAUUGGCAAAUUGAUCCUGCACAACCAUAUACUGGAUCUCUUAGUCUUGCAUUUGCUUCAUAUACCAUGCUGCUUACAGCAUCUGCCCUUUGAGAUUCUGGUAAUUCCUAUAUAAAAAAAAAGUGAACGUAUUUAAUAGUGAUCGAAUAAAAAGACAGUCUGGUGUACAAAACAUCUCGCGUUCAUGGAUGAUUUGGGGAAAGACAAGACAGUAUGCUAAGGGGUGUGUUGUAGAGUUGUAGACAGUCUACUCUAAUGCAAGUAGUGUGAUGUAUAAUUGUAGACAGUCUACCCUAAUGCAAGUAUUAUUGACUGUUUUCACGGCUUGAAUGUAUGAUGUUUAUAAUUGCCAAUUAAAUCAAGUUGUAAAAACAACUAUAGCUAGUGCUAGUAGUAAAUUUUGAGAGAAAUAUAUAGCAAGUAAUAUCCAUCACUAAUUCGACGAGAUAUUUAGUGACAGGUAACAGGUUAACGACGAAUUUCACGAAUAAUUCUUGCUUUUGUAAUAGUGAAGUAUUUUGAUCAUCAUUUUAACUCAAGAAGCCAUAGAUAUUAUUUGGUAUAGAUAUGCUAUGAUGUAAACUUGAAAAAUAUAGAUUAUCUAUCUUUCGGUUGAUCGUCUAUAUGAAUAAUCAUUGACUAUAUUCCUUUUUUAAAACUUAUCAUGUCAUGUCAAUAUAUUAGGCAAAUACAAAUAACAAGUAUCAGAAGUUUUCUAUAUUUUCUAAACGUAUAAAUCUUUAAAAGAUUAAAACGUCUGAAAAAAAGAAGUAGAAAACUCAAUAAAUUUCGACCUUCCCGAGAAAUAGAAAAAUGAAAUAUAGAGACAUGAAAAGAGAAGUAAUUAUAUACUCCAUAUUGGAAUGAAAAGAAAGAAAAAACUUUAUUGUAAUAAUUAUAAAAAUAAAUAAAGUAGAUUGAUGUGGUUGUUGUUUCUCAUUAUUAUAGUCAAUGGAGAAAUAAACUCCUUACACUAAGAAGGGCAAUAUGAUUGAGAUAUUUCCUUGUCAAUUUCUUAUGUCUAUUUCAACCAUCAAUUUUUAGCUAGGUAUUGCUUUCCAAAUUUGCAACUAUAACCUACCUAAAUACUACUUAACUCCAAAUUUGUCUACAUUUCAUGCAUAUAUUUUUGAAAUUAUAAAAUAAAGUCUUAUUAAAUAUUAAAAUAUUCCUAAUUAAUAAUUCCCACAAAAUCAAAAGAAAUUAUAAUUAAAGUUUUUCUCAAACUAAAAACAAGAGAAUUAGAAGCUUCCCUUAUUUAUGUAUAUCAAUAAAAUUUAUUUUUAAUCUACUUAAAAAAUAAAAAUUAACAUGAAUCGAAGGGGAUUCAAUUGAAUUCCUUCCUAACAAAAAUAAACUAGACACCCAAAAAAAAAAGGCAAAUAUAUACUUUGGGAGGUAGUGUAUUAAUAACUGGUGUGGCCGAAUUCAGUAACUUUUGUUUAAAUCAUAUAGUAUUUGUACAAAAAUAUUUAUUAAAAAUGUAUAAGUAUUCAAUUAUGAAUCUAGUAAGUCGAGUUAUGACCUCCUAUUGAUAAGUAUUCAUAACCUUCAAAUUUUGACUCCAUCUCUUAAAGACGAAUACUAGUACUUGUACUUCGAGUUAUGAAUUGCUAUUCAGAAUUCAUAAACUUUAAAUGCUGACGUACCAUAUAUAUAUCAUCAGUAUAGGUAAAGACUUAUAAUAUAUACCUGCAAAAACUUAAUAAUAUUGCUAGCACCAAACACACGAUGAGCCGUAGUGAACUUAAUAGGAUCAUUUGGAGGAAAAUAAGGUGCCAACACACAUUUCUCAGCACAGCGCCGCCGUAAUAUUUUACAGGCGGCGCAAGNNNNNNNNNNNNNNNNNNNNNNNNNNNNNNNNNNNNNNNNNNNNNNNNNNNNNNNNNNNNNNNNNNNNNNNNNNNNNNNNNNNNNNNNNNNNNNNNNNNNNNNNNNNNNNNNNNNNNNNNNNNNNNNNNNNNNNNNNNNNNNNNNNNNNNNNNNNNNNNNNNNNNNNNNNNNNNNNNNNNNNNNNNNNNNNNNNNNNNNNNNNNCAGGCGGCGCAAGGGCUCACCACCACCACUGUUACUGACUGUGGUGGUGGUGAGUUAGGAGAAGAUGUAGACGAAGGCGAGACGGAUCGAGAUGAAGAUGAAGAUAUUGUGGAUUCCAUAUUUAAUUUUUUUUUUUCAAAUUUUUGAUUUUUGUAGAUAUGUGUACAAAAGGAAAAUAGUGUUUACUUGAUGUGUUCUAAGAUGGAGUGAACAAAGGGUAUAUUUAUAAGCCAAAGGAGAAAAUAAGUGGGAGUGUGAUGAUGCCAUAAAUAAUAAAAUGACGUCACUACCCUUUUGGUCUUCUUAUUUUUAUAAAAAAAAUAAAAUAAAUUUUAUAUCUUUCAUUUAUUUGGUAUUAUGAUAUGAUAAUUUGAGUCUAAUGAAAAAGUAAAAUUCAUGCAAUCGAUUUUUAUUUAUUUUGGACUGAGGCAUCGUUGUUGUUUGUUUGUUUUUCUUUUAGUCUAUAAGCUUUUUGAUCGGAGAGGAAAUUUUAAUAGUUCAGUUAGCUAUGUAAGCUUUAAUUUAUUGGCAAGAGUUUGAUUUUCUAUCUUGUAAUUUUUUACCUAGUUUUUAUUUUGUUGAAGGUUGUGGCGAUCUUUUGUUUUCACUAGUACUAGUAAAUACUCCGUCCAUCUCAAAUUAAUUACCUGGCAUGCACGUUUAUUAAGAAAAUUUUAAUAAGAAUGAGAUUUUGAUUAUUUUAUCUUUAUUUAUGUCUUAAAAUGUACUUCUACUGUUCAUUUUUACUUGUCCACGAUUUCAAACUCAUCACUUUUAGCAUAUCUCUCUAUUUUAUAUUUCUCAACAUUAAUUACUUAUUUCCCAACUAAUUCUCUAAGACCUAAGAUUGUAAGUCAAUUAAUAUUGAUAUUGUGAUAAACCACUCAUAUUAAUUAUUAUUUCUUAUAAGGCGUGUAAAGUUCAAAGUGAACAAAUAAAGAUGAACGAAGAGAGUAAUCAUCAAAUAUUUCUUCUAUUGAGAUAUUUGUGAUCUUCAAAAAUAAUUACUACAAAGAAUAAAAUAAAAUAAAAAUUAAUUUUAUCUUAAAUAUUUAAAAUAACAAAAUAUUCAAAUACAAAUUACGAAAGAUAAUUUAAAACGAACUAUUUCUAGAGAGUUCAUUGUCUUUUUGGCCUUUGCAUGUGAAAAGUCCAAAACUAGGUUUGAAUAGUUUAGCCGAUUUCUCAGAAUUAUUUUAAUAUUAGUAAUUAAUCAAUCAAGGAUGUUAAAUUAAGUCUUUAAUUAAAUAGUUGUUGUAAACCAACCUCAUGUAAAUGACUUAUAUUAAUUAAACCCAAAGUUUUUGCACUUACUAAUAUUCUUGAAAUAAAAAUAACAAUAAUAAAUAUUUGAGGAGUAAGUUUAAGUAUACAAUUUAAAAUCCAAGUGUUAUUAUUAACAAUAUUACGCGGUAUGAUUGCAAUAGAUUAUUGACCGAUAAUUUAGGGAUCAAUUUAAAAUCCAAAUAUUAGUAACAAUGUUACAUGAGACAAUUGCAACAUAUUGAUCGAUCAUUUAAGGAUCUUAGUUAGUGAUUCAAAUUGUUUUUCUUUCGAUGUUGAAGUGUCGAGAUUAACUUAUCAUGUGGUACUACUUGAAGUUGCGAAGAAGUUCUUGUGCCAAUAAAAUUAUUUAAAUAUUUAUUAAUAUAUGACUCGAAAUAAUAUUUUAAUUCCUCAUUUUUUCCAAGGAAAGAAAAAAAAAAGACUUCUUUUUUCUUGAUUAUUUUUUUAUGCAUAAAUAUUAUAUGUUGAGAAUGUGGAAAAAUUAUUGCAUGGGAAGUCAUUAUUAAUUAGGAAUUAAUUGAGAGUAAAAAAUGGGGUAGUGCUUCCUAACGACCUAUCUUUCCUUAGUCGAAUAUUUAUUAUAUUUUUCUAAGCAAUCCAAAGUGUUUCACACCUAAAAAUUGGAUAUGUUUCCUUUCUAGAAGAAUGCAGGUGAAGUUAAUUGAUAGUGAUUCGAUGCACAAAGUAUUCUGAAUUUAGAAUAAUGAAUAUCUAAGAGGGUAUAAUGUAGGGUUUAUUUGAUAUGUCGCGAUUCUACACGCAAUACAAAUUUAAGUUUUAAAUUCAAAAUUUAAAAGUAAAAUUUCACUUCAUGAAUGUUUUUGUAUACUAAUUUAUCAACUAUUCAAUUUGUUCACUUUGAAUUAUUCACAACACUAAAAAUAUAUAUUCACUUGCACCUUUAGCCUAUCAAAAGAAAAAUAUUUUUUAUCUUCAUCUUUUGUUUUUAACAUUUUUUACUUAUUCUCCAAAUGAUUUCUCAAAACCUAUGAUUAGGCAUCAAUUAUAUAAAAUUAAUAAUAAAUUACUCAUAUCAAUUAUUAUUUCUUAGUUAGAUGCAUGCAAAUUUCAAAUUGGAUAAAUAAUAAAAGCAAACAAAGAGCGUAUAAUUACUCUACCUCCCAUCCGCUCGCAACACUACUGAGAAAAACAAAUUUUGACACUUAUAAAAACAUUCAUUGGAAAUUAGCUAUUCGAUCACGACUUUCAUCAGAAAUUAGCUAGUCAAAAUAAUUUUUAAUGAAUUUUUCAUCAAAAAUCUCUUAAUAACAAGCAAAAUUGACGAAACGUCCAUCAGAAUUUGCAUUGUUUACUAAUAUAUAGUAAAUUGGUUAAUCUUUUGUGAUAUAUACAUCAUGAAGAUUUUUAAGUUCAACUCGAUUAAAAGAAAAUGGAGAUGAUUUUUUCCUUUUUCCAUCUCUCAUUGGAAAAGAAUAAACAAAAGUCCUCCAUCUUUCUUGGACUUGGAAGUCACAACUAAUAGAAAGUCAAUGGUCACUAACAAUUAAUCUUUAACAUAGAAAAUAGGAUCAAUUUUUUUUGUUGUUGGCUCUUUUUGGUUUUUGAUUGACAUUAAAAUAUAUGGCUUUAUCAAACUUCAUUAAUUUGAAACUAAUUUAUUCUCUUGCAAUUAAAUUAAGCCACGUGUAAUAUAAAAUUUGAACGUGGAAAAUAGCUGUUAUCUUGGUAUUUUGUUUUCGUUAUUUCCUUUCGAUUCUACUUUGAUCACACCUCUUUAUGGUUGAGGCCUAUCGAAAACAAUUUCUCUAUCUAAAAAAAAAGAAAAAAUCUACGUAUAUCUUAUUUCUAUACCAAAAGGAUCCAGAAUUAAGUGGUUGGCAUUUUGGGUUUCUAUAAUUAGUGAGACAGAGAGACAAUAAUUCCUACUACCUUAACCACCAUCUCAUUACGUGUCUUCAAAGUAGAAAUAAAAAAUGACAAAAUAAUAUUCAUAUCACGUUAUUUAUAUUAUUUUUUAUAAUAAAGACAAAGGUUAGCUCGUUUGGCACAUGCUUUAGAAAAAAAAAACUUCUUAAUUUUAGCUUCUUUUUUUUUUUGCCUGAUUAUGACCUUUUUUUAAAAAAAAUCAUAAUAAUUUAUGGGUAAAAAACCUAAUUAUUUAUCUACUUUCAAUGUAAUUUUAUAGAAAAUUAUAUUUUGAAUUUACAUAGCUGAUCUUUAACUUGUUCGAAAUUGAAGUACAAUAAUUGUUAUAUCCAAUAUGUUUAAUUUGACAUCGAUUAUGUCAUAAAAGCAAUAUGUUUCUAGUUCUUAUUCAUCAAGAUUCAAGCUCGAGAUUUUUUUAUAUAUGACAUUAUCCGUGCAUGAGCUCGAGAUUUUUUUUGAUAUAUGAAAUUAUCCAUGCUUCAUGCACGAAUAUUUUAUGGUGUUAGAAUUAAACUAUUCAAUUUCAAAUUAUAUAAAAGAAAGAAAAAAACAAAAGAAUAUUGUUGACUGAUUUUUUUUCCUUUGUGAAUUCACAAGUAAUUUCCCACGGUUUACACAACUUGUUAGGUAAUAGUCAUAGUAAUUUAAUGAGUUUCUCGAGUUUUUUAUUUAUUUUUUAAAACAAUUUAAUUUUCAUAAUGAUAUGAAUUAUUUAUUAUGUUUAAAUAUGAUGCAUUUCAAAUUAAAUGAGAGGUCUUCGAACCUUGUUACAAACUAUAAAGUCCUAAAUAAAGACAACCGCAAGCUCUCAUUUCCAACUCAAGUCAAAGAUCGAUCAUUCUUCGAACCUUUUGAUAUGUAUUGCACCUCCCCAAUAUCAAACAGAUCCACUAGAGAAAAAAACUCAAUUUUGCACUACUACGAUCAAUCGUUGAAUUUAUCCAAGGAAUUCAUGGGAUUUUUGUGGAUUGUGUUGCUGAAAACUAUCUAACCGUUUAAUAUUCAUAAAAAAUCCAAUUUAUUUUCUGUUAUUAUUAUUAUUAUUUGAAGAGUUAUGAAGUAUUUUUGCCACUCUAGCUUUAAUUUUGCACAGAUAUUUUAAAGUAUUUUUCAGCUAUUGUUAUAUAUAUAUAUAUAGCUUCUAUUAUAUUUUUUUUUACGUUUGUUAUGUUUUACCUGAGAUGAGUAUUUAUAAAAAUAAUUCCUCAAUAGAAAUACGAUUGCGUACACGUUGUCUUUGUAAAUUUUCAAAAAAUGAAAAUAUCAAAGUAUCUGAAUUCAUGCAAAAAAUUAUGUAAAGUAUGUUUGACCCUCGAAUCCUAUAAUUUCUGAAAUAAACAUUAAUUGUAUCUUUUAACAUUUUGUUAUAAUUAACAUGUUAUCUUUGAACAUUUUGUUAUAAUUAACAUGUUAUCUUUGACCAAAAAAUAAAACAUGUUAUCAGCAUAGCUAAUACGUCCAAAAGUACACAUCUAAUUUCUAACUUUUCAACCCAAAUGAUAGAGAGAAAAAAAUAAAUCUACUAAUUAAAUAAACUUUUUAAACUUAUAAAUUUGUCAGUGGAAGCAGUUAGACUCAAUUGCAAAGUAAAAAUUCUAGGAUGGAAAAUAUAUAUAUAAAAAAGAAAAAUUAGAUAUAUUUCGUGUGGACUUUGUUAAAGAGAAAAUAAUAUAAUAGAUGACAGUUGAGAAAUAUAUAUAUAAUUUUAAAAAAAUAAUAUUUAAGAUCUUUUAUUAUAAUUUUGCUUUAGAUCAUUAAUUCUAUUAGCCAGUACUAAUAUUUUGUAUCUUUUAAAAGAGGAAGAGAAGACUGCCAUAUGGCUUCGGAAUGGAGCCCUACACGUUAUAAAUUUAAAUUAGUCGAAUUUCAGUACAAAUAUUCGGAAAAAAAAAGGUACCAUAUGAAGCACGUCAUUGUGAUAUAUAGGAAAUAGCACGUGUACAUUUGAAAGGAAAAUUAAGUAAAAAGAACAUGUAGUGAAGGAGAUUUGAUCCCUAAUAAUUUUCUUAACAUGAUGGCCUCCACUUUGUGUUGAAAUUAAUUUUGUGGUUCUUGACCUUUUUUGAAUUUUUAUUUUUCAUCGGUGUUUAAUAUUUAUAUUGAAGUUCGAUAAAUACUAUUUGUAUUGAAGUUUGAUAAUCAUAAUCUGUAUUGAAGUUUGAUUAAAUUUGAAUGUGUGUAUUGUAGAGUCUGACGACACUUUUAAUAAGUUUUUCUUUUUUAAGAAUUUGAACCCAAAAUCUAUGAUUAAAGAUGAAGGAUAAUGUUGAUGAGAAUGAUCUCAAGUCAGUUCGAAACGAAAACUCUAAACUUCUUAUAAGACUUGAACAAUCUUCAUCCCUUUACGCAUCAGGGCGAAAGGGGGGAUAUUAAUGAAAAUAAUUCACAUCGGACUAGGACGAAAAUUCUGAUUCUUUAUAAGACUUGAAAUUUCUCUCUAAGACAUUAUUGAUCUUAGGUGAGAAAUUUUAUCAAUUUAAAUUUUGAAAACACAUUUCCAAAUAUGCAACUUUAUCAUUAUUUUCUAAGUAAUUUAUGUAUUUGAAAAUAAUCAAUUGUCUUGUUAUGCGAUAGAGUAUAUUAAAAUAUUAUCUUCUCAUUUUUCAUAGUAAUACUUUUAAUUUGAGAAUAAGUCUAAUACUAUAUUAAUAUAUCUAGGCAACAUUAUGUUUUAAGAAAUUUUUAUUUUUAAGACAACAUUUUUUUUCAUGUUCCUAUUUAUACCAAAUAAUCUCAAAAUUUUACCACUAAUUGCUUUGAGUUGUUUGAAUCUAUUUUGAAGGGUUUUUAAUUAAAAAUUGUCAAUCUAUAUGUGUAUUUUUUUUUAGAUGAAGAUGUAUCAAAAAUAAUUUCUCUAUCUUAUAGAAAUAGAAAUAAAAUCUACAUAUAUCUUAUUAUGUUGAAAUUUCAUUUAUAGAAUUAUAUUGAGUAUUAUAAUGCUAUUAUUGUAAUAAUCUAUAUAUCUAUUUACGUUUAUUUAAUGAUUAAUUUCCGAUAGCAAUUUGUUGGAGAGAUUUACAUUCUACAUCCAAAAAAAGAGAGAGCAAAAGAAGGGAUAAUUACACAAAUUAUACAAUUUAGAAUUUAGAUAACUAUAUCAUCUCGAUCAUAUUCUAAAACAAUAAUAGCGAUAAAAAAAAUAAUGAUGAUAAUAAAGUAAACCGCAAAUGUCUUAAUUAGUCCUAAAUCUCAUAUUGUUUUUAAAAAAUAUAUAUUCAAGAAGUGAAUUUUAAUUUUAGAGAACUUCUUUUUUUCACUAAAAUAUAUAAAAUAUGCAAAUGUAUUAUUAUUUUAUAAACAAUAUAUGUAUUUAAAAAUAAUCAAUUGUCUUGUUAUCUGAUAGAGUAUAUUACAAUAUUAUCUUCUAUUUAUGUCAUUUUUCAUAGUAAUACUUUUAAGGGAUAAAUGUCUGAAAAAUACCCCAACUUUGGUCGAAUUUCCUGUUGCAAUACUAAACUUUCAUGAGGACCUAUUACCUCCCUAGACUAUUUAAUACCGUAUUUUAAACAUAUAUAUUUGCCCACGUGGACAUAAAAAAUAAUGCAAAAUUAUAAAUAGUAAUGUGUCCACGUGGGCACAUAUAUACCUUUAAAUACACUAUUAAAUAGUUCAGGGGGUAAAAAAUACGGUAUUAAAUAGUCUAGGGAGGUAAUAGGUCAUUAUGAAAGUUUAGUAUCGCAACAGCAAAUCCAACCAAAGUUGGGGUNNNNNNNNNNNNNNNNNNNNNNNNNNNNNNNNNNNNNNNNNNNNNNNNNNNNNNNNNNNNNNNNNNNNNNNNNNNNNNNNNNNNNNNNNNNNNNNNNNNNNNNNNNNNNNNNNNNNNNNNNNNNNNNAAUAAAGGUGUCCCCGUGGGCCCAUAUAUCCCUUUAAUACACUAUUAAAUAGUUCAGGGGGUAAAAACUACACUAUUAAAUAGUCUAGGGAGGUAAUAGGCCCUCAUGAAAGUUUAGUAUUGCAACAACAAAUUCGACCAAAGUUGGGGUAUUUUUUAGAUCCUUAUCCCUACUUUUAAUUUGGGAAUAAGUCUAAACUAUAUUAAUAUCUAGGUAACAUUAUGUUUUAAGAAAUUUUUAUUUUUAAGACGACAUUUUUUUUUUCAUGUUCCUAUUACCCAAUAAUCUCAAAAUUUUACCACUAAUUGCUUCGAGUUGUUUGAAUCUAUUUUGAAGGGGUUUUAAUAAAAAUAUUGUCAAUCUAUAUGUGAUUUUUUUAUUUUUUAGAUGAGGGCGUAUCAUAAAUAAUUUCUCUAUUCUAUAAAAAUAGGAACAAAAUCUACUUAUAUAUGAUUCUGUUCAAAUUUCACUUAUAAAAUUAUACUAAGUAUUAUGUUAUUGUUGUAAUAAUCUAUAUAUCUAUUUACGUUUACUUAAUGAUAAAUUUCCGAUAGCAAUUUGUUGGAGAGAUUUACAUUCUACAUCCAAAAAAAGAGAGCAAAAGAAGGGCUAAUUACACAAAUUAUACAAUUUCAAAUUUAGAUAACUAUAUCAUCUCGAUCAUAUUCUAAAAACAAUAUUAGCGAUUAAAAAUAAUAAGGAUGAUUAUAAAGUAAGCCACAAAUGUCUUAAUUAGUCCUAAAUCUCAUAUUGUCUUUUUUACCUAUCCAAGAAGUGAAUUUCAAUUUUAGAGAACUUUUUUCUUUCUAUAAAAUAUAUACAAGGAGAAGUCAUAAAAGAAAAGAAGACAUCUAUUGAUGAUUUUUGUUGUAUUUUUAUAUCAACUCUGAUUUGAAGCAUUUUCAUAAUUUUAUCUUUUUAUUCCAUCGUGGGUUUAUUGAGCUCCAUCGUUACACGAUGUAAUGACCCGGAAGGUCAUUUUUAGAAAUUUGGAUUAUUCGUUUAACUUGAGUUAAUUAAUUGAUGGGUAAUUAUAGAUAAUUGACGGUUAAUAUGCUAAAAUGAUCAUUUAUUUAAGACCCUAUGCCAUUUGACCCAUAUAUAUCAAAAUAAAAUAGUGAAUUUGUCACUUUUUAAUAAAUAAUUAAUUUAGUAAAGAAAGGGAAGCAGAAACUUACCUAGGCGGAUGAACAAAAGAGGAAAAUCAGCGGCCGUACUUCAUGUUUCAGAUAGGUACGCCUUUAAAUAAUGAAUUGAGUAUAUGCAUAAAGGUUACAUUUUGUUAAUUUAUUAUUACCAUAUGUUAGAGGUAACAGAUUAGUUUUAAUAUUUGCUUAAGAUCGUUAUUCUUAUUGGUGGGUGUGUCAUGUUGGUGGGUUUAUGUAUGCAAGACCUUGGUGAUGUGGAAUAUAAUAUUAAAGGCAAAGGUGUUCAAUGGGUAUAGAAUGAGGAAGUGAUAUGGGUGUUGUUAGUUUCGAAAUCUUAUUGUGAUUAUUAAUGUGAAUAGGUUGCUUUGAGUUGGAAGUACAACGAAAAGGAAAGGCUCAAGUCCCGGAGUGACUGCUCGAUUAUUUGAGACUUGUGUUUUUCUUUUGAAUCAAUUGUAAUAUUGUAGAGGCUUGUACACGUGACAACCAAAUUUUGGGGGUAUUUUUGAGUUGAUUAUAAAAUUUCCGCAUUUUAUUGUAAUGAUUGAGUUUUAGGCUGACUUGUCUUGGUGGGAUAAGACGAGUGCCAUCACGUCCAUUUUUGGGUCGUGACACAUGACUUCAAAGAAUAUAUUUCUUUAAUUUCGUUAAUUUAUUAUGUUACCUUUUAUUUAUUUUUUCUUAAUGUCUGAUUUCUCUUGUGUCUUGUCUACUUUAUUGAUAUGUAGAGGUGACAAAUGAACGAGUUAAGUUGAAAUUGAAAAUACUAAAAUUCUGAAUAAAUUGAACAUAUAUUUUAUUUAUAUUUCGCUAUUUAUAUUGCGUGUUGAACUACUCCUUAAGUAAUAAUAUGAUCUUUAUAAGUGAUAUUUGUCACUUUGACUCAUCAUACUAUUGUCUCAUUGACCAAACAAAACAAUGCCAUGAUAUAUCCAAAGGGAAAAGGGUCAUAUUUGUCACUUCACUUUUGAAAAAAAGUUUUGAAUAUUAUCUUCUUUGUUAUAUUAUUGGUCUAUAUAUAUAUAUAUUUUAUGUCUAUACUAUCGGUCCAUAUGUGUUCUUAACGCUAUGUUCGUGGUGAUAGUACAUAUGGUGAAGGUAUUGGUGACUUUGGAUAUUGAAAAAAAGAAGAAGUUGAUAUAACAUUUUGAUUAUAAUUGAUGGAUUAACAGAUCAAGAAGGACAAAUUUAAGUCAUUUUUAUAAUAUCAUGAAUAUAUAUGAACUGAUGAUACAAUAUUAAAGACAUAUAUAAAUCACCAGUAUAACAAAAAACAAUAUUAAACCUUUUUCGAUAGCAAAGGGACAAAUUAUUCUUACAUUGACCAAAUUAAAUGAAUUCAAUUUUCUCCAUUUACUAGUCGUAUGUACUAUAUACUAUAAUAAUGUAUUAUUUGCUAAAUUAUCUUGAAGUAUAUUAAACGUGGAAAGAGGAGGAGAAUUUUGUGUAGGACAUUGGGCUAAGACCAAACAUUCCUGACUAUAUAGUUAUUACUUAUCACCAUCAAUUAGCUCAAUUUUACCUAAGUUGUGUACCUAAUUAAUGCUGUAUAGAGAGACUAAUAAAUAUUCCAUCAUCAUUAUACUUGAAGAAUACUACUUCCUCCGUCCCAUUGUAUAUGAGUUAAUUUGAUUUAACACGAAGUUUAAGAAAGAAUGAUUUUUUUAAAAAUUUGUGGUCUAAAAUAAGUGAUACAUGCUUGUGUGGCUAUAAAUUAUUUUAUUAAGAGUAAAAUAUACAUUUUAAAGUUAAAUUAUUACUUAAUAUAGAAAUACGUGAUUGUCCAAAAAAAAGUACAAAUAGCAGCCCUCGACCCCCCUAGGGUAUGGCCUACUGGCCCGCAGAUGCAGGAAGGCUGCCUGCCUGCUAACCAAACUGCGUAACCAAAGCGACUCCUUGUUGGUGGUUGAUAGGUGUUGGUAGUAGCUUUUUCCUUCAUUUUCAACUAUCGUUUUAGCUCAAAAUUUAUUAAUUACAAAAAUAAUUUUCGAAUUCAAAGUUAAAAAUUGAUAAUUAUUUUUAAUUAUACCUUUAAUAUUAAGAGCUAUGCAUAUCAUUUAAUAGAAAAAAUCAAUCGAUCUUUAUUAAAUAUAGUUAACUUAAUAAAAUAUAUCUUAUAUUUAUGAUUUUCGUAGUUAGCGUGAAAAAAUUAAAACAAUAAUUAAAAUGAGACGGAGAAAGUACUAGCUAGUUCAUUGGGUUUCUAGAGCUUUCUUUCAUGUCAAAUACUUGUGCAAUUGUCUUAAGUUCUACUCAUUAUUGUACUUGACCUCAAAUACAAGUAGGGUAAUAAAAUUAUAAAUGGUUCGGAUUAUGACUUGAUUUUUAAUUCAUUUUUGUCCAAUCUAACUUAAAUAACUCAUCUAUUUAUAAAUUUAUUUCAUUUUAAUAUUCUCAAAUUCAGUUUAACCCUUUUACUCAAUAUUCCUAAAUACAAGUAUAAUAUAUGAAAGAAUUGAUUACAAUUAAUAAUGAAUCCAAUAUAAAAGUAAGUAUUUUUUUUUUAUGAUUACUAUUGACUUAUAACGAUCAAAUUAAGGCUUUUAUCGAUCAUAUUUGCCCUAACUCACUAUAGUCCUUUUUUCUUGUACUUGUGUACACAUUUUCUCUUAUUUUUUCCAAAAGGAAAAAAAAAUAAAAAAUAGAGUCCAAGUUGUCAACUUGGCUGUGUUAAUUAGCAGAGGAUGUAUAACAUAUACUCCUUCCGUCCCAUUUUAUGUGACAACAUUUGAUUGGGUACGAAGUUUAAGAAAUAAAUAAAGACUUUGAAAUGUUACCAAAUUGCCCUUUAAAAAGUAUACUCUUUUUUCUCUCUCCUCAUAAAUGUAUUGGAGUAUUAUUUUAAGAUUAAGUGGGACCAACAAGGAUAAAAGAGGAAUUGUACCUUUAUAAACUUACCAUAUAAGGAAAUGUGACAUUCUUUUUGGGAUUGACCAAAAAGGAAAUGGUGCCACAUAAAAUGGGACGGAGGGAGUACAUAUAAUUCCAUUUUAGUCGUUUGAAAUCAGUAGCGGAAUCACAUUUUUUAUUAAGGAAUCUAAAAUACAAAGUAGUAUCCACGUAAAGAAGUCAAAAGGAUUCAAUAUCUACUAUAUAUAUGUAAAAAAUAAUUUUAAUUAUUUAUAAAUAGUAUAAUUUUUUAUCGAAAGGGGUUUCAUCCUAUAUGAAAUAAUUUAAUAAAAAAUAAGUCAUGAAAAAAGAAAAGAAAAAAAAAGGUCCACACGGCUUUGAAUUUAAUUUUAAGCCAGUUUCCCAUUGAGACCUCCGGCUUAUAUAUUCUUUAGCGACCGAUUAUCAGAAAAUAUUAUUAAUUUUGAACAAUUUAAGAAUUUAACGAUGAAUUUGAUAGCUAAAUUUAAUUUUUUUUAAAUAGCAAAUUAAGUGUUAGCUUAGAGUCAUGUUAAUUUAUAGUAUCUUUUUCUUCUUUGAAAUUUUAAUGAUUUCAUAUUGUAUACGUUGACAAUAUAGAUUUAUUUUAUAUUAACAAAUUAAGUUAAUUUAUAAUAAUAAAUUAAGGGUGCAACAAUUAUAUGGAGUGUCAAAAAAAGAGAUAGAUAUCUUCAUAUGCUUUUUGAAUAUUUUUGAAUCAUGAUUAUAUAAAUUUUAAAUUAAAAAACUUAAAAAGUCUAUGUUCGAAGUCACACUAAAAAAAUUGAUGGUUCAACUUUGGUAUAUCGUUUUACAUAAAAAGUGAGAUGGAGGGAAUAUUAUUUAAUGGUUCAUGUGAAACAUCUCUACUACUCAAAAUUAAAAUUAAUUUAAAAUCAUGAAACACAUUUCUUCUUCUUUUUUUUUUAUAAAAAAAUAAAACAAAAUUGUUAUGGUGGUGAAAUGUGUAAUCAAAUAGUUUUAAAACAUGAGUACUUUAGUAUAAGAAAUAUUAGUUGUGAAACAUACUUUUUUUCUUUUAAAGCAAAGACAUGGUCAUGUAAUGUGUAUUCAAACUUGGUCCUAAAAUAAAACUACCUUAUAAGAAUAUUUGACUAAAAUAUUGGUUAAGUAGAAGUUUCUUUGUGGGAAUUGAAGGAUAAUUUUAUUUUCCAUUGCCAUUUUUUUCCUUUUUUAAGUCUAGUCAUUCCCUAAGAAUAUUGAUUUUGAGUCUAUUGAUAAGAUUGAGAAUGAUAGCCUAAGUUGAAUACAAUAUAGUCAAUACUCAAUAACUAACCCUUCAUUUCUAGCUUGCAAGUAGUAGUACUAGUUAGUGUCACAUUCAUACCAACAAAAUAAAGAAAAUAAAUGUGGGGGGUGUGGGGGGGGGGGGGUAGGNNNNNNNNNNNNNNNNNNNNNNNNNNNNNNNNNNNNNNNNNNNNNNNNGGUCAUUUUGCAUUGUUCUGAGAAUCCCCACCAAAGAAAGACUUGCCAAAUUCUAAAUGACCCCACCCUAAUCAAUUUUAUGAAAUUAAAUAAUGAUGUGAGCAAGAUUCGUCAUAUAUCUCCAUAUCAGAGUUUUAAUCAAGUGAAAUGAUAAUUAUGAGAGAUCAGAGUUUAAAUUCGAGGUAUGCAUGCAAAACAAAGAUGGUUUCUUCAUAGAACUAACAGAUAUUUAGUGAAAUAAUUGAAGUACAAUGCAAGUUAAUUCAGAUGCUAUCGACAUAAAAAUAGUGAUAUAUUAUGGGAGUGGGAAUUUUAGGACUAGAGCUUCAAAGAAGGGCAAAGAAAUAGAAGAAGUCAAUUUUAGUCUCUCAAAAGUCUUGAUAUGCUAGUUGAGUUAGGUUUGGCUUGACCAAAUACACAAUAUUUACGCAUUCAAAAUAAUUAACUCCUGUUAAUUUUCAAUUUUUUAAAAUUUAAAAGUUGAUUUUUAAGUUAACCUAGCUAGUUGUACACAUAUGAUUAGGGGUUAUGAUAUAUAGUAGGUAGUUACAGUACUAAUUAGCUACCAACAUGAUUCAAUUAUGACUGUUUGGUACAAAAUUAUGAUUAUGAAAUUACAAAAUGAUUUUCUAGAACUAAUAACUCCUACUCAAAUAGUUGAAAAAACAUCAAGUCUUGAAAAAGUUAAAACAAUAGAACCUCUACAAAUUAUAUUGAAUUAUCAACUACUGUGUUUUAAUCUCAAAUUAUAUUGUUCUAUUAUGUGAUACUUGAAGCGAGAGUCUUUGGAAAAUAGGCUCUCUACUACCUCACGAGGUAGGAGGUAAGAUUUGCAUACACUUUGUCCUCCUCAAACUUCAAUUUGAGAUCGACUAUACUUUGUGACCCUCACAUGGGCGGAGUUAAUUGUGUGUUGAUGAAUAUGCAUGUUACCUUUCUCGAAAAAAAAAGUCACAUCGAUCAUUAGCCAUAUCAUCACCUUUCAAAGCAAUUACCUACUUAUAUACAAGGACCCAAAUAACAUUAAACCCAAAAGCAACAUUAAUAUCAAACUUACAUAUUAUAGACUGAUAGUCUGAUACUUACUAAUAAAUAAAAAGAGAUUUUAAAAUGUCAUAUAUAGUAUUAAGGAAAGACUACGUAAUUAGACAUACUUUACUAUUAUAUAUAUUAUUAUUAUUAUACUUUCAAUAGUAUUACUUAUCUUACCAUUAAUUAAGAAUUUCCUACUAGAUAUUGAGGAAAAUAAACUUGAAUAUACAUUUUUUUACUGCCACAUAGACUAAAAUAGGGAGAGAGGCAAGCGAGAUUCGUCAUGUAUCCCCAGAUACAUGCAGAUCACACUAAAUAUACACUAGAUACAUAUAUAUGUAUGCAUAUGGUGUUAUUCACAUGUAUCUAGGAUAACAAAUACAUUGGAGAGUGGCGAUCCAAAUGGGAGAGAGGUGAUGGAGGCAAGCGAGAUUUGUUAUAUCUCAAAUACAUGCGAAUCCACUUAAAUACAAAUAUACAAUUACAUUUAAUUUGAUCCCAUGUAUACCGAGAUACAUGUAUCUGAACGUAUCUAAACAUAUCUAGAUGCACCAAAAUCCAUGUAUACUGCGAUACAUGUAUUUGGACGUAUCUAAACAUAUCUGGAUGCACCAAAAUCUGGUAAAAUACGUAAUAUUACAAACUGGAGUAUCUUGGUGAUUAGCUCCUAAAUUAGUAGGAUUUAUAUAUAUAAAAAAAAAAUUGCAGUAUGGAAGGUGAAUGAUGUCUAUCGUAUAUUCAUAAUUUCUCAACUUGUUAUCUAGAUAGUAUACAUAAACUUUCUACGUAUUAAAAUAUUUAAUUUUAAUUAGUUUUAAAAGAAAUACUAUGUGGUUUAAAUAGUUUAAUUCUUUGUAGGUACAAUACAACUAGUUUCAAGUAUAAUUUGUUUUCUUCAGUAACAUAAGAAGUUAGAGGAAGAUGACUUCUUGCCUAUUUCUUUAAUCAACAACCGCCAAAUAAGAUCUAAACAUCAAAUGAUAUUAUGGUGUGUAACAAUAACAAUCAUUCGCUAUAGCAGCCAAAAAUAUGUCCGUCAUUAUAAAGAGAUCCAACUUUGUCUUUCGUAAUUACACUUAUAAAUCUCAAUCCUGAACACUCUCAAGGACAACAUAGCAAUAUUUGCUACUUCGCCUUAACUAAGAUCUUAUGCAUAACUUGAAAUAACAUCACUUCCAAAACAAGAAACUGAUGUUUUAACCAUUGUGCUAAAAAUCGAAAUACUGACAAAAGUGAUGUUUUAGCUAUUGUGAUAAAGAUCCAAAUACUAUGCACACCCGGCUGACAUAUCUACCAACGUAAAUGGUAAAAUAUUUGUAGUACAUUAGCAUUACUUUGUGCUAUCAACCUUCUAGAGCAAAUUAUCAAUUCUAACCUACACUCGGUUUCUUUUACAAUGACUCAGAGCAAGUGUAAAGAUUACAUUAGUUGCAACAUAUCACCUUUUUGUCAUCUAAAAUUAGAAUGAAAAUUCUUCGCUCCACACGGUCGCAAUAGAUGAUCCACACUGUUCAACAGUACUAAGAAAAACAAGAAGAAUUAACAAACAAGGAUAAGGAAGGUAAACAGAAAAACGGAAAUAGGAAACAAACUUUGUGUCUUGUAUACCUCUGAAUUCUAUUAGAGCUAUGCAUUUACGAGUGAGCAUGUUCAUUACUCUAAACCUCCAUUCUCCUUAGUCCUUUGAUCAACUAACUCACUGAAAAACGGAAAGAACAAGAAUACAUGAAAUGCUAUCAACUUUCCGAAGCAAAUAAUUUCAACUCCUACUUAUACCAGCUUUCGCUCUAUCACCUUUUUUGCUGUCAUCUAAAAGUAAAUUCAUCCCGAUCCAAAGAUGAUUCCUCAGCUUCACAGUGGCAAUAGACGCUUUGUGCUGCUCAAGGAUUUAACAAAGGAAAAGAAUUAACAAGCAAGUAAAGGGAAGUAAACAGAAAAAUAAAUGAAAAAAAAAAGAAUUCUAACUUACAAUUUGUCAGAGCACCAUUUUUUUUAAUCAUUACUGGUAUUCUCCAUCAAUAUAUAUGGUGGGAAUAUGAGCAAUUUUUGGCCAGUAAUCCCCCUUGUUAAAUUCUAGGAGUGGUUUGAGCAAUGGGCAAUUGCAAAUAUUUAGUUUAGAGAUGGAAGUGGGCAUCCCCGAUUCGGGAAGAGAUUGGAGAUUAGGGCAAUCCUCAAUCUUUAGAUGUCGAAUAUGUCAUGCAGCACCCUCUUGCUAAGAUGGCACCAACACAGCUGGAUAUUAUGGGAAGCAAUGUCCUCAAUUGCUCCAAUCUGUUGAGGGUUUUCAGUUUACCAAAAUCACCAUCACCCAUUGAAUAUGACAAGUGUCGAGUUUGUUCCAACAUAUGAGAUCCUUGGUUCUCUUCCAACCUGUUACACAGAUUUGAAGAUGCAAUUUGGGCCAAAUCAUUGACAAGGUCAUGCAUUAAGAAUUCCUCCGGAUUCCAUUCAGAAGACUCUCGGACCUUUUCAAACAAUGAUCUCGAUCUCAACUCGAGAAAGUAUUGGUUAGCUGAAUGCAACUUCUGUACAAGACCAUUAGCAAUCCACAGGUGAAUAACUUGUUCUUUGCUAAACAGAUGAUCUUUUUGGAUAUAUUGCACAAAAAAGCAAAAACAUUGCUUCAAAUGUGGACGAAGAUCAUUGUAGCUCAACAUCAGUGCUGGUAAGAUUCCAUUUGAAUGACGUGGCAGCUCCCAUAUUUCACUUCUUAAAAUGUCUCUCCACUCAUUCACCUCGAAUUUGGAGCGUAAAAUGCCAGCAAGUGUCUUUAGAGCUAAUGGCAAUCCUUUGCACUUGUUUGCAAUUUGUUUUCCAACCUCUUGAAAUUCUGAAUAUUCCUCAGGAUCCCUAUUUUCAAAUGAAUGCCGUUUGAAUAAAGCCCAAGAGACUUCACUAGAUAGAGUCCCCACAUUGAUUGCCCCACUACCCAUCAUCAAGGCAACACUCUCCUUACGUGUCAUCACAAUGAUCUUACUUCCUACAUCUCCUUGUACAAAAAGAUUUCUCAAGUCAUCCCACUCUUAUAGUUUUCAUUCCACACAUCAUCUAGGACAAUAAGAAACUUUUUUCCCUUUAAGCCUUCCUUCAAUUUGACUUGAAGUUGAUUCAGAUUAUUAUCAACCUUUAAACCAAUUUCUUGAAGUAACUCCUUAAUUAAUCUGACGGCAUCAUAUGGUUCAGACACACAGAUCCAAGCUUUCAAACCAAAAUGUUUUUUUACCUUCUCAUCAUUGUAAACAGAUUUAGCAAGUGUUGUCUUACCCACACCCCCCAUUCCAACAACAGGAACUACAGUCAGAUUUUUUCCAUUUCCAUCCUCAGACAACAAACGGUCAAUCAAUUCCUCUAUUUCAUUCUGCCUGCCAAAGUUUUCAGACUCAACAACCACAGAAGUUGAAAAUUCCCUUGCUUCUUGUUUACUCGAAUCAAGAUAUUUUGUUAGAUCAAGAAAACCAAUUUGCUUUUGCAACUCCUCCAAUGUUUCAAUGUUUUCUUCCACCUUAUCCUUUAUGUUAAGAAAAAUUCAUCACUCAAGGACAAGCUGAGGUGACUUAUCUGUGGGUUGCUUGUUUCUCCAAGAUUUUGAUGCUGACUUUCCACCUUUAGUCUCAAAACCUCAUAAUUGACUUGUUUAAUUAAGUUUUCAGCGCCAUCCACAGCUUCUUGAAGCUCAUUAAGCCACUGGCUCUCAUAUGGAUUUGAUGCUUUCUUAUUCUCUGCAUCACUUAGCACAGCCUGAAGGCCAAGCAAAGUCAUCCUCAGCUUCUUUAAGAGCCGAACAUCACACUUGUCCCUCUGAAACAUCUUCAGCAGGUCGCCCUGAGGAGCAAACCUAUCGAAUAGGACUUGCAGGACUGAAGAGAGAAAUGCACCGCCAACUGCUAAGCCAAUAUCCAUUUCUGAAAGCUGCAGUACAAAGUAGACGGAGGGUAUCCACAUAUAUAUAUAUAUAUAUAUAUAUAUAAAAUUCCAUCUUUAGUCUUUUGAAAUCAGUAACAGAAUCAAAUUUUUUUAUCAAAGAAUCUAAAAUACAAAGUAGUAUUCACAUAAAGAAGUCAAAAAGAAUUCAACAUCUACUACAUAUAUGUAAAAAAUAAUUUUAAUUAUUUAUAAAUUGUAUAAUUUUUUAUCGAAAGGGGUUUCUUUCAUUCUAUCUGACUCCGACCCUAUAUGAAAUAAUUUAAUUAAAAAAAGUGAUGAAAAAAGAAAAGAAAAAAAAAGGUUCACACGGCUUUGAAUUUAAUUUUAAGCCAGUUUCCUAUUGAGACCUCCGGCUUAUAUAGUCUUUAGCGAUGGAUUAUCAAAAAAUAUUAUUAAUUUCGAACAUUUUAAAGAUGAAGUUGAUAGCUAUAUUUAAUUUUUUUUAAAUAGCAAAUUAAGUGUUAGCUUAGGGUCAUGUUAAUUUGUAGUAUCUUUUUCUUCUUUGAAAUUUUAAUGAUUUCAUAUUGUGUACGUUGACAGUAUGAAUUUAUUUUGUAUUAACAAAUUAAGCUAAAUUAUAAUAAUAAAUUAAGAUGCAAUAGUUAUAUGGAGUGUCAAAAAAAGAGAUAGAUAUCUUCAUAUGCUUUUUGAAUAUUUUUCAAUAUGAUUGUAUAAAUUUUACAUCAAAAAACUAAAAAAAUCUAUGUUUGAAGUAACACUAAAAAAAUUGACAGUUCAACUUUCAUAUAUCGUUUUACAUAAAAAAAAAUGUGAUGGAAAGAAUAUUAUUUAAUGGUUCAUGUGAAACAUCUCUACUACUCAAAAUUAAAAUUAAUUUGAAAUCAUGAGACACAAUUCUUUAUAUAUAUAUAUAUAUAAAUAAAAUAAAAUUGGCAUGGUGGUGAAAUGUGUAACCAAAUAGUCCUAAAACAUGAGUACUUUAUUAGUAUAAGAAGUAUUAGUUGUGAAACAUACUUUUUUUCUUUUAAAGCAAAGACAUGGUCAUGUAAUGUGUAUUCAAACUUGGUCCUAAAAUAAAAUUACCUUAUAAGAAUAUUUGACUAAAAUAUUGGUUCUAGAAGUUUCUUUGUGGGAAUUGAAGGAUAAUUUUAUUUUCCAUUGCCAUUUUUUUUUCUUUUUUAAGUCUAGUCAUUCCCAAAGAAUAUUGAUUUUGAGUCUAUUGAUAAGAUUGAGAAUGAUAGCCUAAGUUGAAUACAAUAUAGUCAAUACUCAAUAACUAACCCUUCAUUUCUAGCUUGCAACUAGUAGUACUAGUUAGUGUCACAUUCAUACCAACAAAAUAAAGAAAAUAAAUGUGGGGGGUGUGGGGGGGGGGGGGUAGGNNNNNNNNNNNNNNNNNNNNNNNNNNNNNNNNNNNNNNNNNNNNNNNNNNNNNNNNNNNNNNNNNNNNNNNNNNNNNNNNNNNNNNNNNNNNNNNNNNNNNNNNNNNNNNNNNNNNNNNNNNNNNNNNNNNNCCCUAUCCGGACGCAAAAUUUCACUGUGACGUGGCGGGACGUGACAUUCUCCCCCACCUAUUGAUGCGACGACCGCGUCGCAUUACUGCUACAUUGUCAUCCGAGCCUUGGGCAUGCGCGACCAAUAGUCCAUUGACUCGAUCAAGGCCCUUGCGCAACGCCUUCAUUGUCUUCCAUAUCGUUUCUAGCUCGGACUUAGGACCGUCCUCCUUCUUAGGAGGCAAGCGCCUCGGUGGCUUCUUUGGCAUUACGGCAUUGUUCCCUUUUGGAACCUUCUUCAUGCGUGGCGGCAGGGACCCUUUUGCACCAUUGUCUUUCUUCGAACUUGCAAUGGUGGCUCUAGACGCUGGCUCCUUCUUCUUAGGUCUUCUCUCGAGCUGCAUGGCCGUUAGGCGGACUUGUCCUUCCGUCUUCGGCACCUGGACCAUGUGCACCAUACAUGAUCUUCCUUGCUCCAUGACUAGAAGUCGUUGGAGGUGAGGGUCGAUCGCCGCGUGGCACUGCUGGAAGAACUCCUGCCCAAGAAUUAUGUCAAAAAGAUCUACAGGAGCAACAGUGAAGUUGGUCUUACCUUGCCACUCGCCCAGCGUGAUGCUUACUCCAUGCGCAACUCCAUUCACAGGAGUCGGGGGUGCAUUGACUGUCCUGAGUUGGGCGCUGCUUGGACUGUAACUCAGCCCUAACCUCGUUGCUGCCUUCUUGGUCAUGAGAUUGACCUCUGCACCCGUGUCGACCAAAGCACAAGCGGGCUUUCCAUUGAUCUUAAGGUCGACAUAUUGCACGCCGCAUCCUUUUAGCUUCUCUGGCUGCUUGGUGAUUGCUCCGCAUAGCCCUAUCAAGCCCAACUGCGUCGUCCCUUCGCCUUGUUCUUGCUCCUGGGCGCCUUUCUCCUUCCGCUCUCGCAGGAUGGCACCAAGGCUCUUCAGUUCAGGGCACUUUGCNNNNNNNNNNNNNNNNNNNNNNNNNNNNNNNNNNNNNNNNNNNNNNNNNNNNNNNNNNNNNNNNNNNNNNNNNNNNNNNNNNNNNNNNNNNNNNNNNNNNNNNNNNNNNNNNNNNNNNNNNNNNNNNNNNNNNNNNNNNNNNNNNNNNNNNNNNNNNNNNNNNNNNNNNNNNNNNNNNNNNNNNNNNNNNNNNNNNNNNNNNNNNNNNNNNNNNNNNNNNNNNNNNNNNNNNNNNNNNNNNNNNNNNNNNNNNNNNNNNNNNNNNNNNNNNNNNNNNNNNNNNNNNNNNNNNNNNNNNNNNNNNNNNNNNNNNNNNNNNNNNNNNNNNNNNNNNNNNNNNNNNNNNNNNNNNNNNNNNNNNNNNNNNNNNNNNNNNNNNNNNNNNNNNNNNNNNNNNNNNNNNNNNNNNNNNNNNNNNNNNNNNNNNNNNNNNNNNNNNNNNNNNNNNNNNNNNNNNNNNNNNNNNNNNNNNNNNNNNNNNNNNNNNNNNNNNNNNNNNNNNNNNNNNNNNNNNNNNNNNNNNNNNNNNNNNNNNNNNNNNNNNNNNNNNNNNNNNNNNNNNNNNNNNNNNNNNNNNNNNNNNNNNNNNNNNNNNNNNNNNNNNNNNNNNNNNNNNNNNNNNNNNNNNNNNNNNNNNNNNNNNNNNNNNNNNNNNNNNNNNNNNNNNNNNNNNNNNNNNNNNNNNNNNNNNNNNNNNNNNNNNNNNNNNNNNNNNNNNNNNNNNNNNNNNNNNNNNNNNAGUUCCCUAAACUUGCGCUUCGCCUCAUAGAUGACGUUGUUGGGGAAGAAGGCUUUCUUGAACUCUUCUCGGAAUUUCUCCCAGGUGUUGAUAGUGCACGACCCCUUCCCUAUCUCGGCCUCCUUACGCCUCCACCAUAGCAUGGCCAUCUCCGAAAGAUACAACACAGCGGUGUUGANNNNNNNNNNNNNNNNNNNNNNNNNNNNNNNNNNNNNNNNNNNNNNNNNNNNNNNNNNNNNNNNNNNNNNNNNNNNNNNNNNNNNNNNNNNNNNNNNNNNNNNNNNNNNNNNNNNNNNNNNNNNNNNNNNNNNNNNNNNNNNNNNNNNNNNNNNNNNNNNNNNNNNNNNNNNNNNNNNNNNNNNNNNNNNNNNNNNNNNNNNNNNNNNNNNNNNNNNNNNNNNNNNNNNNNNNNNNNNNNNNNNNNNNNNNNNNNNNNNNNNNNNNNNNNNNNNNNNNNNNNNNNNNNNNNNNNNNNNNNNNNNNNNNNNNNNNNNNNNNNNNNNNNNNNNNNNNNNNNNNNNNNNNNNNNNNNNNNNNNNNNNNNNNNNNNNNNNNNNNNNNNNNNNNNNNNNNNNNNNNNNNNNNNNNNNNNNNNNNNNNNNNNNNNNNNNNNNNNNNNNNNNNNNNNNNNNNNNNNNNNNNNNNNNNNNNNNNNNNNNNNNNNNNNNNNNNNNNNNNNNNNNNNNNNNNNNNNNNNNNNNNNNNNNNNNNNNNNNNNNNNNNNNNNNNNNNNNNNNNNNNNNNNNNNNNNNNNNNNNNNNNNNNNNNNNNNNNNNNNNNNNNNNNNNNNNNNNNNNNNNNNNNNNNNNNNNNNNNNNNNNNNNNNNNNNNNNNNNNNNNNNNNNNNNNNNNNNNNNNNNNNNNNNNNNNNNNNNNNNNNNNNNNUCUUCCGGAAACCUCUCCACAACUCUAGACCCUUCCGCCCCUAUCCGGACGUAAAAUUCUACUGCGAAGUGGCGGGACGUGACACUAAGUUGAAUACAAUAUAUUCAAUACUCAAUAACUAACCCUUCAUUUCUAGCUUGCAACUAGUAGUACUAGUUAGUGUCACAUUCAUACCAACAAAAUAAAGAAAAUAAAUGUGGGGGGUGUGGGGGGGGGGGGGUAGGNNNNNNNNNNNNNNNNNNNNNNNNNNNNNNNNNNNNNNNNNNNNNNNNNNNNNNNNNNNNNNNNNNNNNNNNNNNNNNNNNNNNNNNNNNNNNNNNNNNNNNNNNNNNNNNNNNNNNNNNNNNNNNNNNNNNNNNNNNNNNNNNNNNNNNNNNNNNNNNNNNNNNNNNNNNNNNNNNNNNNNNNNNNNNNNNNNNNNNNNNNNNNNNNNNNNNNNNNNNNNNNNNNNNNNNNNNNNNNNNNNNNNNNNNNNNNNNNNNNNNNNNNNNNNNNNNNNNNNNNNNNNNNNNNNNNNNNNNNNNNNNNNNNNNNNNNNNNNNNNNNNNNNNNNNNNNNNNNNNNNNNNNNNNNNNNNNNNNNNNNNNNNNNNNNNNNNNNNNNNNNNNNNNNNNNNNNNNNNNNNNNNNNNNNNNNNNNNNNNNNNNNNNNNNNNNNNNNNNNNNNNNNNNNNNNNNNNNNNNNNNNNNNNNNNNNNNNNNNNNNNNNNNNNNNNNNNNNNNNNNNNNNNNNNNNNNNNNNNNNNNNNNNNNNNNNNNNNNNNNNNNNNNNNNNNNNNNNNNNNNNNNNNNNNNNNNNNNNNNNNNNNNNNNNNNNNNNNNNNNNNNNNNNNNNGCUAUCGACAUAAAAAUAGUGAUAUAUUAUGGGAGUGGGAAUUUUAGGACUAGAGCUUCAAAGAAGGGCAAAGAAAUAGAAGAAGUCAAUUUUAGUCUCUCAAAAGUCUUGAUAUGCUAGUUGAGUUAGGUUUGGCUUGACCAAAUACACAAUAUUUACCCAUACAAAAUAAUUAACUCCUGUUAAUUUUCAAUUUUUUAAAAUUUAAAAGUUGAUUUUUAAGUUAACCUAGCUAGUUGUACACAUAUGAUUAGGGGUUAUGAUAUAUAGUAGGUAGUUACAGUACUAAUUAGUUACCAACAUGAUUCAAUUAUGACUGUUUGGUACAAAAUUAUGAUUAUGAAAUUACAAAAUGAUUUUCUAGAACUAAUAACUCCUACUCAAAUAGUUGAAAAAACAUCAAGACUUGAAAAAGUUAAAACAAUAGAACCUAUACAAAUUAUAUUGAAUUAUCAACUACUGUGUUUUAAUCUCAAAUUAUAUUGUUCUGUUAUGUGAAACUUGAAGCGAGAGUCUUUCGGAAAUAGGCUCUCUACUACCUCACUAGAUAGGAGGUAAGAUUUGCAUACACUUUAUCCUCCUCAAACUUCAAUUUGAGAUCGACUAUACUUUGUGACCCUCACAUGGGCGGAGUUAAUUGUGUGUUGAUGAAUAUACAUGUUACCUUUCUUGGAAAAAAAGAAGUCACAUCGAUCAUUAGCCAUAUCAUCACCUUUCAAAGCAAUUACCUACUUAUAUACAAAGACCCAAGUAACAAUAAACCCUAAAGCAACAUUAAUAUCAAACUUACAUAUUAUAGACUGAUAGUCUGAUACUUACUAAUAAAUAAAAAAAUAUUUUAAAAUGUCAUAUAGUAUUAAGGAAAAACUACAUAAUUAGACAUACUUUACUAUCAUAUAUUAUUAUUAUUAUUAUUAUUUAUACUUUUAAAAUAUUACGUAUUUUACCAUUAAUUAAGAAUUUCCUACCAGAUAUUGUCACGACCCGAUUUCUCAAGUCAUGAUGGCACCUACUAUAACCCACCAGUAGGUAAGCCAACCCGUAACCCGGAACAACAAGUAAUGGGUCUGAGGGUAGAAACUAAACAAGAAUAGGCAAAUAACAAUAUAAACAGGCGGAAGCAAACCAAAAAUAUAUAUACAAAUAAAGAUCCCUUCCAGAACCUGGAAGUCACUAGUACAGAGCUGCUAACAAAAUGAGUACAAGUCCCAAAAAUGGACAACAGAGACUGGACUGUCUCGAAAGGUAAAAGACAAGUCUAUAUAUACAGAUGGAGACUGAAAUAGUACAAAACGUCGUGUGCUCACUCCCGUCUCCGAAUCAGUCUGCUCCAAGCUCGAUCAACGCUGGCUACUAGUGCCCGGACUUGCAUCACGAAAUAGAUGCAGAGCGUAGCAUGAGUACCAAAACAACAGGUACCCAGUAGGCAUCAUAGGCCGACUGAACUUGAAAAGUAAAGACAAUAUGAAAAGAAGGAAUAACACAAACCGAGGGUCAAGAACUAAAAUCUAACUAACAAUGGAAUGCACACGAGUGUAGAAAGAACUUACUAAAGUAAUCUAUAAGCUAACUAUACCUAACUGGGCCCCCAUAAGCCCAGAAGGUACACUCGUGCGCAAGUUAAAUAAAAACCCGAACGGACCCCCAUAAGCCCGACGAGUACACAGAAUAACUAUAACUAAAGAGAAUUGCAUAAAAGAACCCAAGAACGAAGAACACGAAUCAGAACCUCAACCCUAAUGAGUAAAAUCUGACAGUACGGAGGCCGGACUUCGAACCGGAUGCUCACCAGAAGUACCCAAGUAACCAAUCACAAGUAACAAGUAUAAGAGGCCGGAACUCUAACAGGAUGCUCUAUAUAGGUAUCUGAGCAAUAGAGGCCGGACCUCGAACCGAAUGCUCUAUAUAAGUAUCUGGGCGAUAGAGGCCGGACCUUAAACCGGAUGCUCUAUAUAAGUAUCUGGGCGAUAGAGGCCGGACCUUAAACCGGAUGCUCUAUAUAAGUAUCUGGGCGAUAGAGGCCGGACCUUAAACCGGAUGCUCUAUAUAAGUAUCUGGGCGAUAGAGGCCGGACCUUAAACCGGAUGCUCUAUAUAAGUAUCUGGGCGAUAGAGGCCGGACCUUAAACCGGAUGCUCUAUAUAAGUAUCUGGGCGAUAGAGGCCGGACCUUAAACCGGAUGCUCUAUAUAAGUAUCUGGGCGAUAGAGGCCGGACCUUAAACCGGAUGCUCUAUAUAAGUAUCUGGGCGAUAGAGGCCGGACCUUAAACCGGAUGCUCUAUAUAAGUAUCUGGGCGAUAGAGGCCGGACCUUAAACCGGAUGCUCUAUAUAAGUAUCUGGGCGAUAGAGGCCGGACCUUAAACCGGAUGCUCUAUAUAAGUAUCUGGGCGAUAGAGGCCGGACCUUAAACCGGAUGCUCUAUAUAAGUAUCUGGGCGAUAGAGGCCGGACCUUAAACCGGAUGCUCUAUAUAAGUAUCUGGGCGAUAGAGGCCGGACCUUAAACCGGAUGCUCUAUAUAAGUAUCUGGGCGAUAGAGGCCGGACCUUAAACCGGAUGCUCUAUAAAGGNNNNNNNNNNNNNNNNNNNNNNNNNNNNNNNNNNNNNNNNNNNNNNNNNNNNNNNNNNNNNNNNNNNNNNNNNNNNNNNNNNNNNNNNNNNNNNNNNNNNNNNNNNNNNNNNNNNNNNNNNNNNNNNNNNNNNNNNNNNNNNNNNNNNNNNNNNNNNNNNNNNNNNNNNNNNNNNNNNNNNNNNNNNNNNNNNNNNNNNNNNNNNNNNNNNNNNNNNNNNNNNNNNNNNNNNNNNNNNNNNNNNNNNNNNNNNNNNNNNNNNNNNNNNNNNNNNNNNNNNNNNNNNNNNNNNNNNNNNNNNNNNNNNNNNNNNNNNNNNNNNNNNNNNNNNNNNNNNNNNNNNNNNNNNNNNNNNNNNNNNNNNNNNNNNNNNNNNNNNNNNNNNNNNNNNNNNNNNNNNNNNNNNNNNNNNNNNNNNNNNNNNNNNNNNNNNNNNNNNNNNNNNNNNNNNNNNNNNNNNNNNNNNNNNNNNNNNNNNNNNNNNNNNNNNNNNNNNNNNNNNNNNNNNNNNNNNNNNNNNNNNNNNNNNNNNNNNNNNNNNNNNNNNNNNNNNNNNNNNNNNNNNNNNNNNNNNNNNNNNNNNNNNNNNNNNNNNNNNNNNNNNNNNNNNNNNNNNNNNNNNNNNNNNNNNNNNNNNNNGCUAUCGACAUAAAAAUAGUGAUAUAUUAUGGGAGUGGGAAUUUUAGGACUAGAGCUUCAAAGAAGGGCAAAGAAAUAGAAGAAGUCAAUUUUAGUCUCUCAAAAGUCUUGAUAUGCUAGUUGAGUUAGGUUUGGCUUGACCAAAUACACAAUAUUUACGCAUUCAAAAUAAUUAACUCCUGUUAAUUUUCAAUUUUUUAAAAUUUAAAAGUUGAUUUUUAAGUUAACCUAGCUAGUUGUACACAUAUGAUUAGGGGUUAUGAUAUAUAGUAGGUAGUUACAGUACUAAUUAGCUACCAACAUGAUUCAAUUAUGACUGUUUGGUACAAAAUUAUGAUUAUGAAAUUACAAAAUGAUUUUCUAGAACUAAUAACUCCUACUCAAAUAGUUGAAAAAACAUCAAGUCUUGAAAAAGUUAAAACAAUAGAACCUCUACAAAUUAUAUUGAAUUAUCAACUACUGUGUUUUAAUCUCAAAUUAUAUUGUUCUAUUAUGUGAUACUUGAAGCGAGAGUCUUUGGAAAAUAGGCUCUCUACUACCUCACGAGGUAGGAGGUAAGAUUUGCAUACACUUUGUCCUCCUCAAACUUCAAUUUGAGAUCGACUAUACUUUGUGACCCUCACAUGGGCGGAGUUAAUUGUGUGUUGAUGAAUAUGCAUGUUACCUUUCUCGAAAAAAAAAGUCACAUCGAUCAUUAGCCAUAUCAUCACCUUUCAAAGCAAUUACCUACUUAUAUACAAAGACCCAAGUAACAAUAAACCCUAAAGCAACAUUAAUAUCAAACUUACAUAUUAUAGACUGAUAGUCUGAUACUUACUAAUAAAUAAAAAGAGAUUUUAAAAUGUCAUAUAUAGUAUUAAGGAAAGACUACGUAAUUAGACAUACUUUACUAUUAUAUAUAUUAUUAUUAUUAUACUUUCAAUAGUAUUACUUAUCUUACCAUUAAUUAAGAAUUUCCUACUAGAUAUUGAGGAAAAUAAACUUGAAUAUACAUUUUUUUACUGCCACAUAGACUAAAAUAGGGAGAGAGGCGAGCGAGAAUCGUCAUGUAUCUCCAUAUACAUGCAAAUCACACUAAAUAUACACUAGAUACAUGUAUAUGUAUGUAUCUGGUGUUAUUCACAUGUAUCUAGGAUAACAAAUACAUUGGAGAGUGGCGAUCCAGAUGGGAGAGAGGUGAUGGAGGCAAGCGAGAUUUGUUAUAUAUCUCAAAUACAUGCGAAUCCACUUAAAUACAAAUAUACAAUUACAUUUAAUUUUGAUCCCAUGUAUACCGAGAUACAUGCAUAGGGACGUAUCUAAACAUAUCUGAAACGCCAAAAUCUGGUAAAAUACGUAAUAUUACAAACUGGAGUGUUUUGGUGAUUAGCUCCUAAAUUAAUAGGAUUUAUAUAUAUAUAAUUGCAGUAUGGAAGGUGAAAGAUGUCUGUCGUAUAUUCAUAAUUUCCCAACAACUCGUUAUCUAGAUAGUAUACAUAAACUUUCUACGUAUUAAAAUAUGGAUUAAUUACUUGUGUGGAUCCCUUUUAAAGAAUAAUUACUUAUUUUAAAUAUAUUCUCUAAUUAUUACCAUUUAUAGCAAUAUAUAACAAUACUAUGUAUUUUUAUUAGAUUUUUUGUUUUCUCUCUCGCCUCUUUCUCCUUUUUCUCUCUCGCCACUUUCUCCCCUUUUUUUUCUCUGUACGAGGUAUCUAAUUUUUAAAGCUACAGUUAAAAGAUCCACAAUCUUGAGCCACAACUUCAGUUUUAUGGCUCUAAAGGGAGAAUAAAGUCCAUGAAAAUUAAGUUGUCAACCACUAUAAUGGUAUUUAAGUUGUUGAUCCUUUUAUAUUUAAUGUGAUUCAAGAAAUGACGUGGAUCAAAAUAAAUGUUAAGGUAUCUAUAGAAAUUUUUUAUGGGCAUGACCAUUCUUGUAGCAUGCAUCUUUCAUUUGAACAAAUAGAAAAAAAAAAUGAAAAAAGAAGGCAGAAAUGUAAUACCUAAUAAAGAACGAAGACAAGUAUUAAUAUUACCUCAAAUUGAUUGCAUGCACGUAUGCAAUAUCAAAGUAGUGCGUGAAGAAAAGGACAUUUGACAGUCCAAGCAGUUGCUCUUAAAAUUGGGAUGACAAUGUUUGUUAUGGGACUUCAUCUUGAUAAUUGACGGGUGAAUAUCAAUUUUACAGUGAUACAUCUCCACUUUCUUUGACAUGGAUCAAAUUAUGCAUGUGUUAUAUUGUAUUAUAAGUGUAUUAUAAAUUAUUUGGGCUGGGAUCAUUAAAAAAAGAGUGAAGUGUGCAAGAUUUAUUUAUUGUUAAUGAAUAAAUCAUGUAUUAUACAUGUCUUAUAAUCAUGUUUUUUUCCUACGCAUCACCAAUAAACUACAAAAUGAAUUAAACUCGAAUUAAAAAUGUAUCACAAACAUAUUAAAAUUGAAUUAGAAGAGAAAUAAAUGUGAAUGCAAAAUGUAGCAAACGAAAGAGCAUUCUAUGAUCUGUAAANNNNNNNNNNNNNNNNNNNNNNNNNNNNNNNNNNNNNNNNNNNNNNNNNNNNNNNNNNNNNNNNNNNNNNNNNNNNNNNNNNNNNNNNNNNNNNNNNNNNNNNNNNNNNNNNNNNNNNNNNNNNNNNNNNNNNNNNNNNNNNNNNNNNNNNNNNNNNNNNNNNNNNNNNNNNNNNNNNNNNNNNNNNNNNNNNNNNNNNNNNNNNNNNNNNNNNNNNNNNNNNNNNNNNNNNNNNNNNNNNNNNNNNNNNNNNNNNNNNNNNNNNNNNNNNNNNNNNNNNNNNNNNNNNNNNNNNNNNNNNNNNNNNNNNNNNNNNNNNNNNNNNNNNNNNNNNNNNNNNNNNNNNNNNNNNNNNNNNNNNNNNNNNNNNNNNNNNNNNNNNNNNNNNNNNNNNNNNNNNNNNNNNNNNNNNNNNNNNNNNNNNNNNNNNNNNNNNNNNNNNNNNNNNNNNNNNNNNNNNNNNNNNNNNNNNNNNNNNNNNNNNNNNNNNNNNNNNNNNNNNNNNNNNNNNNNNNNNNNNNNNNNNNNNNNNNNNNNNNNNNNNNNNNNNNNNNNNNNNNNNNNNNNNNNNNNNNNNNNNNNNNNNNNNNNNNNNNNNNNNNNNNNNNNNNNNNNNNNNNNNNNNNNNNNNNNNNNNNNNNNNNNNNNNNNNNNNNNNNNNNNNNNNNNNNNNNNNNNNNNNNNNNNNNNNNNNNNNNNNNNNNNNNNNNNNNNNNNNNNNNNNNNNNNNNNNNNNNNNNNNNNNNNNNNNNNNNNNNNNNNNNNNNNAAAUCUAAGUUGGAAUUAGAUAGUGACAGAAAUGGUCAUAUGUGCUCCACAUGUGUCUUAUAAAUUAUUUUGAUUUAUCACUAAGAAAAUGAGUGACAGAUGCAAUAUGUAUUAAAAAUGUAUUGUUGCAUGUUUUAUAAAUGUAUUAUUAGUGUGUUACCUAAAUUAUUCUUGUUGGUAUGACUAAGAAAUGAGUGAAGUGUGCAAUAUGUAUUAUAAAUAUACUAUUCAUGAAUAAAACAUGUAUAUAUAUAUCUUAUAAAUUAUUUUCAUUUGUAUCACUAAGAAAAAGAGCGAUGUUUGCAAUAUGUAUUACAAAUGUAUUGUGCCUAUCUUAUAAAUGUAUUGCAAGUGUGUUACUUAAAUUAUUUUGGUUGAUAUCACUAAAAAGGGAGUGAAGGUUACAAUAUGUAUUAUAAAUGCAUUGUUCAUGAUUUUAAUUCAAUUUUAAUACAAUUAUGAAACAUAUCUAAUAUAACUUUAAUACAAUUGUGAUACAAUUCCAUAAGCUUCACCUUUUUCGAGUUUCAAUCUAAUAUUUCUCCUAAAAUCAAUUAUAAACUUAACUAAAUCCUCUUAAAAUUAAGAUAUAAACUUCAAACGACAUUUUCAAUUAUUUGUAGGAACAACCUAUUCAAACUAAUCACAAUUUCGUAAAAUUCAUAUAAUGAAUUCAAAAUUUGAAGCUUUAUAAUGACCAUUAAUAGUGAACUCUUGCUACUGCAAUUUUAGAGAUUUGAAAUUUCUUCUUGAGAACAUGAUUUUGUACAAAUUUUCGGUCUUUCUGUUUCUCUUCUCGUCGUGUUUUUGGAUAAAAAUAGUGAAAUGCGAGCAAAAACUGAUUUAAGAAUAGUUAUUUAAAUGAAAAUUUCAUCACAGAAGAAGAAGAAAAAAGAAAGAGGAGCAGGAAGAGAAGAAUGACAGAAAGAGACGAAGAAGAAGAAUAAAAGAAGAAGAGGAGAAGAGAAAAAAGGUCAGAGAAAGAGGCGAAGCGCAGAUAGACAGAACAAUUUUUUUAAUUUCAAAGAAUUGUUAUAUUUAGUUAGAAAAAUUAUAUUGCCAUAAAUGGUAAAUAUUUUUUUAAUAUAACAUAUUUAUGUGAUUUACCCUUAAAAUAUUUAAUAUGAAUUAGUUUUAAAAGAAAUAGUAUGUGGUUUAGAUAGUUUAAUUCUUUGUAGGUACAAUACAACUAGUUUCAAGUAUAAUUUGUUUUCUUCAGCAAAAUAAAAGAAGUUGGAGGAAAAUGACUUCUUGCCACCGCCAAAUAAGAUCUGAACGUCAAAUGUUAUUAUGGUGUGUAACAAUAACAAUCAUUCGCUAUAGCAGCCAAAAAUAUGUAUGUCAUUACGAAGAGGUUCAACUUUGUCUUUCGUAAUUACACUUAUAAUCUCAAUCCUCAACAUUCUUGAGGAAAACAUAGCAAUAUUUGCUACUUCACCUUAACUAAGAUAUUAUGCAUAACUUGAAAUAACAUCAUACAUACAAAAUAAAAUUCCAUUUGAUGCUUCAAACUCGCUCACAACAGAGUAAUAUCGAGGAUGGAAGUAUUACCAAACUCGUGGACGACACCAUCUGGACAUAUCAACUUGGCCUUGGGACCUGCUGAUCUAAAUGCGGUUCAGCAUUUCAAGCGUAGUCAUUCUUUGAGCCAGAGGAGCAUAUUUUAGGCAUACUGCUGGAAGAAAAUCUCGCGAUAAACAUGUUUACCUGUUAAAGACACAAAAUGAUACAAUGGGGAUUUGAGCAAUUACAGUUUCUCAAUUUUGAAGUGCAGCUGGAGCAGUGAAAAAACAUCAGAAUUUCAUACGCGAAAAACUCCUUGCUCAAUAUUUCCUUCUUAUACUGAUGAAAGAAAAGUGAAAUUCGAGAGAAAAGAGAAAGUACCUUUCUUCACCUACACUCUGCGGACAGAUCACAGUUGAGCUGAUAUUUGUCUAUUCAGUAGAGAAUUUCGGCACAACUGACGAAAGAAAGAAAAAAGAUGGUUAAGCUGAGAUCAGAUAAUAAAGUUAAGAUUGUGCUUAGGCUUUUAGAUGUUAAGUUAUGGGAAGACAAGCUUUCUGUCUCGUGUGCGUUUGAACUCUCUCAGUAGAAAUAUCAAAAAUCAAGAGUUAAACAUGUGCAUUACUCUAAAGUCUAAACCAUCUCCUCCUUCCUCAACCCAUGGGAAAAGAAACAAUACGUUUCUUUGAUAAGUUAGAAGAAAAUUAAACCUGGAUGUAGUCCAUUUAAGUGAACAUUUUUAAGCCGGUGAACUUGGUAGAGCAAUUGAAUGUUAAUCAAGGUUGAACUGUACAAUACAUAGAGCUUGUGUCAGCCUCAGCUGUAACAAGUCAAGCUAAUAGAAAAAAAAGAAGGAGAAUACCGCAAAAUUGAAUUCUCAGGACAGUAAAUUGCAACAAACUCAUUAGAUAAGACUACAUCAUAUUUUGAACAGGUUAUGCUGUCAGCUACUACUACUACUACUACUACAAUAUAAGCAUCUCGGCAACUGAAACAUGAGUAAAUCGUUUUUGUUAUCUAACCUUGAAUUUGUUCCGAGUAGGAUACACUUCCUUGCCUUUCCCCUAGUUCUGAGGUCGCACUCGAGGAUGAGUACUAAUGGGAAUAAUUUGACGGAAAUUUCAUAAUCUCCAAAGUUAUCAGCUUACUGUAUAUAUCUUCAGCCAAAUUUCUGAAUAUCCAAAACAAGAAACUGAUGUUUUAACCAUUGUGCUAAAAAUCGAUAUACUGACAAAAGUGAUGUUUUAGCUAUUGUGAUAAAGAACCAUAUCUACCUAUGUAAAUGGUAAAAGAUUUGUAGUACAUUAGCAUUACUUUGUGCUAUCAACCUUCUAGGGAAAAUUAUCAAUUCUAACCUACACUUGGUUUCUUUUACAAUGACUCAGAGCAAGUUUAAAGAUUACAUUAGUUGCAACAUAUCACCUUUUUGUCAUCUAAUAUUUGAAUGAAAAUGCUUCGCUCCACACAGUGGCAAUAGAUGAUCCACACUGUUCAACACUACUAAGAAAAACAAGAAGAAUUAACAAACAAGGAAAUGGAAUGUAAACAGAAAAACGGAGAUAGGAAACAAACUUUGUGUCUUGUAUACCUCUGAAUUCUAUUAGAGCUAUGCAUUUAUGAGUGAGCAUGUGCAUUACUCUAAACCUCCAUUCUCCUUAGUCCAAGCGCUGAAAAACGGAAAGAAGAAGACUACAUGAAGUGCUAUUCAGAUGAAAUUUCAAGCAAUACAAGAACUAAAUAUUUUCAAGUAAGAUUUAUAACAAGAAUACAUGAAUUGCUGUUGAAUUGAAUUUACAAAGACAUUAAACAUCCGGCUGAUAUAUAUGUUCCUGGUAAAAGAUUAUUAGUUCGUUAUAUUACAUUGAGCUAUCAACUUUCCGAAGCAAAUAAUUUCAAUUCCUACAUAUACCAGCUUCUGUUUUAUCACCUUUUUUGAUGUCAUCUAAAAUUAAAUUCAUCCCGAUCCAAAGAUGAUUCCUCAGCUUCACAUUGGCAAUAGACGCUUUGUGCUGCUCAAGGAUUUAACAAAGGAAAAGAAUUAACAAGCAAGAAAAGGGAAGUAAACAAAAACAUAAAUGAAAAAAUAACUUACAAUUUUUUUUAAUCAUUACUGGUAUUCCCAAUCAAUAUCUAUGGUGGGAAUAUGAGCAAUUUUUGGCCAGUAAUCUCCCUUGUCAAAUUGUAGGAGUGGUUUGAGCAAUGGGCAUUUGUAAAUAAAUAGUUUAGAGAUGGAAGGGGGCAUCCCUUUUACUGGAAGUGAUUUGAGAUUAGGGCAAGCCUUAAUGCACAGCUCAGAGAGAGAGGAGGGCAUCCCUGUUACUGGAAGAGAUCGGAGAUUAAGGCAAUUAGAAAUGUUCAGUACAGAGAGGGAGGAGGGCAUUCCCGAUUCAGGAAGGGAUUGGAGAUUAGAGCAAUGUUGGAUGGUUAGCUUAGAGAGGGAAGAGGGCAUCCCUGAUUCGGGAAGAGAUCGGAGAUUAAGGCAAUUAGAAAUGUACAGCACAGAGAGGGAGGAGGGCAUUCCCGAUUCAGGAAGAGAUUGGAGAUUAGGGCAACCCCAAAUCUCUAGACACCGAAGCCACAUGAGACGCUGAAGACCUUCGGUUGGUAGUGAAUGGAGAUUAUGAUGGUGAUGUAAGUGUAGCUCAGAAAGAGAGGAGGGAAGCCCUUCUUCCAGCAGUGACUGAAUUUGAGGUAAAUUAACAGCAUUUAGGCACUCUAGAGAGGUGAGGCUUUUUAGAAGUUGGCUGCUUAAUGUUUUCAGAUUGGAUAUAGUAAGCCUUCGAAUAGAGCAAGGCAACUCCCAUUUUUCACCAGCAAGAACCUCUUCAUCGCUACCAUCAUGGUGGAUGGUGAAAUCUAUGAGACAGGGGAGUCUCUGUAAAUGCCACUCCUUUGGCCAUUCACCAGUUCUGCAAUAGUCGAUCUGAAGGACUUGUAAAUUGAAGGGCAAUCCUCCUUCAGGAAAGGACUCUAUUUCUGGACAACGCCAUAGUUGCAGUUCCUUAAGAGAUGGAAGAAGUUCCUGCAUAUGCUCUGGCAACGACUUCAACAUCUUGCAGUCGUGAAUAUGCAAUGACGUCAUCAUCUGAGACCCACAUGCCACUGAAAGUAUUUCAAGAUUCUCACAAUCUCUAAUACUGACUGUUUCAGUGGCAGUAGGAAUCAAAAGCCUAGUAAGGUUGUUGCAACUUCUUACACUCAAAUUGCGUACUCUUGGGAACAACUCAGGUGAAUCACAUCCUUGUAGAGACAAUUCCUCGAGAAACAUAGCAUUCAUUGAUGCCUCCAAUUUCAGUUCCCCGCAACCAGAGACUUCUAUACUUUUCAUAGUACUCGGCAGAAUACUAAUUGGUAAGGAGGUAAGAGACUUACAAUCAGUAAUUACUAAUUUAACAAUCUGUUUCAUUCCUUCAAGUUGAGAUGUAAACAGUUGAGCAUUCGCAAAAAGAACUCCAACCUUAGGAGAAUAAGCAACUUCAAACUCUUUUAAAUUUGAAAGUUGGAUAGGUGUCUCCAAACUGAGUUCAGGGCAUUUUGAAAUUCUCAAUCUUUUCAGAGAAGAAAGAUUUUCAGGCAAUUUUCCUAUCAACUUUGGGCAAUCUUCAAUUGAAAGUUGCUCGAGUAGAGGGAAUUCUCCCUUCCCCAGUACAUGCCACUGCUUCCACUCCGGCAUCUCUGCGAAUUCAAGCUCCUCAAGGGACUUAAAUGGCUUUGUGAUGGACAAACUACCAUAGAACUCUUCACUCACCUCUGUUAUUUGAUGCAUCCCUCUAAUGUUAAGGAAUUUUAAACAAGGAAGCUGUCCUAGUGCUGGCAAGGAAUCACAGCCCUGGCAGUAGCUAAGAGACAAUUCCAUUAGCUUAUGAAAUGAAUGAUCAGCUAGCCAAUUUGGAAAUUUUGUCCAUCUAUAUCCGUUAAUUUGGAGUACUUUUAUGUUUGUAUUUGGUUGUAGCUCAUCAAGUAUCUCUCUUUCAGUUUGUGAAUUGUCAGCAAAACUUCCGCUCCACUCCAAAGAUAACCUUUCAACAUGUUCCUUUUUCCUCAUGUUUGCCUUCAGAGAUUCCCUUCCAUCUACCAUAUGUUGCAACUCUAGAAUUGAUAGAGAUCCAUACAAGUUAUGUAGCUCACCCAAAUCUUCCAUUCUCGAACCACCGCGACCAGUAAGAAGAAACUUGGCUCCCACUAGCACAUGGAGACUUUUCAACUUGUUCAGAUGUAGGGGUCUCCUCAAAUGAGCUUCGCUAAUUUCAAGGUGACGCAAGUUGAUCAAUUUUUCCAUAUGCAGAGGUAGCUCCUUAAGAUAACUACAAUGUGACAAGAGUAGUGUCUCUAAGUUGUACAGUACACAAAUUGAAUCUGGCAACUUUUUUAUCUUUGUCCAAGAGAGGUCCAAAAAUCUUAGGUGCUUUAAUUUGAUAAACAAGUCAUUUGGCAACUCCUCAUUCUGAUAAUCAGACAAUGAUAGUGCCCUUAGGGAUGUUAGUCUUGGCAAAAUGUCAUGCAGCACCCUCUUGCUUAGACAGUAUAAAUUCUGCUGGAUAUUGAUGGGAAGCAAUGUCCUCAGCUGCUCCAAUUUGUACAAGGGUUUCAACUUUUUAAAGUCACCUUGGCCCAUUGAAUAGGAUAUGUGCCUACUUUGUUCCAACAUAUGAGAUCCUUGGUUCUCUUCCAACCUGAUACACAGAUUUGAAGAUGCAAUUUGGGCCAAAUCAUUGACAAGGUCAUGCAUUAAGAAUUCCCCCGGAUUCCAAACAGAAGACUCUUGGGCCCUUUCAAACAAUGAUCUCGAUCUCAACUCAAGAAAGUAUUGGUUAGCUGAAUGCAACUGCUGUACAAGACCAUUAGCAAUCCACAGGUAAAUAACUUGUUCUUUGCAAAAUAGAUAAUCUUUGGGAUAUAUUGCACAAAAAGCAAAACACCGCUUCAAAUGUGGACGAAGAUCAUUGUAGCUCAACAUCAACGCUGGUAAGAUUCCAUUCGAACAACUUUGCAGCUCCCAUAUUUCACUUCUUAAAAUGCCUCUCCACUCAUCCACCUCUGAUUUGGAGCGUAAAAUACCAGCAAGUGCCUUUAGAGCUAAAGGCAAUCCUUUGCACUUGUGUGCAAUUUGUAUUCCAACCUCUUCAAGUUCUGGAUGUUCCUCAGGAUCCCUAUUUUCAAAUGAAUGCCGCUUGAAUAGAUCCCAAGAGACUUCACUAGACAGAGUUCCCACGUUGAUUGCGCCACAACCCAUCAUCAAGGCAACAUUCUCCUUACGUGUCGUCACAAUGAUCUUACUUCCUACAUCUCCUUGUACAAAAAGAUUUCUCAAGUCAUCCCACUCUUUAUAGUUUUCAUUCCACACAUCAUCUAGGACAAUAAGAAACUUUUUCCCCUUUAAGGCUUCCUUCAAUUUGACUUGAAGUUGAUUCAGAUUGUUAUCAACCUUUAAACCAACUUCUUGAAGUAACUCCUUUGUUAUUCUGAGAAUAUCAUAUGGUUCAGACACACAGAUCCAAGCUUUCAAACCAAAAUGGUUUUUUACUUUCUCAUCAUUGUAAACAGCUUUAGCAAGUGUUGUCUUGCCCACGCCCCCCAUUCCAACAACAGGAACUACCGUCAGAUUCUUUCCAUCCUCAGACAACAAACGGUCAAUCAAUCCCUCUAUUUCGUUCUGCCUACCUAAGAUAUCUGAUUCAUCAACAACAGAAGUUGAAGAUUCCCUUGUUUCUUGUUUACCCGAAUCAAGAUACUUUGUUAGAUCAAGGCGACCAAUUUGCUUUUCCAACUCCUCCAAUGUUUCAAUGGUGUCUUCCAACUUCUCCUUUAUGUUAAGAAAGAAAUCAUCACUCAAGCUCAGGUUAAGGUCACUUACUUGCUGGUUGCUUGUUUCUGCAAGAUUUUGAUGCUGACCUUCCACCUUUAGUCUCAAAACCUCAUAAUUGACUUCUUCUAUUAAGUUUUCAGCACCGUCCACAGCAUCUUGAAGCUCAUUAAGCCACUGGCUCACGUAUGGAUUUGAUGUUUGCUUGAUCUCUGCAUCACUUAAAACAGCCUGAAGACCAAGCAAAGUCAUCCUCAGCUUCUUUAAGAGCCGAACAUCACACUUGUCCCUCUUAAACAUCUUCAGCAGAUCACCGUUAGGAGCAAGCCUAUCAAAGAGAACAUUCAAAGCUGAAGAGAGAAAUGCACCACCAACUGCUAAGCCAACCUCCAUUUCUGAAAUCUGCAAAGCAAAAUAGGAAACCACAAAAUGAUUAUAAGAAUUUGGAGAAGAUUAUUGUCCUGUUUCUUUACUAAGAGCUUUAUUUUACCUGUUGAAUGAUAAGAGUAAUUUGCAACUAUGAAUGAUCACUGAUUUCUCUCUCUCUUGCUAGGGGUUUUACUUGUAAUUGGUACAACUAUGUCUGCUACUAUUAACUAUUGUCCUUUUUUUCUCUUUUCCAAAAGUAUUACUUUUCACCCAACAAGAUGACAAAGACUAGUCAUUACUCUCUCAAUGCCUUUAAUAAUUGAAGCAAGAGAGGAUAAGAAAGGGGUCGUUUGGUGUGAUGGAUAAAACUAGUUAAUUGAGGAUUUUUUUUAGUCCCCUUUAGGGAACGUUUGGUUUGAAGACAAGUUAUGUUAGGAUUAGUUAUCAUGUGAUAAGUUAUGAAAGGAUUAGUUCUGUUGAUUUAUUGGUUUGUCAUAGUCAAAUGAUAUGCAUGGCAUAAUUUUUAAGAAUAAGGGGUCGUUUGGUGUGAUGGAUAAAAGGAAUUAAUCCCGAAAUAAUUUUUGAGUGCCCUUUAAUUCGUUGUUUGGUUGCAAAGGCUGAAAUAACUUAUCCCAAGAUUAAUGGUUAGUCUUGGGAUAAUUUAUCCCUCUCUGAGGUGGAAUAGUAAUCCAACAAUAACUUAUCCUGGUAUAAAGUAUGUAAAAUAACAAAAAUACCUCCCUUAAACUCUCUUUUAUACACCACUUUACAUUCAUGUAUAUUAACAUAAUUUUUAAUAAUAUUUAUGAUAAUAUUCACAACCUUAAUUAUUCAUUGUUUUUAUGAUAUUAUAUUUUUCUAUUAAAAAAUUGCAUUUUAUAAAUAUAAUUUUUAUUAUGAAUACAUUAUAAGUUGAACUUAUUUGCCUAAUUCUUAUGUUUAUUUAUAUUUUGAUUUCUCUUAAAAUGUUCAAUCCACUACUAAAUUACAUAUUUUUAAUUAUGCUUCUGAAACACCUUGAACAGCUCACCGUUAGGAGCAAGCCUAUCUCCAUUUCUGAAACCUGAAAAACAAAACAAAGAAUCACAAAAUGGUUUAAUAUUUCUACUAGUAAUAGAUUUAAUUUACCUGUUGAAUGCUAGAGCAAUAUGCAAACAAUAUACUGACUGUCUGCUAAUUAAUUUGCAAUUGUUAUACCAAUUUGGAGAAUGACUUUUCUCUCUUAGCUGUGUCCUUCUUUACUUUGAGGCAUAUAUAUUAAAAAACUAAAAAUAACAGAACUUGUUAUAUUUUAAUUGAAUCAAACUUGUAACUUUUGGUUUGAUUAUCAAAUUCCAUACCAUAAUAAUAAAUUAUUGGUGGACACUACCAUUAUAUAAAGGCGAAUGAGUAAAUUAUAAGUAGUGGUUGUAACAAAUUGUUUUUUAAAUAAUUUUUCAUAGAAGAUGCCUUUUUUGAAGUUGAAAUCUAACCACUACAUUGUCUUGUUUUCAACACUUCAAUUUAUUUUUUUAAAAGUCAUUUGAUUUAAUUCAAAGACUACACUAAUCUCCUAUUAAUUUAAUUCAACGACCUUCAUACGAUUGGUCUCUUCAAUCAACUAGCAUUAGCUUUAUAAAAUGACCAGAAACUUCCUACUAAUUGUUUUCUUUGAGUUGGUUUUUUUUUCUUGAAAUUAAUGUGUUUUAAAAGUGUUCCUUUUAUAAUUUUCUCUUUAUUUGAUGAAAUCAAAUACUAUGAAAAGAUAGCCCAAGCAGAAAGGCACCCUCUUUUGCUCUAGCAAAUAAAUUCAAUUUUAAAUAGUCUUGUGUAUCAUAGGUUGCCACAAUAUAUUCAACUUUUCGGGACAAGUUCAGACGGAUUUUAUGUCUUUUACCUGUUAAGUAUUUUGUUUUCUUCUAUAACAUAAAAAGUCAAGAGGAAAUGACUUCUUGCAUAUUUCUUUUAUCAAUAACCACCAAAUAAGAUCUAAACGUCAAAUAUUAUUAAGGUGUGUAACAAUAGCAAUCAUUCAUUAUAGCAGCCCAAAAGAUGUCCGUCAUUGUAAAGAAGUCCAACUGUGUCUUUCGUAAUUAUACUAAACUAACUUCACUUGUAAUCUCAAUCCUGAACAUUCUCAAGGACAACAUAGCAAUAUUUGCUGCUUCAACUCAACUAAGAUCAUAUACAUAACUUGAUAAACAAACAAAGAGAAGUCUUGAAAAUUAUUUGGAGAAUCACUUACCAAUGAUCUUGCUCGCUAUAUAUAAGUUCACUAUCGAAUCAUACAUUGUGUUUGAGCAAUCUCUGGCCACUCCUCCAUCAAUAUGCAAUUUGAGCAUCACUCUCGGCUAUAUUAAAAAUAGACCUUUUAAAUAUCAGUUCUGAAAAUUAUUUGAAAGCACAACUAUAGAAUGAAAAGGAUAACAUUGGGUAGAGAUUCCAUGAAACAAAAAAGAUGAAUUUAUAUAGAUAUUUAUGGAGGAAUACCAAACGAUAUCUUAAAGUUCUAAAUUUAAUAUGUGGAGGUUAUGAAUAUAAAAAAACAUGAGAGUUAUGAAAAUUAAUUCCAAAAAUAAAGCAAAUAAAGGAGUAGCAAUUGAAAAGGUAAUUAGAUAAGAGUCAUGAAAGAGAAUAUAUAAAGCAAAUAAAGGAGAAAAAUAAAUAAAUGAAGGAGGAAAAAAGAAUAGUGCAAUUGAUAUUUAAGUGUGACCAUAGAAAAAAAUCAAAUUAUAAUUAAAUAUUAAUAUUAUAUAUAUAAUUGUUUGCGGGAAAGGAUCCAUCAAACGACAUUUAUAUAACCAAUUCAAUGAUAACCACAAAACAGAUUAAUAAGAAAAAAAAUGCCCAAAUCCAUAAAUUGAGAUUGAGUUACAAUUGACCUUUAAGAAUAUUUGCACCACUUUUAAUAUAAUAUGAUGAUAUGAUAUGAUGAUUACAGUGUUCCCAUCCGAAUAUAAAUAUUUUUUCACCUUCUUUUUUGUAAUCAAACAUUAAAUUCAUCCUGAUCUGAAGAUGAUUCCUCGGCUUCACAGUGCAACAGACGCUACACACUGCACAAAACAAUAUAACAAAGGAAAAGAAUCAACAAACAAGCAAAGAGAAGUAACGAAAAAUAAAAAGCUGCUGAGAUAAAAAAGAGUUCUUACAUCUGUCAGAGUACCAUUUGUUUUUAUCAUCACAGGUAUUCCCUAUUGAUCUGUAUAGUUGAAAUAUGAGCAAUAUUUGGCCAGUAUUCCCCCUUCAUAAAUUCUAGACGUGGAUUGAGCAAUGGACAGUCUGAAAUAUAUAGCUUAGAGAGGGCAGAGGGCAUCCCUUUUACUGGAAGAGUCAACUUCACUAGCUUAAGAAAGGAAUGAUCAGCCAACCAGUUCGGAAAUUUUGUACCUCUAUAUCCAGAGAUUUCCAGUUCUUUUAUGUUUGUGUUUGGUUGUAGUUCAUCGAGUAUGCCUCUUUCAGUUUGUGAAUUAUCAGCAAUACUUCUACCCCACGACAAUGAUAACCUCUCAAUAUGCUCCUUUUCCCUCAUGUUCGCCUUCAGAGCUUCCCUUCUAUCAAUUACAUUUUGCAACUCUUUAAUUGAUAGAGAUCCAUACAAGUUGCAGAGUUCACCCAAAUCUUUGAGUUUCAAACCACUUGGAAGACAUGUAACUCCUAAUAGCACCUGGAGGUUUUUCAACUUGCUAGGAUGUAGCGGCAUCUUCAACCGAGAACACCUCCUAAUGUCAAGGUAAUGCAAGUUGAUCAAAUUUCCCAUCUGCAGCGGUAACUCCUCAAGAUAAUCACAAGACGACACAAUAAGUGUCUCUAAGUUGUACAACACACAAAUUGAAUCUGGUAACUGUUUUAUAUCUGUCCAAGAAAGGUCCAAAAAUCUUAGGAGUUUUAAUUUGAUAAAUAAGUCAUUUGCUAACUCCUUGAUGUUAUAACGAGACAAUGACAAUGCCCUUAAGAAUGUUAGUCUUGGAAGUAUGUUAUGCAGCACCCUCUUGCUUAGAUUAACUGAAAACAAAUGGAGCUGGAUAUUUAUCGGAAGCAAUGUCCUUAAUUGCUCCAAUUUGUAGAGGGUUUUCAGUUUACCAAAACCACCCCUUGAUGAAUAUGACGAAAAGUUACCAUCACCCAUGGAAUACGACAAGUGUCGAGUUCGUUCCAACAUAUGAUAACCUUCGAUGUCUUCCAACCUGGUACAGCGUUUUGAAGAUGUAAUUUGGGCAAGAUCAUUGACAAGGUCAUGCAUAAAGAAUUUCUCACCAUCCAUUUCAGAAUAUCUGGACAAGUUCAGGCCUACGAACGUCCCUUCCUUCCAUUUAAAAGAAUCAGGGACCCUGUCUAACAAUGAUCUUGAUCUCAUCUCGAGAAUGUACUGGUUGCCUAGUUCUUCAACCGUUUCAUCUUUUUGCAACUUCUGUAUUUGCAACUUCUGUACUAGACCAUUAGCGAUCCACAGUUGAAUGACUUGUUCUUUGUAAAAUUGAUAAUCUUUUGGAAAUAUUGCGCAAUAGGAAAAGCAUCGCUUCAAAUGUGGGGGAAGCUCAUUGUAGCUCAACAUCAAUGCUGGUAAGAUUCCAUUGUCUGGAAGCUCCCAUAUUUCACUUCUCAAAAUGCGUUUCCACUCUUCAAUCGUUGAUUUUGAGCGUAACUUCCCAGCAAGGAUCUUUAUAGCUAAAGGCAAUCCUUUGCAUUUCUCUGCAAUUUUCUUUCCAAUCUCUUCAAGUUCUAGAUGUUCCUCAGCAUCCCUGUUUUCUAAUGAAUGUCGUUUGAAAAAAGCCCAAGAGACUUCAUUAGACAGAAUCCCCACAUNNNNNNNNNNNNNNNNNNNNNNNNNNNNNNNNNNNNNNNNNNNNNNNNNNNNNNNNNNNNNNNNNNNNNNNNNNNNNNNNNNNNNNNNNNNNNNNNNNNNAAAUUCAUCCUGAUCUGAAGAUGAUUCCUCGGCUUCAUGGUGCAACAGACGCUACACACUGCACAAAACAAUAUAACAAAGGAAAAAAAUCAACAAACAAGCAAAGAGAAGUAAUGAACAAUAAAAAGCUACUGAGAUAAAAAAGAGUUCUUACAUCUGUCAGAGUACCAUUUGUUUUGAUCAUCACAGGCAUUCCCCAUUGAUCUCUAUAGUGGAAAUAUGAGCAAUAUUUGGCCAGUAUUCCCCCUUCAUAAAUUCUAGACAUGGACUGAGCAAUGGGCAGUGUGUAAUAGAUAGUUUAGAGAGGGCAGAGGGCAUCCCUUUUUCUGGAAGGUGUUGGAGUUUAGGACAAGAAUGGAUGGUCAGCUUAGAGAGGGAGGAGGGAAGCGCUGAUUCUGGAAGAGAUUGGAGUUGAACGCAGGAGCUAAUCUCUAGACGCCUAAGAGAAGUGAGGCCCUGAAGACCUUCAGUUGACAGUGAAUGGAGCUCAUCAUGGUGUCUUAAUUUUAGUGAAGAAAGAGACAAGGGAAGCCCUUCUUCGAUCAGUGACUGGAUUUGAGGUAAAUUAGCAAUGGAUAGAGAUUCAAGAGAGGUGAGGCUUUUGAGAAGUUGGCUGCUUAAUGUUUUCAUAUUGGAUAUGCAAAGCGAUUUAAUUGAGCAAGGCAACUCCCAAUCAAUCUCUUCGUCAGUAGAAUGAUGGAAGAUUUUAAGUUCUCUGAGGCAAGGGAGUCUCUGUAAAUGCCACUCCUUUCGAUCAUUCUCCAGUUUCUCACAAUUCCAGAUCUGAAGGACUUCUAGACUGAAAGGCAAGCCUCCUUCAGGGAAGGACUUUAUUUCUGGACAAUCAUACAGGUUGAGAUAAUUAAGAGAUGGAAGAAGUUCCUGCAUAUGUUUUGGCAGCGACUUCAGCUUCUUGCAGCUGUGAAUAUGCAAAUUUCGCAACGUUGGAGUCCUGGAUGCCACCAAAAGCAUUUCAAGAUUUUCACAUCCAGAAAUAUGGAGAUCUUCAGUCCCAGUAGGAAUCAAAAGCCUAGUAAGGCUGUGGCACCUAUUUACACUCAAAUAGUGUGCUCUUGGGACCAGCUCAGGUGAUAUCUCAUUCAUAGAAUUACAUUCAGUUAGUACCAGACUCUUGAGAAACAUCUCACUAGCUGACGGCUCCAAUUUCAAUUGAUCACAAUCAGAUAUCUCUAUUUUCUUCAAGGUUUUCGGCAGACUGCUAAUAUGAAAGGAGGUAAGAGAGUGACAACUUCUGAUAAUUAAUGACUCUAGCUGCGUCAUUCCUUGAAGUUGGGAUGCAAAUAGCUCAGCGUGAUCAAAAAGAACCCCAACCUUUAAAGAACCGAAAACUUUAAACCAUUUUAGACUUGAAAGUUGGAUAGGUGUCUCCAAAAUAAAUUCCGGACAAUUUGAAAUUGUCAAUCCUGUCAAAGAACAAAGAUUUCCAGGCAAUUUCCCCAUCAACUUGGGACAGUUGUUAAUUGAAAGGAUCUGAAGUGCAGGGAACUCUCCACUUCCUAGUACGUGCCAUUGCUUCCACCCGUUCAUCCAAUUAAAUUCAAGCCAUUCCAGAGAGUUAAAUGGCUUUAUUGAAGAUGGGCUACCAUAGAAUUCUUCGGUCACCUCUGUUAUUCGAUCCAUAUACUCAAUGGUGAGGGAUUUCAAAGAAGGAAGUUGUCCUAGUGCUGGCAAGGAAUCACAGUUGUUGCAGUGGCUAAGAGACAACAUCACUAGCUUAAGAAAGGAAAGAUCAGCCAGCCAGUUUGGAAAUUUUGUCCCUCUAUAUCCAGAGAUUUCCAGUUCUUUUAUGUUUGUGUUUGGUUGUAGUUCAUCGAAUAUGUCUCUUUCAGUUUGUGAAUUGUCAGCAAUACUUUUACCCCACGACAAUGAUAACCUCUCAAUAUCCUAGGUGCUUGUUUCAGGCCAUAAAGGGAUUUGUGCAGUCUACACACUUUAUCAUUCCCCCUAUGGCUGCCAAACCCUUGAGGAAUCUGCAUGUAUACUUCUUCAAAGAGAUCACCUUGGAGGAAUGCAUUAUGCACAUCCAUUUGAUAGAUAAACCACCUCUUAGCUGCAGCAAUGGCCACAACAGACCUGACAGUCACCAUCUUAGCAACAGGAGAAAAAGUCUUUGUGUAGUCUAGCCCUUCUUUCUGACUAAAACCUUUAGCUACCAGCCUUGCCUUAUACCUUUCAACCUCCCCAUUAGCUUUGUGCUUGAUUUUGUACACCCACUUACACCCGAUUGGAGACUUGCCUAAAGGAAGAUCAACUAUACUCCAUGUGUGAUUAUCUAGCAGAGCAUCAAUCUCAGACUGCAUGGCAGCAAUCCAUUUAGGAUCUGUAGCAUCUUCAGAGUAGGAAGUGGGCUCCAAAACAGCUGAGAAAACUGCCAAUGCUGAGCUGUAAGAAGGAGAGAUAUGAGCAUAGGACACAUAAUUGGAUAUAGGAAAAACACAGGAUGCCUUUGUUCUUGUGGGAGCAAUAUAGUCUUUCAUCCAGAUGGGAGGUUUGGGAGUUCUACAGGACUUUCUAACUGGUUCAACAGAUGGAGACACUAGCAUAGGAGCAACUUCAGUUGAUGAGGUGAACUCAGAUACAUCAGGUAGGGAAGAGUCAAUUAUAUCAGCCCUUAGAGAGGAAUCAUGAUCAGGAGAAACAUAUAUAGGAUCAGCUGGACAGUACUGAGGAGAACAUUGUUGACACCUAAUUUUGACCCUCCCCGAUAAUAACUAAUUUCGAGCUUCUUAAUUUUCAAAUGAUCUAAAGUAAUUAAUUUUAGAAAUUUCGAAUAAAUAAAUAAAUAAAUAAAUAAGAAUAAUUUGCAAGUUGUUUCAAAUAGUUUGUCACUUGUUAUAAUUUUUAAAUAAUAAUAUGUCUUUUAUAUAAUUAUGUAUAUAAUUAGUGUAUUUUAUAAAUAUUCGAAAAUCGUCUCAAAAGGAUUUUGUUUUAAUUGAAUAUUUGGUUGACUAGUUUAGUUAUAUAAUAGUUUAUAUUUUUGAAAUAGUUAGUUUAUAUCUAAGUUAAUUAUUUUAUUUCGUGGAAAUUGAGAAGCUCUUUAAUUAACUUGUAUUAAUUUGUCUUAUUUAAUUGCUAGCUAAAAUUCAAUUUAACUAAAAUUUUGAAUUCAUUUGGCCAUCAUUGUAAUCAAAUGGGCCAAUUUCUUUUUUCAGCAGACCCAACCCAUAAAACAAUUCUAAUACCCAAUGCCAAUUAAUCCCUAGCCCACUUUUAAAUUUCCCAAUCAACCCAUCCCUUAUACUCUAUUCCACCAGCAGCCCACACUCAUUUACCUGACCCGGCCCACUUUUAUGUUCACAGAACAAGACCAAGAAGCAGCAACUCACAAGAGACAAUCACAACGUCAAUCCCAAAUAGACGGAAGCAGCAUCAACACAUGCCAGAACGACAACAACGGCUCCGAACGACACCUUUUCCGUCAAGAUACACAACGUCAAAUCCCUUUGUCGUCUUCCCCUGUGUCCCUCUCAAGUCGUACAUCGCGAGCAGAGGAGCAGGGCAUGCGUCUGGCUCCCUUUCCUCUUCCGGAACGGGUCAAAUUUCGAAGAAAAAGGUGUUUAUCCUAAUUGGUGAAAGGUUUUGGGAGUUUGAUUUUUGAAUUAGGCGUUUUCUAUCCAGAUUUCACUCGUUUUUCCCUCCAUUCAAUCUACCCUAAUUUCCCCUAUAUAUAGAUUCUCUUUCUAUCUCGCCAGGGGGGGAAGAUUUUUGAUUUUUUUUGAGAAAGUAGAGGGGAUUUUUUUUGGGGAGUUGAAAAUUUUAUGUUGAAGAAAAUAUUGGGAGAAGCUUGGAAAAACAGAAGGGAAGAAAGUUUCAAAAAAAAUAAAAUAAAAAUAAAAUAUAAAUACAAGAAUACAUACAAGGAACAAUCAGUAGUUAUACUCAAGCGAGAAUCGAUAAAAGGCUUUUCUUUUGUGCUCGCCAUUGAAAAAACUUGUCGGAAUCUCGUUGUAGUAGUGAAGUUGCCGUCCCUCUGCUCGCUCUGUCUCGGUGCCGCUGCCCUCGAAAAGGUGAUACUCAUUUUGAUUUAUGUCUCCUUUAUUUUAACGUGGCGACUGUUUGGAUCUCGGACUGCAUAUAGUGUUCGAAAUGUUAAAGUUUGAGAGUAUGAUUUACUCAUCGUCGACUGUAAAUCAAUAUUGCAACUCGUUCUUAUUCGUUUUGUUGUGGUUUGUUUAGUCUGCCUUGAAGGGUUGAGGAUUCCAUUUAUUCGUGAUUCCUUUUCUCUUUAUUGACUGUCUCAUUUGGAUGGUUGAGAUAGUUGGAGAUUCAGUUGUGAAGUUCGAAGUCACCUUCUAUAAGUGAUUUCGGCUUUCGUAAUCUGAUACACAAUUUGAUCCCAUCUUCUGCUCAUUCCGAUUUAAUGCAGAUCUAUGGGUUGUUUAGCUCCCUUUUCAUGCCUGCUUAUAAAUGAUUUUUUUUUCAUACAUGAAGCUUGCCAACUAACGCAGCUUGUUUGCAUUUCCCUUUUAUUUUUUUUUAGUUAGUUACUCUAGUUUUAUUAACUUUUCUUUACUUCGUGUUUCCGUGAGCAUGAUCAUUAGCUUAUUUGGCAUGUCUAUUAUUUGAUUUAGGUCGAGUAUACCAUCUUUACUGUCUAAGAUUCUUAUGAGUUCCGUGCCUAUCGUUAAUCAGUUCCAACAGAUUGCGAGAAUAUGUAAGCCUUAGUGUAUAGUGGUUCGCACAUCCCACCCUUUCCCUCGUUUUUUUUUAGCUUUCUAUCGUGGUCGGCUUUGUCUAAGUUCAUUACUAUAUGUUAUUAUGAGUUCCCUGUUGUGCUCACAUGUUGACCAUCCUGUUUCGUUUAGUUUAAUUCAUAAGAUAAUAUAUCUCGUUGAUUUUAGUGUUAUAUGAUUCUUUUAGCCAAAUUUUGUUUUGUCUGGUCUUUUCCCUCGUUUUUCUCUACUGUCAAAUUGCCGUGUGGAGAUACUAUAUUCAAAUCCAAAUGUGCCUGUUUGUUGAUUAAGGUGUGGUGACCCCUUUAUUUGUAAACUAUAUGUUGCCAACUAUUCACUAUUUUAUUUAAUUUUAAUGGAUCAGUUUUGCUUUGCUAAAAAUGUGUUAGCUGGUUUUCCCUUGGAUACAUUAUUGUUCUCCCUAAAUUGGUAAAUCUUGUUAUCGAUUGGAACCAUGGUUUUGUAAUGUCAUUUUUGAAUACUAAUCCUUAUAAUUAUUUUUUAUGCAUGUGAAAUCUACCCGAGUUCGCCAUGAACUCACUCCGUUCCCUUGCAUUUCGGAGAGCCAUUAAAGGCUUAAAUUCCCUUUCCGAGUCAGAUCCCCCAAAAAUUUGGUGAACAGGGUUCGGAGCAGAUAUACAAGAGCGUAUACACUAAUAUACAUCUAGUGUACACGAAAGAGAGAAAAUGGGCUUAAAGAGGCCACUAAUCUUUAAAAAUUUGUAUUUUGUUAUUUAUUGGGCCUAAGCCCAUUUAAUUGUUAUUCUUAUUUUUGUUAGAAGUUUAGGACAGGUGAAAAAUUGGGCCUAAGGCCCAAAGAAAUGUCUUAUAUAUAUUAGUUUAGGACAGGUGCAGAUAACUCAAAAAAUUGGGCUAAAAGCCCCAAAACGAAAAUGGGCUCAAGUGCUGGCCCAGGCGAACAGAAACCAGACUUGGGCCUUCAAGCCUCUUUCCCUCUUUAUCUUUUUGUGUUUGUUUUGUUUGCUAAAAUCCGUUACUAAUUUUAAGGUUAAAAAAUUCAAAUCCCCGGAAGACGCUUAUUUCGUUUUAACAAUUUUACUAAAUCGAUCACCUUUAAAAGGACUUAAAGAAUUUUUGCAAGGAAAAUAUCUCACUUAGUCAAUCCUUUCCUUUUCCCCUUUUAAAAAUAAAAUAAAAUGGACUUAAUUAUAAAAUAGCAUUAUGUUUCAAGUCAAGUUAAGUUAAUUCACUUGUAGCCAAAUAAAUUAAUUGUCGGAUAACCGCAUGUUAGCGGGCAUUUUGGAUGCUUUCAAACCCUUCCCGAAAUGCUAAUAAGAACCCCCGAACCCCUUUAAGUUUUCAUUAGACUUCUGUUUUAGUCUUUUGAAAACAAUAGUUUUCUUGAUUUUUCUUUAAAAUUAAGUGGCGACUCUUAAACCAGUCUUAAAUAUAUUUUUGAAUAAAACAAACAUAAAGGGGCAGAAAAUAGAGGAGAAAAUGAAUUGGACAAGUGUUUGAAAGGAAAGAUGUCUUCCUUAAACACUACAUCUCGACUAGUAGUAAAUGUUUUUUCCUGAAGGAGAUACAUCUUGUAGCCUUUUUGAGUUAAGGAGUAACCAAGGAAAACAGCUGGAACAGCCCGAGGGUGGAACAGCCCUAGGUGCAAAUUUAUCAGACUUCUUCAAGGAAGUAACAUAACCUAGACAACCAAAGACCUUCAAGUGAGAUAAAUCUGGUGAGUUCUUAGAGAGAACCUCAACUGGUACUUUACCAUGAAGAGUAUGAGAAGGCAACCUGUUGAUCAAGUACACUGCAGUAGCCACACAAUCUCCCCAAAACCUGAGAGGAACACUGGCUUGAAAUCUGAUGGCUCGAGCAGUGUCUAAAAUAUACCUAUGUCUUCUCUCAACAACUCCAUUCUGUUGAGGAGUAUAGACACAAGAACUCUGAUGCAAUAUCCCUAAGGAUCGAAGCAAGCUGGAAACUUGAAGAGUUAAAAAACUCACAACCAUUGUCAGUGCGCAAAAUCUUAAUGACCGCAGAGUGGACAUUUUUUAGCAUUAACAAGAAAUCAGUCAAGGCAACUAUAACUUCUGACUUGGAAUUUAACAGAAAUAUCCAGGUAUACCUAGAAUAAUCAUCCACCAAGGUUAAAAAAUACUUCUUCCCAUCAUAAGUAGGUACCCUAUAGGGACCCCAUACAUCACCAUGAAUAAUAUGAAAGCAAGCAGCAGACUGUGAAGUACUCAGAGGAAAAGGAAUUCUUGUUUGCUUAGCCAAAGGGCACACAGUACAAUGUUUGUGAUCAAAAUUUACGUUGUCAACAUAGCAAUUCAAAUUUGUCAACUUCUUCAAAGUAUUUAAAGGAGCAUGGCCCAAUCUUCUGUGCCAUAGAUCUAUGUCUGUUUUAUUCUUAGACUUCUCUACUAAGAUAGAGUGACACCUAGUCUUGAUGUACUCAGGCUUGCCAUGUCCUGCAUUCAGGCAAGAAGAAUCCACCACAUACAAACCUUGAACAUGUUUACCAGUCCCCUUCACCUUUCCACUGAAGAGAUCCUGAAAAGUACAGAAAUCAGGAUAGAAAUGAACUGAGCAGUUCAAUUCCUUGGUAAGUUUUGACACAGAAAGCAAGUUAUGUUGAAACUCAGGUAUAUACAUCACAUUAUGUAUGUCGUGGCUUCCCAAAACUAUAGAGGAACCUAAGUGACUCACUUUAGCUGUGUUUCCAGUAGGUAGCAUAACAUUGCCUUUGCUUGUAUUAAGAAGAGAUCUAGUGUUGGAUAGUAGACUAGGAUCACUAACCAUAUGAUUGGUUGCUCCUGUGUCUACUAUCCAUUGGUUAGAGGGAUUAACCAUACCUGCAGAUAGAGCAGUACCACUCAUCUCACUGUUUUGUCCAAUCAUCUGCAAAAUUUGAUUUUAUUGCUCAGGAGUAAAGUGUGGAGCACUAGGAUGAGAGAUCUGAGAAGAUCUAGACUGCUGUACAUAAGCACAUGUAGGAUUGGAGGAAGUUGCACCCAAAGCAUUACUAGAGCUACCUGAAUAACCAUCCAUAUCUGAUGAAGUAUCAUGUUCACUAGCAAAGUUGACAGCAUUUCCAUGUCCUGAUGAUGCAGCUGAGUGUGAGUUAAACUUCUUCUUUGAGUUUAGUCUAAAAUCUGGAGGAUAUCCAUGCAGCUGGUAGCAUCGAUCGCUAGUAUGACCAGUGUAGUGACAGUAAUCACACUGUAGAUGACUAUUUUUUCUGUUUUUAGAGCCAGAGCUUGAGGCAUUGCCUGAAUUGCCUGACCCAGAGUUAGAACUUGUAUAGUAACCAGACCUAGUGUUCCCAGUAUGACCUUGACUAGAAGUUGGCCUAAAUUGGACUCCUCCUCCUCCGAGAUUAGGCUUAAAAUUUCCUUUGCUUGUAUAGAAAACAGCUCCUUCAUUAAUAUCAAGGUUUUGGACUGAUUUUCCAAGAGACCUUUGGCUCUCCUCUGAGAUCACCAUAGAAUAAGCUUGAUUGAUAGAGGGAGUAGGAGUCAUCAUAAGAAUUUGACUCCUACUGGGGGCAUAUGACUCAUUUAGACCAGUGAGAAACUGAAGUAAACGUUGAUAAUCAAAAUGUUGCAUGUAAUUCCUAGAUUCAGGGCAGUUACAGCCUGGGCAGGGCAUUAUGGCAUCGAAUUCAUCCCAGUAUUCACGCAAUCUAGAGAAGUAAUUGGAAACAGUGAGUGUACCUUGUGACAUAGAGUGAAUCUCCUUGUGCAGAAAAUGAAUUCGAGAUCCAUCAACCUUAUCGAACCUUUCAUUUAGGUCACUCCAAACUUUUGAUGCAUAAAUCACACUGCUCAAGAGCUCUUUCCUGAUUGAAUUGAUGAUCCAUGAGAGAACAAUGGCAUUACACUUUUCCCAUAGAUCAUGAAGAGAAGAAGGACAUGUGUCUCUGGUAUGCUUCCCAUCAACAAAACCAAGCUUACUUUUUCCCAGUAAAGCAAGGCGCAUAGAUCUACUCCAGAUGGCAUAGUUUUCAGGACCAGUGAGCUGAAUUGAAACCAAAGAGCUUCCUGAGGUAUCUGAUGGAUGCAGAUACAGGGGAUGAUAAUGAUCAAUCUCGAUUGAAUGAGGUGGGACAACUGCUGCAUCAUUGGACUCAUCAAUCGCCAUGGAUUAUAGAUCGAAGCUCUAAAAGGAACAGUAAUAAGCAAAUCAACAAAAAAUCACUACAAAGAUGAACAACUACAAGUUGAUAAAACCACAAAUUGAUGAUGAACUCCUGCUCGAACACUCAGGCUCUGAUACCAUGUAAACUUAUGGAGUAAUCACCAUCUAGAAGAUGCAAAAAGGAUCAGGAAGUAAGAAGAUACAGAGAGAAUUAUAGAAGAAAGAGAACUAAUUCUCAUUAAGCUGAAAGCAUCUUAAAAAUAUCUUUACAAUGCUAUGUCUAUAUAAAGGAAAGUUACUGUGCUAACUAACUCUAACAACUUUCUAACCUUCUAACUGAUUCUAGAAUAAUUAUCUUGUGAACUGCUCUAAUCCUAGCUGUCAUAAAUCUAACCAACAGCUUUCGAAUAGAGCAAGGCAACUCCCAAUGAAUCCCUUCAUCAGAACCAUCAUGGAGGAUGUGAAGUUUUCUGAGACAAGGGAGUCUCUGUAAAUGCCACUCCUUUCGAUCAUUCUCCAGUUUAUCGCAAAAUUCGAUCUCAAGGAAUUCUAGACUGAAGGGCAACCCUCCUUCAGGGAAGGACUUUAUUUCUGGACAAGAUUGCAGGAAGAGAUGACUAAGAGAUGGAAGAAGUUUUUGCAUAUGUUCUGGCAGCGACUUCAGCUUCUCACAGCGGUGAAUUUUCAUUUUUCGCAACAACGUUGGAGUCCUGGAUGCCACCAAAAGUAUUUCAAGACUUUCACAUUCAGAAAUACGGAGAUCUUCAGUCCCAGUAGGAAUCAAAAGCCUAGUGAGGCUAUGGCACCUAUUUACACUCAAAUAGUGUGCUCUUGGGACCAACUCAGGUGAUAUAUCAUUUAUAGAAUUACAUCCACUUAGUUCCAGUCUCUCGAGAAACAUCUCACUAGCUGACGGCUCCAAUUUCAAUUUCUGACAAUAAUCUAUUUUUAUUUUCUUCAAGGUUUUCGACAGACUGCUAAUAUGCAAGGAGGUAAGACCGUAACACCAACUGAUAAUUAAUGACUCUAGCUGCAUCAUUCCUUGAAGUUGGGAUGCAAAUAGCUCAGCAUGAUCAAAAAGAACUCCAACCUUUAAAGAACCAGCAACUUUAAACCUUUUUAGAUUUGAAAGUUGGAUAGGUGUCUCCAAAAUGAAUUUCGGACAAUCUGAAAUUGACAAUCCGGUCAAAGAACAAAGAUUUCCAGGCAACUUCCCCAUCAACUUGGGACAGCCUUCAAUUGAAAGGUUCUGAAGUGCAGGGAACUCUCCUCUUCCUAGUACAUGCCAUUGCUUCCACCCGUUCAUCCGAUUAAAUCCAAGCAAUUCCAGAGAGUUAAAUGGCUUUAUUGAAGAUGGGCUACCAUAGAAUUCUUCGGUCACCUCUGUUAUUCGAUCUAUAUACCCAAUGGUGAGGACUUUCAAAGAUGGAAGUUGUCCUAGUGCUGGCAAGGAAUCACAGUUGUUGCAGUGGCUAAGAGACAACGUCUCCAGCUUAAGAUAGGAAUAAUCAGCCAGCCAGUUCGAAAAUUUUGUCCCUCUAUAUCCAGAGAUUUCCAGGUCUUGUAUGUUUGUGUUUGGUUGUAGUUCAUCGAGUAUGUCUCUUUCAGUUUGUGAAUUCUCAGCAAUACUUAUACCCCACGACAAUGAUAACCUCUUAAUAUGUUCCUUUUCCCUCAUGUUUGCCUUCAGAGCUUCCCUUCUAUCAACCACAUUUCGCAACUCUACAAUUGAUAGAGAUCCAUACAAGUUGCAUUGUUCACCCAAAUCUUUGAGUUUCAAACCACUUGGAAGACAUGUAACUCCUAAUAGCACCUGGAGGCUUUUCAACUUGCUAGGAUGUAGCGGCAUCUUCAACCGAGAACAGUGCCUAAUGUCAAGGUAACGCAAGUUGAUCAAAUUUCCCAUCUGCAGCGGUAACUCCUCAAGAUCAAAACAAGACGACACGAUAAGUGUCUCUAAGUUGUACAACACACAAAUUGAAUCUGGUAACUGUUUUAUAUGUGUCCAAGAAAGGUCCAAAAAUCUUAGGAGUUUUAAUUUGAUAAAUAAGUCAUUCGGUACAUCCUUGAUGUAAUAACCAGAAAAUGACAAUGCCCUUAAGAAUGUUAGUCUUGGAAGUAUGUUAUGCAGCACCCUCUUGCUUAGAUUAACUGAACACCAAUGGUGCUGGAAAUUUAUCGGAAGCAAUGUCCUUAAUUGCUCCAAUUUGUGGAGGGUUUUCAAUUUACCAAAAUCACCAUCUCCUCCUGAAAAUGACAAAAGGUUACUAUCACCCGUGAUAUAUGACAAGUGUCGAGUUCGUUCCAACAUAUGAGAUCCUUCGAUGUCUUCCAACCUGGUACAGUGUUUUGAAGAUGCAAUUUGGGCAAGAUCAUUGACAAGGUCAUGCAUAAAGAAUUUCUCACCAUCCAUUUGAGAAUCAGGGACCCUGUCUAACAAUGAUCUUGAUCUCAACUCGAGAAUGUACUAGUUGCCUAGUUCUUCAACCGUUUCAUCUUUUUGCAACUUCUGAACUAGACCAUUAGCAAUCCACAGUUGAAUGAUUUGUUCUCUGUAAAAUUGAUAAUCUUUUGAAAAUAUUGCGCAAUAGGAAAAGCAUCGCUUCAAAUGUGGGGGAAGCUCAUUGUAGCUUAACAUCAAUGCUGGUAAGAUUCCAUUGUCUGGAAGCUCCCAUAUUUCACUUCUCAAAAUGCGUUUCCGCUCUUCAAUUGUUGAUUUUGAGCGUAACAUCCCAGCAAGGGUCUUUAUAGCUAAAGGCAAUCCUUUGCAUUUCUCUGCAAUUUUCUUUCCAAUCUCUUCAAGUUCUAGAUGUUCCUCAGGAUCCCUGUUUUCUAAUGAAUGUCGUUUGAAUAAAGCCCAAGAGACUUCAUUAGACAGAAUCCCCACAUUCAUUGCCCCACCACCCAUCAUCAAGGCAACACUCUCCUUACGUGUUGUCACAAUGAUCUUACUUCCGAGAUCUCCUUGCACAAAAAGAUGUCUCAAGUCAUCCCACUCAUUAUAUUGGUCAUUCCAAACAUCAUCUAGAACAAUAAGAAACUUUUUACGCUUUAAGCUCUCCUUCAAUUUGAUCUGAAUCUGAUUUAUAUUAUCAUCAACCUGUAAGCCAAUCUCUUGAAGCAAUCCUUUUGCUAUUCUGAAAGCAUCAUAUUGUUCAGACACACAAAACCAAGCUUUCAAAUCAAAAUGGUCGUUCACCUUCUCAUCAUUGUAAACAGCUUUAGCAAGUGUUGUCUUGCCCACGCCCCCCAUUCCAACAACAGGGAUUACAGUCAAACUUCUACCAUUUGCAUCAACAGAUAAUAAACGGCCCACCAAUUCCUCUGUUUCACUCUGCCUACCAAAGAUAUCAGAUUCAUCAACCACAGAAGUUGAAGGUCUUCUAGUUUCUUGUUUACCCGAAUCAAGACACGAUUUCAGGUCAAGACAACCAAUUUGCUUUUGCAACUCCUCCAAUGUUUCAAUAUUUUCUUCCAACUUAUCCUUUAUGUUAAGAAAAAAUUCAUCACUCAAGGACAAGCUGAGGUGACUUACCUGUGGGUUGCUUGUUUCUCCAAGAUUUUGACACUGACCUUCUACCUUUAGUCUCAAAACUUCAUAAUUGACUUCUUCAAUUAAGUUCUCAGCACUGUCCACAGCAUCUCGAAGCUCAUUAAGCCACUGGCUCACGUAUGGAUUUGAUGUUUGCUUAUUCUCUGCAUCACUUAACACAGCCUGAAGACCAAGCAAAGUCAUCCUCAGCUUCUUUAAGAGCCGAACAUCACACUUGUCCCUCUUAAACAUCUUCAGCAGAUCACCGUUAGGAGCAAGCCUGUCAAAGAGAACGUUCAAAGCUGAAGAGAGAAUUGCACCACCAACUGCUAAGCCAAUCUCCAUUUCUGAAAUCUGCAAAGCAAAAACAGGAAACCACAAAAUGAUUAUAAGAAUUUGGAGAAGAUUACUGUUUCUUUGCUAAGAGCUUUAUUUUACCUGUUGAAUGAUAAAGAGUAAUUUGCAACUAUGAAUGAUCACUGAUUUCUCUCUCUCUCUCUCUUGCUAGUGGUUUUACUUGUAACUGGUACAACUAUGUCUGCUACUAUUAACUAUUGUCCCUUUUUUCUCUUUUCCGAAAGUAUGACUUUUCAGCCAACAAGAUGACAAAGACUAUUCAUUACUCUCUCAAUGCCUUGAAUAAUUGAAGCAAGAGAGGAUAAGAAAGGGGUCGUUUGCUGUGAUGGAUAAAACUAGUUAAUUGAGGAUUAUUUUUUAGUGCCCUUUAGGGAUCAUUUGAUUUGAAGACAAGUUAUGUUAGGAUUAGUUAUCAUGUGAUAAGUUAUACUGAGAUAAAUUAUGAAAGGAUUAGUUCUGCUGAUUUAUUGGUUUGUCAUAGUCAAAUAAUAUGCAUGGCAUAAUUUUUAAGAAUACGGGGUCAUUUGGUGUGAUGGAUAAAAGGAAUUAAUCCCGAAACAAUUUUUGAGUGCCCUUUAAUUCGUUGUUUGGUUGCAAAGACUGGAAUAACUUAUCCCAAGAUAAUAGUUAGUCUUGGGAUAAUUUAUCCCUCCCUGAGGUGGAAUAGUAAUCCAACGAUAACUUAUCCUGGAUAAAGUAUGUAAAAUAUCAAAAAUACCUCCCUUAAACUCUCUUUAUACACCACUUUACAUUCAUGUAUAUUAAAAUAAUUUUUAACAAUAUUUAUGAUAAUAUUCACAACCUUAAUUAUUCAUUGUUUUUAUGAUAUUAUAUUUUUCUAUUAAAAAAUUGCAUUUUAUAAAUAUAAUUUUUAUUUAUGACUACAUUACAGGUUGAACUUAUUUGCCUAAUUUUUAUGUUUAUUUAUAUUUUAGUUUCUCUUAAAAUGUUCAGUCCACUACUAAUUACAUAUUUUUAAUUAUGCUUCCGAAACACCUUGAACAGCUCACCCUUAGGAGCAAGCCUAUUAAAGAGAACAUUCAAAGCUGAAGAGAGAAAUGCACCACCAACUGCUAAGCCAAUCUCCAUUUCUCAAACCUGAAAAACAAAACAAAGAAUCACAAAAUGGUUUAAUAUUUCUACUAGUAAGAGAUUUAAUUUACCUGUUGAAUGCUUGAGCAAUAUGCAAACAAUAACUGACUGUCCACUAAUUAAUUUGCAAUUGUUAUACCAAUUUUGGAGAAUGACUUUUCUCUUUUAUUUUCCACAGCAUAUAUAUUAAAAAACUAAAAAUAACACGACUUGUUAUAUUUUAAUUGAAUCAAACUUGUAACUUUUGGCUUGAUUAUCAAAUUCCAUACAAUAAUAAUAAAUUAUUGGUGGACACCACCAUUAUAUAAAGGCAAAUGAGUAAAUUAUAAGUAGUGGUUAUAAAAAAAUUUUAAUUCAACAACCUUCCUACUAUUGGUCUCUACAAUCAACUAGCAUUAGCUUUAAAAAAUGACCAGAAACUUCCUACUAAUUGUUUUCUUGAAAUUAAUGUUUUGAAAUCAAAUACUAUGAAAAGAUAGGCCAAGCAGAAAGGCACCCUCUUUUGUUGUUGCCACAAUAUAUUUGACUUUUCAGGACAAGUUCCAAUGGAUUCUAUGUCUUUUCCCUGUGAAGUAUUUCGUUUUCUUCUGUAACAUAAAAAGUUAAGAGGAAAUGACUUCUGCAUAUUUCUUUUUUCAAUAACCACCAAAUAAGAUCUAAACGUCAAAUAUUAUUAAGGUGUGUAACAAUAGCAAUCAUUCAUUAUAGCAGCCAAAAAGAUGUCUGUCAUUAUAAAGAGGUCCAACUUUGUCUUUCGUAAUUAUACUAAACUAACUUCACUUGUAAUCUCAAUCCUGAACAUUCUCAAGGACAACAUAGCAAUAUUUGCUGCUUCAACUCAACUAAGAUCAUAUACAUAACUUGAAAUAGCAUCACUUACUAUAUAUACAUACAAAAUAAAAUUCCAUCUGCUGCUACAAACUCGCGCACAACAGAGCAAUGUUGAGGAUGGAAGUAUUACCAAACUCGUGGACAACACCAUCUGGACAUACCAACUAGACCUUGUAGCACUGCUGGUCUAAAUGCAGGUUCAGCAAUUCAAGCAAAAUGUUUUAAGCAGUCAUUCUUUGAGUCUGAGGAGCACAUUUUAGGCACACAGAUGGAAGGAACUCUCACGAUCGACAUGUUUACCUGAUAAAGACCACAACAGUUAAAAUUACUAAAACACAAAAUGAUAAAAAUGGGCAUUUGAGCAAUUAAAGUUUCUCAAUUUUGAAGUGCAGCUGUAGCAGUGAACAACAACCAUCACAGUUUCAUACACAAAAAUAUCCUAUUUUUCUGAGAAUGAAAUGCCUACCAUUCUUUCGGGAGAUGGAAGGAAUUCUAGCAUUGGUUCUGGUGGCAAACUUCAGCUAAUCUCGAUGAGGAAAUGACAUCGUAUCUUGGCAGAGAAACUGAUCAAUCGAACCUUGUACUUUGUUGAGCUGCUGACAGAAGAGAAGAAAAUAGAAAUGAUCUUAACGUGCUAUAAGAGAAACUCCUUGUACAAAAGUUUGCUCAAUAUUUCCUUCUCAGUCGAAUAAAAGAAAAGUAGUAGUGUCAAAUUCCAGCGAAAAGAGAAAGUACCUUUCUGCACCUACAUUCUGUUGACCGAUCACAGUUGAGCUGAUAUUUGCCUAUUCAAAAGUUAGCAUGUGCAUUACUCUAAACCACUUCCUCCUUCCACAACUUAUUGUGAUAUGUUGGAAGAAAACCUGGAAGUAGUCCAAUAUAAAACUUGAAAUCAAUGCGAUAACAAGGCUUAAAUGUGGAAGCAGAUAUUGGAAGUUUUUUCGAAAUUCUCUAAAUUUCAAGCUUGAUGCAACUCUUUUCAAGAUUUUGGCUACCUGACUGAAAAAUGAGGUUGCAUUCCUUUGGACCCCUUAUAUCUGUGGAAGACACAAGAAAUGGGGAACAAAGCCGAACAACUUUUCAUGAUGGCAAAAAUUUUCCCAGUCUGCGAGAUUUGAGAGAGAACAUAGGUUAAAAUACAAGAAACAAUAGUCUUAAAAGAUUACCAGCUCAUUAAUAUUACAUUAAGAAAAGAGAAACGGUGAAAUAGUGUUAAUAUUCUAAGUAAGAUGAAGAGUGAAUAUAUAUAACAAGAAUUCAUGAAUUGCAAUUGAGAUGAAGAUCCAAGACGAUAAACAUCCUGCUGACAAGAUUACUAGUUCAUUAAUAUUACAUUGAGCUAUCAACUUUUCGAAGCGGAUUAUUUCAAUCCCAUACCAGCUUUCUUUUUCUCACCUUUUUGCUGUCAUCUAAAAUUAAACUCAUCCCGAUCCAAGAUUAUUCCUUGGCUUCACAGUGGCAAAAGACGCUUUGCGCUGCUUAAACAUUUAACAAAGGAAAAGAAUUAACUAACAAGCAAGGAGAAGUUAAUAAAAAUAACUAAUGAAAAAAGAAAGAAUCAAAAUUAUAUAUAUCAGAGCAUCAUUUCUCUUAAUCAUUUCUGGUAUACCUAUCAAUAAAUGGGAAGCUACAUAUAAGGUGUAGGAUUUCUUAAUGGUGUGAGGUAUUUUGGGGAAAUUCAUGCGAGCUCACACCUUGUUAAGAGUAUCAUUAAUAGAUAAUUCAUGUACCAUUCAUGCUGUACAGGAAGUGACUAGAAACAGGGGAAUAAAGAGACUAAUAACUUUUGUGAUAGAAAAAAAUUAUGCAAAGCAGUCUACAAGAUUAGCAUAGAAAAUUUAUUGAUAAACAAACAAAGAGAAGUCUUGAAAAUUAUUUAGAGAAUCACUUACCAAUGAUCUUGCUCGCUAUGUAUAAGUUCAUUAUUGAAUCAUAUGUUGUGUUUGAGCAAUCUCUGGCCACUCCUCCAUCAAUAUGCAAUUUGAGCAUCACUCUCGGAGUGGGGGUUUACCCAAUGCGCACAAAGUGCUCACCCGAAGGGCAGAGGCUGUGGCAGAGAUUGUAGCGGUUGUGGGUUAUCCUGGGGUUCCAAAAAUAAAGCAAAUAAAGGAGUAACAAUUGAAUAGGUAAUUAGAUAAGAGUCAUGAAAGAGAAUAUAUAAAGCAAAUAAAGGAGAAAAAUAAAUAAAUGAAGGAGGAAAAAAGAAUAGUGCAAUUGAUAUUUAAGUGUGACCAUAGAAAAAAAUUAAAUUAUAAUUAAAUAUUAAUAUUAUGUAUAUAAUUGUUUGCGGGAAAGGAUCCAUCAAAAGACAUUUAUAUAACCAAUUCAAUGAUAACCACAAAACAGAUUAAUAAGAAAAAAAAUGCCCAAAUCCAUAAAUUGAGAUUGAGUUACAAUUGACCUUUAAGAAUAUUUGCACCACUUUUAAUAGAAUAUGAUGAUAUGAUAUGAUGAUUACAGUGUUCCCACCCAAAUAUAAAUAUUUUUUCACCUUUCUUUUUUGUAAUCAAACAUUAUAGUCAUCCUGAUCUGAAGAUGAUUCCUCGGCUUCACAGUGCAACAGACGCUACACACUGCACAAAACAAUAUAACAAAGGAAAAGAAUCAACAAACAAGCAAAGAGAAGUAACGAAAAAUAAAAAGAGUUCUUACAUCUGUCAAAGCGCCAUUUGUUUUGAUCAUCACAGGUAUUCCCCAUUGAUCUGUAUACUGGAAAUAUGAGCAAUAUUUGGCCAGUAUUCCCCCUUCAUAAAUUCUAGACAUGGACUGAGCAAUGGGUAGUGUGAAAUAGAUAGUUUAGAGAGGGCAGAGGGCAUCCCUUUUACUGGAAGAUGUUGAAGUUUAGGACAAGAAUCGAUGGUCAGCACAGACAGGGAGGAAGGCAGUGCUGAUUCUGGAAGAGAUUGGAGUUGCUGACACCCGAAAAUCUUUAGAUGCCUAAGAGAAGUGAGUCCCCGAAGACCUUCAGUUGACAGUGAAUGGAGCUCAUGAUGGUCUCUUCAUGUUAGUGAAGAAAGAGACGAGGGAAGCCCUUCUUCGAUCAGUGACUGGAUUUGAGGUAAACAAACAGUGGAUAGAGAUUCAAGAGAGGUGAGGCUUUUGAGAAGUUGGCUGCUUAAUGUUUUCAUAUUGUAUACCUCAAGUCUUUGAAUUGAGCAAGGCAACUCCCAAUGAAUCUCUUCGUCAGUAGAACCAUGGAGGAUUGUAAGUUUUCUGAGACAAGGGAGUCUCUGUAAAUGCCACUCCUUUCGAUCAUUCUCCAGUUUAUUGCAAUACCAGAUAUGAAGGACUUUUAGACUGAAGGGCAACCCUCCUUCAGGGAAGGACUUUAUUUCUGGACAACUUUCCAGGAGGAGAUGAUUAAGAGAUGGAAGAAGUUCCUGCAUAUAUUCUGGCAGCACCUUCAGCUUCUCGCAGCUGUGAAUUUUGAUAGUUCGCAACAACGUUGGAGUCCUGGAUGCCACCAAAAGUAUUUCAAGAUUUUCACAUCCAGAAAUAUUGAGAUCUUCAGUCCCAGUAGGAAUCAAAAGCCUAGUAAGGCUGUGGCAACUAUUUACACUAAAAUAGUGUGCUCUUGGGACCAGCUCAGGUGAUAUCUUUAUAGAAUUACAUUCAGUUAGUACCAGUGUCUCGAGAAACAUCUCACUAACUGACGGCUCCAAUUUCAAUUUCUGACAAUAACAUAUCUCUAUUAUCUUCAUGGUUUUCGACAGACAGCUAAUAUGCAAGGAGCUAUUUGCAUCAUUCCUUGAAGUUGGGAUGCAAAUAGCUCAGCAUGAUCAAAAAGAAUUCCUACAUUUAAAGAACCAACAACUUCAAACCUUUUUAAGCUUGAAAGUUGGAUAGGUGUCUCCAAAAUGAAUUUCGGACAAUUUGAAAUUGUCAAUCCUGUCAAAGAACAAAGAUUUCCUGGCAACUUCCCCAUCAACUUGGGACAGCCUUCAAUUGAAAGGUUCUGAAGUGCAGGGAACUCUCCUCUUCCUAGUACGUGCCAUUGCUUCCAUCCGUUCAUCCGAUUAAAUUUAAGCCAUUCAAGAGAGUUAAUUGGCUUUACUGAAGAUGGGCUACCAUAGAAUUCUUCGGUCACCUCUGUUAUUCGAUCCAUAUACCCAAUGGUGAGGACUUUCAAAGAAGGAAGUUGUCCUAGUGCUGGCAAGGAAUCACAGUUGUUGCAGUGGCUAAGAGACAACGUCUCCAGCUUAAGAUAGGAAUAAUCAGCAACCCAGUUCGGAAAUUUUGUCCCUCUAUAUCCAGAGAUUACCAGUUCUUUUAUGUUUGUGUUUGGUUGUAGUUCAUCGAGUAUGUCUCUUUCAGUUUGUGAAUUGUCAGCAAUACGUGUACCCACAACAAUGAUAACCUCUCAAUAUGUUCCUUUUCCCUCAUGUUUGCCUUCAAAGCUUCCCUUCUAUCAACCACAUUUUGCAACUCUGCAAUUGAUAGAGAUCCAUACAAGUUGUGUAGUUCACCCAAAUCUUUGAGUUUCAAACCAAGACAUUUAACUCCUAAUAGCACCUGGAGGCUUUUCAACUUGCUAGGAUGUAGCGGCAUCUUCAACCGAGAACAGCGCCUAAUGUCAAGGUAAUGCAAGUUGAUCAAAUUUCCCAUCUGCAGUGGUAACUCCUCAAGACAUCCACAAGACGACACGAUAAGUGUCUCUAAGUUGUACAACACACAAAUUGAAUCUGGUAACUGUUUUAUCAUUGUCCAAGAAAGGUCCAAAAAUCUUAGGAGUUUUAAUUUGAUAAAUAAGUCAUUCGGUACAUCCUUGAUGUCAUAACCAGAAAAUGACAAUGCCCUUAAGACUGUUAGUCUUGGAAGUAUGUUAUGCAGCACCCUCUUGCUUAGAUUAACUGAAAACAAAUGGAGCUGGAUAUUUAUUGGAAGCAAUGUCCUUAAUUGCUCCAAUUUGUAGAGGGUUUUCAAUUUACCAAAAUCACCAUCUCCUGAUGAAUAUGACAAAAACUUACCAUCACCCGUGGAAUACGACAAGUGUCGAGUUCGUUCCAACAUAUGAGAUCCUUCGAUGUCUUCUAACCUGGUACAAUGUUUUGAAGAUGCAAUUUGGGCAAGAUCGUUGACAAGGUCAUGCAUAACGAAUUUCUCACCAUCCAUUUGAGAAUAUUUGUACAAGUCCUGGCCUGAGAAUGUCCCUCCCUUCCAUUUAAGAGAAUCAGGGACCCUGUCUAACAAUGAUCUUGAUCUCAACUCGAGAAUGUACUGGUUGCCUAGUUCUUCAACCGUUUCAUCUUUUUGCAACUUCUGUACUAGACCAUUAGCGAUCCACAGUUGAAUGAUUUGUUCUCUGUAAAAUUGAUAAUCUUUUGGAAAUAUUGCGCAAUAGGAAAAGCAUCGCUUCAAAUGUGGGGGAAGCUCAUUGUAGCUCAACAUCAAUGCUGGUAAUAUUCCAUUGUCUGGAAGCUCCCAUAUUUCACUUCUCAAAAUGCGUUUCCACUCUUCAAUCGUUGAUUUUGAGCAUAACAUCCCAGCAAGGGUCUUUAUAGCUAAAGGCAAUCCUUUGCAUUUCUCUGCAAUUUUCUUUCCAAUCUCUUCAAGUUCUAGAUGUUCCUCAGGAUCCCUGUUUUCUAAUGAAUGUCGUUUGAAUAAAGCCCAAGAGACUUCAUUAGACAGAAUCCCCACAUUCAUUGCCCCACCACCCAUCAUCAAGGCAACACUCUCCUUACGUGUUGUCACAAUGAUCUUACUUCCGAGAUCUCCUUGCACAAAAAGAUUUCUCAAGUCAUCCCACUCAUUAUAGUUGUCAUUCCAAACAUCAUCUAGAACAAUAAGAAACUUUUUACGCUUUAAGCUCUCCUUCAAUUUGAUCUGAAUCUGAUUUAUAUUAUCAUCAACCUGUAAGCCAAUCUCUUGAAGCAAUCCUUUUGCUAUUCUGAAAGCAUCAUAUUGUUCAGAAACACAAAACCAAGCUUUCAAAUCAAAGUGGUCAUUCACCUUCUCAUCAUUGUAAACAGCUUUAGCAAGUGUUGUCUUGCCCAACGCCCCCCAUUCCAACAACAGGGAUUACAGUCAAACUUCUACCAUUUGCAUCAACAGAUAAUAAACGGCCCACCUAUUCCUCUGUUUCACUCUGCCUACCAAAGAUAUCAGAUUCAUCAACCACAGAAGUUGAAGGUCUUCUAGUUUCUUGUUUACCCGAAUCAAGACACGAUUUCAGGUCAAGACAACCAAUUUGCUUUUGCAACUCCUCCAAUAUUUCAAUAUUUUCAUCCAACUUAUCCUUUAUGUUAAGAAAAAAUUCAUCACUCAAGGACAAGCUGAGGUGACUUACCUGCGGGUUGCUUGUUUCUCCAAGAUUUUGACACUGACCUUCUACCUUUAGUCUCAAAAUUUCAUAAUUGACUUCUUCAAUUAAGUUUUCAGCAGAGUCCACAGCAUCUCGAAGCUCAUUAAGCCACUGUCUCACGUAUGGAUUUGAUGUUUGCUUAUUCUCUGCAUCACUUAACACAGCCUGAAGACCAAGCAAGGUCAUCCUCAGCUUCUUUAAGAGCCGAACAUCACACUUGUCCCUCUUAAACAUGUUGAGCAGAUCACCGUUAGGAGAAAGCCUAUCAAAGAGAACAUUCAAAGCUGAAGAGAGAAAUGCACCACCAACUGCUAAGCCAACCUCCAUUUCUGAAUUCUGCAAAGCAAAACAGGAAACCACAAAAUGAUUAUAAGAAUUUGGAGAAGAUUAUUGUCCUGUUUCUUUACUAAGAGCUUUAUUUUACCUGUUGAAUGAUUAAGAGUAAUUUGCAAAGCAAAACAGGAAACCACAAAAUUAGGAGCUUUCUCUCUCUCUCUCUCUCUCUCUCUUGCUAGUGGUUUUACUUGUAAUUGGUACAACUAUGUUUGCUACUAUCAACUACUGUCCUGUUUUUUCUCUUUUCCAAAACUAUGACUUUUCACCCAACAAGAUGACAAAGACUAUUCAUGUAACAUCCGACAAUUUAAAAUGAAUAUGAAGAAGCUUGAAUUUGGAAAUAGUCAUUUUUGGAAAAAUUUAAAAUCUGGAAAUUUGGCAGUCCAGAAUCUGAAAAUUUGGCUAAGUUCAAAAAUCUGGAAAUUUGGUUAAGUGUGGAAAUCAGUGAGUUUUUGGCCAACUUUGAGCAGUCUUAACUCCUAGCUCAGGAUGAGUUAGGAGUGGUUCCAGUUAUGGUUGUGAAGCUUGUGGAACGAUCUUUCCAACGCCACCGAGUUUGCUCGAUUCCGAGUUUGUAUGAGCGAGUUAUGCCCUUUGAAAGUUGGAGCAGUUGGCAGGGAGUCCGUCCCGAAAUUUAAGGGCAUUUUGGUCUUUUCACAAAUCAUUUUGUCACGACCCGAUUUCUCGAGUCAUGAUGGCACCUACUAUACCCUACCAGUAGGUAAGCCAACCCGUAACCCAGAACAUCAAGCAAUGAUCAAAAGGGCAGAAACUAGCGAAAACAAUAAUCUAAACAAGGAUAACAAGGCGAAAGCAACCCAAAAUAAAUAUAUACAGAAAUCCCUCCCAGAACCUGGAAGUCACUAGUACAGAGCUAUCUAAUAAAGAGUACAAGUCCCAAAAGUGGACCACAACAGAGCGUGUCUCAAAGGCAACAAGACUAGCUAAAACAAAAGAAGGAGACAGAAUAAACCCCAAAACGCCAAGUGCUCGCCCUCGUCUCCGAAUCACAACUGCAAAAGAAGGCUGGAACUAAUCACCGCUGGUAACUGGUACUGGGACCUGCAUCACGAAAUAGAUGCAGAGCGUAGCAUGAGUACCAACACAACAGGUACUCAGUAGGCAUCAUAGGCCGACUGAGCAAAAAGGGUAAAAACAAUAAGAAAGGAUAGAAUCUAGACACAGAGAGGUCAAGCGGAUAAGAAAAGAAAGCACACGAGCAUACCAGAAACAAACUAAGUACAACUAAACUAAACCUAACUGGACCCCCAUAAGCCCAGAAGGUACACUCGUGCGCAAGCUCAAAUAAAACCUGAACGAACCCCCAUAAGCCCGACAUGUACACAGAAAAGCUAAGUCUACUGAGAAAGAAGAAAACCGGGCUCCCAACCCAAAGUAACUAAGAUAAUCCAUCAGACACCACCCAGCCAGCAGUGCACUCCCAGCCCAGCUAGAAAGAGUGACUCUAGGGGGCACCCAACCAAACAGUCCACUCCCAGCCCAACUAGAAAGAGGGACCCGUGANNNNNNNNNNNNNNNNNNNNNNNNNNNNNNNNNNNNNNNNNNNNNNNNNNNNNNNNNNNNNNNNNNNNNNNNNNNNNNNNNNNNNNNNNNNNNNNNNNNNNNNNNNNNNNNNNNNNNNNNNNNNNNNNNNNNNNNNNNNNNNNNNNNNNNNNNNNNNNNNNNNNNNNNNNNNNNNNNNNNNNNNNNNNNNNNNNNNNNNNNNNNNNNNNNNNNNNNNNNNNNNNNNNNNNNNNNNNNNNNNNNNNNNNNNNNNNNNNNNNNNNNNNNNNNNNNNNNNNNNNNNNNNNNNNNNNNNNNNNNNNNNNNNNNNNNNNNNNNNNNNNNNNNNNNNNNNNNNNNNNNNNNNNNNNNNNNNNNNNNNNNNNNNNNNNNNNNNNNNNNNNNNNNNNNNNNNNNNNNNNNNNNNNNNNNNNNNNNNNNNNNNNNNNNNNNNNNNNNNNNNNNNNNNNNNNNNNNNNNNNNNNNNNNNNNNNNNNNNNNNNNNNNNNNNNNNNNNNNNNNNNNNNNNNNNNNNNNNNNNNNNNNNNNNNNNNNNNNNNNNNNNNNNNNNNNNNNNNNNNNNNNNNNNNNNNNNNNNNNNNNNNNNNNNNNNNNNNNNNNNNNNNNNNNNNNNNNNNNNNNNNNNNNNNNNNNNNNNNNNNNNNNNNNNNNNNNNNNNNNNNNNNNNNNNNNNNNNNNNNNNNNNNNNNNNNNNNNNNNNNNNNNNNNNNNNNNNNNNNNNNNNNNNNNNNNNNNNNNNNNNNNNNNNNNNNNNNNNNNNNNNNNNNNNNNNNNNNNNNNNNNNNNNNNNNNNNNNNNNNNNNNNNNNNNNNNNNNNNNNNNNNNNNNNNNNNNNNNNNNNNNNNNNNNNNNNNNNNNNNNNNNNNNNNNNNNNNNNNNNNNNNNNNNNNNNNNNNNNNNNNNNNNNNNNNNNNNNNNNNNNNNNNNNNNNNNNNNNNNNNNNNNNNNNNNNNNNNNNNNNNNNNNNNNNNNNNNNNNNNNNNNNNNNNNNNNNNNNNNNNNNNNNNNNNNNNNNNNNNNNNNNNNNNNNNNNNNNNNNNNNNNNNNNNNNNNNNNNNNNNNNNNNNNNNNNNNNNNNNNNNNNNNNNNNNNNNNNNNNNNNNNNNNNNNNNNNNNNNNNNNNNNNNNNNNNNNNNNNNNNNNNNNNNNNNNNNNNNNNNNNNNNNNNNNNNNNNNNNNNNNNNNNNNNNNNNNNNNNNNNNNNNNNNNNNNNNNNNNNNNNNNNNNNNNNNNNNNNNNNNNNNNNNNNNNNNNNNNNNNNNNNNNNNNNNNNNNNNNNNNNNNNNNNNNNNNNNNNNNNNNNNNNNNNNNNNNNNNNNNNNNNNNNNNNNNNNNNNNNNNNNNNNNNNNNNNNNNNNNNNNNNNNNNNNNNNNNNNNNNNNNNNNNNNNNNNNNNNNNNNNNNNNNNNNNNNNNNNNNNNNNNNNNNNNNNNNNNNNNNNNNNNNNNNNNNNNNNNNNNNNNNNNNNNNNNNNNNNNNNNNNNNNNNNNNNNNNNNNNNNNNNNNNNNNNNNNNNNNNNNNNNNNNNNNNNNNNNNNNNNNNNNNNNNNNNNNNNNNNNNNNNNNNNNNNNNNNNNNNNNNNNNNNNNNNNNNNNNNNNNNNNNNNNNNNNNNNNNNNNNNNNNNNNNNNNNNNNNNNNNNNNNNNNNNNNNNNNNNNNNNNNNNNNNNNNNNNNNNNNNNNNNNNNNNNNNNNNNNNNNNNNNNNNNNNNNNNNNNNCUGGAAAUUUAAGGGCAUUUUGGUCUUUUCACAAAUCAUUUCUUUUGAGGUUAUAUUGUGUGUUAGGCUGAGUGGAUCAUUUUUUGUUCCAUUUUAAAAGAGAGAAAGUUAGGGUUUUUGAGAGUGAAGAAGAGGAGAAAGAGGAGAUCAACAAGUUUCCGUCGUGGAAUUUCGUCGGGGGUGAUCCCUAUCAAGGUAUGUGAGUUCUUUAGUGUGGGUUGAUCCUUUCCCCCACACACCAAGCUCAUUUUUAUGAUUUGAGAAAAUAUUGGAUUAGUUGUUAGUUGUUGUUGAUGUUGUUAGUUGUGUUGUGGAAGUUAUUGUUGGUUGUGGGACACGAUUUGGUUGUGUUCUUGAGCUGAAAGCUAUUGUAUAUUGAGGGAUUUUAUGAUCCUUAGUGUUGGUUGGUUCAUACCCCUACACACCAACUCGUUUUAAAUUUCAAGAAAAGAUCUAUUUUGGUUGUUGAAGUUGUUGGUUGUGUUGUUGAAGUUGUUGCUGAUUUAGGACAGAAUUUGAUUGUGUUUUUUAGUGUAAUCCACUCUAUGCUGAGGGGUUUAUGACCCCAAGUGUUUGGGAAAAGAACCUUUGAAGUUAAGAGGGUUUAGAGUUGGCAACAUGAAGGAGAAAAGUCAAGCUGCUUUCAGGAAACAAGUCUGUGUUCCCUCUGUGAACAAAAUCUGUUNNNNNNNNNNNNNNNNNNNNNNNNNNNNNNNNNNNNNNNNNNNNNNNNNNNNNNNNNNNNNNNNNNNNNNNNNNNNNNNNNNNNNNNNNNNNNNNNNNNNNNNNNNNNNNNNNNNNNNNNNNNNNNNNNNNNNNNNNNNNNNNNNNNNNNNNNNNNNNNNNNNNNNNNNNNNNNNNNNNNNNNNNNNNNNNNNNNNNNNNNNNNNNNNNNNNNNNNNNNNNNNNNNNNNNNNNNNNNNNNNNNNNNNNNNNNNNNNNNNNNNNNNNNNNNNNNNNNNNNNNNNNNNNNNNNNNNNNNNNNNNNNNNNNNNNNNNNNNNNNNNNNNNNNNNNNNNNNNNNNNNNNNNNNNNNNNNNNNNNNNNNNNNNNNNNNNNNNNNNNNNNNNNNNNNNNNNNNNNNNNNNNNNNNNNNNNNNNNNNNNNNNNNNNNNNNNNNNNNNNNNNNNNNNNNNNNNNNNNNNNNNNNNNNNNNNNNNNNNNNNNNNNNNNNNNNNNNNNNNNNNNNNNNNNNNNNNNNNNNNNNNNNNNNNNNNNNNNNNNNNNNNNNNNNNNNNNNNNNNNNNNNNNNNNNNNNNNNNNNNNNNNNNNNNNNNNNNNNNNNNNNNNNNNNNNNNNNNNNNNNNNNNNNNNNNNNNNNNNNNNNNNNNNNNNNNNNNNNNNNNNNNNNNNNNNNNNNNNNNNNNNNNNNNNNNNNNNAACCCACAGCCCCCAUAGAAUCAUGUUAGCCACCAUGGGUAGAAAAGGAUCAUACUUUUUAGAUGAAUCCUUUUCAGAUUAGACUAGUGGAUCCAUUAGGCAGUUCAGGUCCUAUACCUUUGGCCGGGAAUAGGAUGCUCUGGCAGCGUGAGGUCGAUCGCUGUAUCAUCACUAUAGCUCUUAUGUGAUGGUUGUCGGUUAGAGAAACUCCUACAGCAAUUAUUGCAUUUUUAUACAUAGAAAUUAUUGUAUUUUAUAUACAUCAGUUCAAUUGUAUUUCUAUAUACAUCUCAGGCUUAUUGUAUCCUUGUAUACACACAGAGUUUAUAGCAUGUUUUAAACAGUCUUUCUUUAUAUCGCACGUGUUUUAAAUUGCCGUAUAUUGGAAGAAGUCAGUCAUGUUGAGUUGAGUUGAGCCAGGUAAGCUAUUUCAGUUUCUUCCAGAUUUCCUUCUAGCCUAUGUUGUUUAGCUUUCCAGCUCGCAUACUCGUACAUUCCAUGUACUGAUGCCAGUUGGCUUGCAUCUUAUGACGAUGCAGAUAUAGGUACCCCCGGAUCAGCAUCCUGCACGUCGUUGAUCCAAUUGAGCACUCCAGAGUCAGUGGUGAGCCUCCUUGCAUUUCGGAGGACUCAAUUAUUUGUGUUCUUAGUUUUUGUUUAUUAGGAUGUUGCGGGGUCUGUCCCAGCAUCCAUCUCAGUAUUUUUCAUAGACAGACAGUCAGUCAGUUAGUUUUGAGUCUCUCAUCUAUAUAUAUAUAUGUAAAUAUUCUAUUUUUGAGAUUCGAGUUGCCUUUAUGGCCAUAUUUUAUAAGUUAAGUUGUUUUGUAAUAUUGCAUUGCAUUGAGUUAUUCUGUUCAGGUUUCCGCUGAGUUAAGAAAGUCAGGCCAAGGGUUCGCUUGGGGCCAGAAAUGGUCUCCGGGUGCCGGUCCCGCCCAGGGUGUAGGCUCGGGGCGUGACAAUUCAUUACUCUCUCAAUUUAAUAAUUGAAGCAAGAGAGGAUAGGAAAGUGGUUGAUGGAUAAGUCGAGUUAAUUCGGAAUUAUUUUUGAGUGCCCUUUAGAGGUUUUUUGGUUGGAAGACAAGUUAUAGUAGGAUUAGUUAUGAUGUGAUAAAUUAUGUAUUAGUUAGCAGAAAUUAUCAAUGUUUACUUAUAUUUUAACUCAGUACAAUUAUUAAGUAAAUAUUGAACAAAAUAAAUAUAUUUGAACUUAUAUACAUCAGUUCUCUCCAACCAUGUUCUCUAUAGUAUUAUUGAAGGGGAAAAGACUACAACUGGGGCCACAUAAGACUCAGCACAAGUUGUGCCAAAAGUAAAUGAAAAUGUUCAAUUCUUUUAUAUUUUUUAACCCCUCCCUAGCUUUUUUGCUCUCUCACCUUUUUGCUCUUUCAGUGACUUAAACUUAUACCUUUAAGAUUCAAAGUAAAAGGUAUUUACCAUCCGAGCAACUUCUUCUUGUCAAAGUUACCAGCAUCUUAUGGAUUUAAAUGACCUUUCAAAGAAACCUACUUAUAUAUAAAGACCAAAAUGACAUUAAUCCCUAAAGCAACAUUAAUAUCAAACUUACAUAUUAUAAUUCCGUGCACGCGCGUUGCACGUGUUUCCCAUAUUAAUAAUAUUUUAAAAAUACAUACAUAUUUAGUUUUGAAAAUAAAAGUAGCAAAAAUUUGCAACUAAGAUUAUUUUUGAAGAAUUAAAAUAAGUAGUUGUUCAUCCAAUUGAUUAAACUAUAAAACAAAAUGGUGAAUAUAUAAUAUAUUAUAUAUGUAUAAUUCAUUUGUAAUGUGUACGAUCAUGCGUAAUCAAUAUAUAUAUAUAUAUAUAUAUAUCCGACUAUUUAAGUGAAGAUCCCUAUAUUUUAUGGUAGCUAAAAUAGUUUCUAUUCAAUGAUAUCAUAUCAAAAGAAAAGAAAAACUUCCUUUUAAAGUUUGAUACUAUAUUUAUAUAUGACGCGGAUACUCCUAAUUCUUUCUGUAAAAUGAAUUAGUAAAUUCAAAUAUGAAUAUACAUAUGAAGAAACAUUACAGAAUACAAAAACUUAUGAAAUAAUUUUUUCAAUACCUAUCGCAUGAUGCCAUGAAGGCAUACUACAAGAAAUCAUUUUAUAACUCCCUCCAAAUACACAAAUAAUUAUCGCAUUUAUCUAUAGCCGUAAACAAUUAUAAUUACAGUACAUUAUAAGAAUAAAUCAAUUAAUGAAAAUUCUAAAAUCAGUCUUCCAAAGAAACCAACUUCCUCCUUUUCAUAGCUCAUGAAUUUCUGCUAGCACUCCUUACGGAGACAAGUGGUCUUCAUAUAUCAUCCAAUGAACGUUGAAUGUUACAUGUAAAUUGAUAUGACAAUUAUUCAAUUCCAACAUGUAUCAACUCUACAUGUUUCUCCAUCUCUCAUUUUCUUUAGUUCAUGCAAAAGGUAAAAUUUAAGGGAAAAGAAAGAAAAUUAGAAGGAAGGCCAGAUGCUCAACUAAAGAAACAAAACUUGAAGGAAAUGGAAAUCAUUUGUUACCCUUUAUAUAGUGUUUUUUUUUUAUGUUCUUUGAAAUUCCUUUUAACAUAAUAAAUGAACUAUUCAAAUUCUACUGAUUGUUAUAUUAAAAAUUCGGUUAUGAAUAUAAAUAUCCCAAAGAAUUUGAACCAUUGUGUCUAGAUGCAUGAAUUUUAAAAAAAUUAUUAAUUAAUAUUAAAUUAAUUAUAUAUUAAUAUUUAAUUUAGUUUAGGGAUAAAAUAAGGACAGAAUGGUAAUUCAACUUUUAAGUUAGGAGCUUCCCACUUAUAAUAAUACUAGCCCUAGACACGUGCAUUGCACGUGUGUCCCAUGCUAAGUUGUGUGGAGUUGUUAUAGCGAUAUAUAUAUAUAUACUCGAACAUGUAUGUUGUCAGUGUAUCUCAUGCUAUUAGUACAAGAACUUUGAAAAUAUUAUAAUAAGUGUGUGAUAAGUUGUGCACAAAAAUUGAAGAGAAAUAUACAAGCUCAAACCAAUAACUUCAAUUAUGCAAUUCUUAUAAUAUAUCAUGUAUUCAAUUUGAUAAAAGUUUCUUUUGUUUAAUAUGUCAUAACUCAUAAUUUAAAUGUCAAUUGUGAUUUCAAAAUAUUUCUUGUCUUAAAUUUUUCUUCUUUUUAAGAAAUUGUAGUCUCCACUUUUUCACAUUUGCAUACAUAUUAAGAAGUACGUGUUGUCGAAUUAAAGUAGUAUUUUACAAAAAUUAAAUAGAAAUUUGAUCAAUUCAUGUCUUCCUUAAGAUGGCUAGUAUAAAUGAUCAUUGUGCGAUAACUUGCAAAGUAGUUGAAGAGAAAAUAUACAAGCUCAAAUCAAUGAAUGGUGAACCUAUUCAAUCAAUAUUAUUAUCAUUACAAGGUACAUCAUACUGAAAUAUUGCUAUCAAAUGAAUUUUAAAAGUACACUUGAACAAUUUUAAUUAUGUAAUAUUUUAAUAUAUCAAGUAUUUAACUGGAUAAAAGUUUUUUUAAUAUGUCACAACACAUUAUUAUUUGUAUUAUUAUUAUUAUUUUUGUUGUUGUUGUGAGAGGUUAAUACAUAUUAAAUAUUGUAAUUAUAGAGUACAUAAAAAGUCGGUUACGAAUACAAAUAUUUAUUAGAUAAAACUUAUUGAAAAUGUCAAUUACUCGUGUUGGCAGAUAUAAUGGCGAGUGGAGUACUCUUUAUUUUGAGAUAAAUGGAACCAUUAUUAUUUUAUUUAGUAAAAAAUAGAGUAAAUGAACAGGAAAAAGUUAUAUAUAUACUUUUUGAUUUAUAAUAGUGGCAAAAUAGUAAUCAAACUUUGAUAUUAAAAUGAUAAUCUACUUGUGAUUUUCUGAAUCUUAAUAUAAAUUUAUAUCCCAAUAUUAAAUUUUAAAUGGUGCACAUAUAUCUUAAUACUUUCUUUGAUCUAUAAUUAAUACUUUUCCAUAAUAAAAUUAAAAUCCAAGAUAUUAAACUCAUUAAUGACCAAUAAAAAGCUUCGUGUAACCCAUAAAGCAAGAUAUUAAACUCAUUAAUGAUACAAACUUCUAUUUUGUAUAUUUAUUGUUUGCAAGCUUUCAUCAAGAUUGUUGAAUUUUCUUAUAGAUGAAUAUUAUCAUUCUUUACUCAAAAAAAGAAAAGAGAAUAUUAUUACUCAAUUCAUCAAAGUAUUGUGUUGACAAAAAUGUUCGGUCACAUUUGUACUUUUAAACAAACCUUUUGCAAUUUAAGGGUGAAUAAUACCCAAAAAAAAUUCACCAAAGGAAGUUCAAAAUAUUAAAAGACAAAUGACAUCAAAAUAUACAAGCAGAAGAAGAAGAAAGACAACUUUGAUUUCAUAGUUACUGUUCCAAAGGUUCACGAUGAUAACUAAAUAUAAAGUUUGCAACUAUACCGAGUUGAUGAAAAUCGGAAACAAAUAAAUUAUAAAGGAUAAAAAUCUUGUAAUGGAAAAAAAGAAAGCAAGUGUGAGGAGUUGAUGAUAUAUAUUGCAAAGCAAGUUUGAAGUUCCCACGUGCUGAUGAAUAAAUAACAAAUAGGAACUUUCUUAUUGUUGGCGUCAAACAUAUUAACAUACAGUCUGUUUCUUCUACACCUAUAUUUAAUCUACUUUUCUUUUUUGUGCUGCUUUUGUUUCUUCUUCUUGAUUAGCAGCUUCUCCAGUAUUUUUUUGUUAUCUCCCUCAUUUGCAGUUUCCAACUCUCUUUUCUUCUCAUGUUGUAUUGUGCAAUUCAUACAAUCUCAUGUGAUUAACAUCCAUCUUAAAUAGUAUUAGAUAAUGACCUUUUAAUUUCAAAACUGAUUCCUAGAUAAUAAUGAGAAUCGACCCUUCAUAUUCAAUCUUUAAUUAUGUAUAGUAGUGGCUAUUCAAAAUGAAAACAUUUAUUUAAUAAUUCUUGGUAACAUUGUAAUUGCCAAAGAAUUAUGUUUAUUUAAUUUAUAUAAUCCAAUGAAUUUAGUCUACAUUAAAUUAUUCUUUUCAACUUUCUAUCUUCUCCACAUUCUCGACAUAUGAUUAAUUAGUGAUGUAGAGAAUUAAUGUUAUUUUUGAAUGGAAAAAGUUUUUAAAAUAAUGAUUACUAUUUACUAUUUAAUAAUUAGAUAUUUAAUUAUUGUAUUUUAUUUUAGGGGCAAAAUGGUAAUUCAACUUUGAGGUUAGGAGCUUCCCACUUUUAGUAAUAUAUGAUAUGAUAGAUGAUAUAUAACAAUAGUGUUUAGAUCAGUUUGUACACAAUUUCAUUAAUUCGUUAAGAUAUCAUGUUCAAGUCAAAUUUUAGAGUAAUAAUUAUCCAUGACGGCAGUAAUGAAGGUGAAUGAUGUCUACGUAUAUUCAUAACUAGGUAAUGAGCCCGCGCUUCGCGCGGGUGUAAACCGUAUAUAUGUGUUAUUGUUGUAAUUUGAUAUUUUAUAUAUUUAUGCAAGAUAGAAUAUAUUAAAUUUAUGUGACAUUUUUUCUUGUUUUGAAGUUCAAACCAUUCAUUUUAAGAUUUCAUGGUCUAAAUAAUUUAUUUAACUUUUGAAAUUCAAAUUGUGACACAUAAAUUAAGAAUGAAAGAAGUAUAAUUUGAGAGAAAUGUAAGAAAAUAUAAAUAACAUUUGUCCUUAAAUUUCUUCAGAUAAACUUGAUUUCUGUUUCUCUCAAUAGAUCUAGUUGGAUUUGGGGCUUAAUUUUCGUCUGAAGUAACUUCACAACUCGGAAAUUCAAUCUUAACAAUUUCAUCUUUAUAUGAUUGAUGCAACAAAUUAAAUAAUAUGAUUGACAGAAAAUUCAUGAACAAUUAUAUUUAAGAAAUCAAAAACAUAAGUAAUGAGCAUUACAAAUUUAUUUAUAUAUGUGGAGUGAGAAGAUUUCAUGUUGAAGUCCAAUCUUGAACUGAGAUUAGGUAACCAUUGCAUAAAAGUACACACACAAAAUGUAGCUACGUAACAAACAUGUAUCCCCAUCAUUUCGAACACAGAGCUACAAAUUAUGACUAAUAUUAGAGUUAUCAGGAGAUGGUAACUGCUCCAAUACUGGAUCACAUUCCUUAAUAGCCAGAAGUGUUGGAGGUUUCAAGUUCGAAACUCCUUGUCAAUGAAAGCAAUGGAUUUGCCUUCUAGAUCGAGCUCAUACACUGAACUUACCUAGUUGCGGGUUACCUUUCCUGUGUGGUCCGAGACACAUUAUUUGUGAUCUUAUCAUUACCGGGUCUAAAGUGUGAUUAGUUACAUGAGAAAAUCUUGAUGUGAAAUGUCGCGUAGCUUAUGUCUUUUAGAACUAUCCGACAUUAAACUUUUCAUGGCCAUCUAACAACUGACUAAUAAUGUGUUGCAUGAAAUGCUAUGCCAUAAAUUAUUGAGUUAGUUUGAUACUUCUACAUAUGAUAUCCUACAAAGUAUUUACAUAAAUAUGGUACAUCAAAAGGUAAAUUACAGAGCAUUGAAUAAUCCGUAGAUAAUUUAACACACUGUUAAAGUAGAUUAAAAUUGAGGAGCAACAUAUAUAGAAUAUGCUAAUCAGAUGAUGAUCAAACUUGUAUCUCCUAAUAAUUCUAACAUAAAAGUAUUUACACGGAUAAAAAUAACUGUAUCAGUCAAAUUCAAAACAUAUCAAAUCUAUCUGUUUUUUAACAAUGUCAAAUUACCUAGCCUGAGCGUCCCAAAUCUGUGCACUUGAUAGUCUUAUGAACGAUUUCUAAGGUCCUCGUCUGGAAUUCAACACCUCUAUAAUCUCUCUAAGCUCGUUCAGCCAGUAGCUACAACUAAAAUCCGAUCGACCAAAUUGAAGAUAUGUAGAAUGGGUUCGUGAGGCAGGGGCGGAUCUACAUGGAUUCGAAGGGUUCAUCCGAACCCCCUUCAUUGAAAAAAUUACACGGUAUAUAUAGGAUCAAUUUUUCGAUUUAUAUGUAUAUACCAAGUGAUGAACCCCGUGAACAUAAGCUAAGGGCUUGGUUCAGUGGUAAAGGGGGUUCAAGAAUUCGCAAUAUAAGUUCUAGGUCGCGGGUUUGACUCCCUGUAAUAGCGUUUUUCCCCAUAUUUCAGCUGAUUUUCAUUUAAUUUUCUAAAUAAAUGAAAANNNNNNNNNNNNNNNNNNNNNNNNNNNNNNNNNNNNNNNNNNNNNNNNNNNNNNNNNNNNNNNNNNNNNNNNNNNUUGAGAUUUAUACUAUUUUAUUAGAUAUUAAAAAAUAAAUUUAUUUUCCAUUUUUAUAAAAUUAAGUAAAACUUAUAACGUUGUUUUCAUAAUUAAAAUUAAAAAUACAUUCUCUCAUACUCAUUUUAAGUCAAACGUUUAAUUUAUAUUUGAUUAAGGAAUAAUAUAAUUAUAAGUAAGAUUAAAUAAAUAAGAGUAAUCAUUUAAAAUUUAUAAAUAAAUACAAUUGUCGCGAUAUUUUUCAAUCUUGAUAAUUAUUUUCUCGACACGAAUUUUAUUGCUACAAUAUGAUUGGAUUUAGAAGUAUUCCUUAGUUAGUUGAAAAAUUAAAUAACGUUUAUAUACAACAAUGACAGAGACAAAACUCAUAUAGUUUUAAAAAAUACAUUCUCUCAUACUUAUUUUAAUGUUAUGUCAAACAUAUACUUACUCGAUUUUAUUGUUUGUGUUGAGGUAGAGUUGAAAUUUUUUUAGUUGCUUAUAUCUGAUCCGACCCAUUUAUAUUUGACCCACUCCGCCCACCCCGCUUAUAUGAAUACUAAUAGUGUCCUUACUUAUCAUUUUGAACCCCCUCGAUGGAAAUCCUGCAUCCGCCACUGUCGUGAGGAAGGAAAAAGAAGCAAGGGAAACGCAAAUAAGAUGUUCAACAUCGAAGCAAUGUUUCAAAAUCCAAAAUUUAACAAAACAUGCUUUUUCAUUCGUGUAAAAGUAAAAGGCUUAAAAUUUUAGAAAAGCAAACAGUGGAAUUUCUUAGUUGUGGUGCUGCCACGUAGGUGAGUCUAGGAUCCUAUUUUAUAUAUAUGAUAUACAAGUUGUUGGCACAUGCUUGUGAUACAUUUACUGUAAUAAUCCUAAUUUAUUUAUUUCCCUCAUUACCAUAAGACCAAACUACAAAAUUAACAAAACAAAAAAAGCAAGACAAUAUAUACCUCAAGCAUAAAUAAAUCAAUGGAGAUUCAAGAGUGACUGUUGUAGGGAAUUAUUCUACACUACAUUCACGUAAGCCCUCUCAAAAAUUGUGGUACAAAAAUCAGAAACGAAGGAAAAUAGUAGAAGAACUUUUCAUGCAAAAUUUCAAUACAUAAACACAUGUAAGAACACAAAUACAAAUCAAAUAAUUAACUAAAUAUGGUAGUACAUACCGAAAGAGGUUUAAAAUUGAAAAGUUUCAUACAUGUGUCCAUUGUAGUAUUUUGUUCGUCCCAAACGAUAAUUCUCAUAGUAGUUUUGUCAAUAUUUAAGUAAAACAGAAUUUGUUGCCUCUGAAUGUGCCAUGUCACCGGGAUGAAGGUUUUCUUUAUAUGAUAUAUGAUUUCCUAACAACUCGUUAUCCAAAUAGUAUACUGAAACUUUCUAUUUAAAAUAUUUAAUUUUAAUUAGUUUUAAAAGAAGUACUGUGUGGUUUAAUUUUAAGUAUUUUUUUUCUUUAGUAAAACAUAAGAAGUUAGAGGAAAAUGACUUCUUGCCUAUUUCUUUUGUCAAUAAGAAUCAAAUAAGAUCUAAACGUCAAAUGUUAUUAUGGUGUGUAACAAUAACAAUCAUUCGCUAUAGCAGCCAAAAAAAUAUCCGUCAUUAUAAAGAGGUCCAAUUUUUGUCUUUCGUAAUUACACUUAUAAUCUCAAUCCUCAACAUUCUUAAGGAAAAAAUAGAAAUAUUUGCUGCUUCACCUUAACUAAGAUCAUAUGCAUAACUUGAAAUAACAUCACUUACUAUAUAUAUACAUACAAAAUAAAAUUCCAUCUGAUGCUUCAAACUCGCGCACAACAGAGUAAUAUCGAGGAUGAAGUAUUACCAAACUCGUGGACGACACCAUCUGGACAUAUCAACUUGGCCUUGUAACACUGCUGGUCUAAAUGCAGGUUAGCAUUUCAAGCAUAAUCAUUCUUUGAGCCAGAGGAGCACAUUUUAGACAUACUGCCGGAAGGAAAUCUCGCAGUAAACAUGUUUACCUGUUAGAGGCACAAAAUGAUACAAUGGGAAUUUGAGCAAUUACAGUUUCUCAAUUUUGAAGUGCAGCUGGAGCAGUGAAAAAUCAUCAGAGGUUCAUACGCGAAAAACUCCUUGCUCAAUAUAUCCUUAUCGGACUGAUGAAAGAAAAGUGAAAUUCGAGAGAAAAGAGAAAGUAGCUUUCUUCACCUACACUCUGCGGACAGAUCACAUAUGAGCUGAUAUUUGUCUAUUCAGUAGAGAAUUUUGGCACAACUGACGAAAGAAAGAAAAAAGAUGGUUAAGUUGAGAUCAGAUAAUAAAGUUAAGAUUAUGCUUAGGCUUUUAGAUGUUAAGUUAUGGGAAGACAAGCUUUCUGUCUCGUGUGCAUUUGAACUCUCUCCGUAGAAAUAUCAAAAAUCAAGAGUUGAACAUGUGCAUUACUCUAAAGUCUAAACCAUCUCCUCCUUCCUCAACCCACGGGAAAAAGAAGCAAUACGUUCUUUGAUAAAGUUAGAAGAAAACCUGGAUGUAGUCCAUUUCAAGUGAACAUUUUUAAGCCGGUGAACUUGGUAGAGCAAUUGAAUGUUAAUCAAGGUUGAACUGCACAAUACACAGAACUUGUGUCAGCCUCAGCUAUAACAAGCCAAGCUAAUAUAAAAAAAAAGGAGAUAGGAAAAGAAGACUCAGAGCAAGUUUAAAGAUUACAUUAGUUGCAACGUAUCACCUUAUAGUCAUCUAAAAUUAGAAUGAAAAUGCUUCGCUCCACACAGUGGCAAUAGAUGAUCCACACUGUUCAACACUACUAAGAAAAACAAGAAGAAAUAACAAACAAGGAAAAGGAAUGUAAACAGGAAAACGGAGACAGGAAACAAACUUUGUGUCUUGUAUACCUCUGAAUUCUAUUAGAGCUAUGCAUUUAUGAGUGAACAAGAAUACAUGAAGUGCUAUCAACUUUCCGAAGCAAAUAAUUUCAAUUCCUACUUUUACCAGCUUUCGGUUUAUCACCUUUUUUGCUGUCAUCUAAAAUUAAAUUCAUCCCGAUCCAAAGAUAAUUCCUCAGCUUCACAGUGGCAAUAGACGCUUUGUGCUGCUCAAGGAUUUAACAAAGGAAAAGAAUUAACAAGCAAGAAAAGGGAAGUAAUCAGAAAAAUAAAUGAAAAAAUAAAGAAUUUUAACUUACAAUUUAUCAGAGCACCAUUUUUUUUAAUCAUUACUGGGAUUCCAAAUCAAUAAAUAUGGUGGGAAUAUGAGCAAUUUUUGGCCAGUAAUCCCCCUUGUUAAAUUCUAGGAGUGGUUUGAGCAAUGGGCAUUUGGAAAUAUAUAGAUUAGAGAUAGAAGGGGGCAUCCCCGAUUCGGGAAGAGAUUGGACAUUAGAGCAAUUCCAAAUGCGCAGCUCAGAGAGGGAGGAGGGCAACCCCGAUUCGGGAAGAGAUUGGAGAUUAGAGCAAUGUUGGAUGGUCAACUUAGAGAGGGAAGAGGGCAUCCCUGAUUCGGGAAGAGAUUGGAGACUAUGGCAAUCCCGAAUCUCUAGAUGUCGAAGCCACGUGAGACGCUGAAGACCUUCGGUCGGUAGUGAAUGAAGAUCAUGAUUGCGAAAUAAUUUUAGCUCAGAAAGAGAGGAAGGAAGCCCUUCUUCCAGCAAUGACUGCAUUUGAGGUAAAUUAUUAGCAAAUAGGUACUCAAGAGAGGUGAGGCUUUUGAGAAGUUGGCUGCUUAAUGUUUUCAGAUUCCAUAUGCUAAGCCUUCGAAUAGAGCAAGGCAACUCCCAUUUUUCACCAGCAAGAACCACUUCGUCGCUACCAUCAUGGUGGAUAGUUAAAUCUCUGAGACAGGGGAGUCUCUGUAAAUGCCACUCUUUUCGGCCAUUCACCAGUUUCUUACAACAGGAGAUCCAAAGUUGUUGUAAAUUGAAGGGCAAUCCUCCUACAGGAAAGGACUCUAUUUGUGAACAAUUAACCAGUUUCAGUUCCUUAAGAGAUGGAAGGAGUUGUUGCAUAUGUUCUGGCAGCGAAUUCAGCUUCUCGCAGUUGUAAAUAUGCAAUGAUGUCAUCUGAGUCCCACAUGCCACUGAAAGUAUUUCAAGAUUAUCACAAUCUCUAAUACUGACUGUUUCAGUGGCAGUAGGAAUCAAAAACCUAGUAAGGUUGUUGCAACUUCUUACACUCAAAGAGCGUGCUCUCGGGAGAAACUCGGGUGAAUCACAUCCUACUAGAGACAAUUCCUUCAGACAAAUAGCAUUGAUCGGCGCCUCCAAUUUCAGUUCCCUACAACCAGAGAUUCUUAUUCUCUUCAAGGUACUCGGCAGAAUGCUAAUAGGUAAGGAGGCAAGAGACUUACAAUCAGUAAUAUCUAAUUUAACAAUCUGUUUCAUUCCCUCAAGUUGAGACGUAAACAAUUGAGCAUCAUCAAAAACAACUCCAACCUUAGGAGAAUUAGCAACUUCAAAUUCUUUCAAAUUUGAAAGUUGGAUAGGUGUCUCCAAACUGAGUUCAGGGCAUUUUGAUAUCCUCAAUCUUCUCAGAGAAGAAAGAUUUUCAGGCAACUUCCCAAUCAACUUUGGGCAACCAUCAAUCGAAAGUUCCUCAAGUACAGGGA
RNAcentral lists this long non-coding RNA (171618 nucleotides) under Solanum tuberosum (potato). RNAcentral's name for it is "long non-coding RNA (STUB_LNC011036)". Lineage: Eukaryota; Viridiplantae; Streptophyta; Magnoliopsida; Solanales; Solanaceae. The record is from RNAcentral.